UCCAGUUGACCGAACUGGGCGGCGAUGUGGAGUAUCGUGUUAUGCUUUGGGGUUAAAUGGACUAGUAAGUCAUGAUCUGAAAUUUUUUCGAGGACUUUAAUGUUCCCCCUUGCUGCCGCCUUGUACACUUUCGCAUCCAUGCCUGUGAUGACAGUGUGGCUGCCAUCUCCAUUUGCAGCCUGGUUGGAGGUCUGGGCUGGGCUAGGAUCUUGAGCUACAACCUGAUUGGAAUUAGAAUCCAUGUCAAUAUUCUGAAAUUCUGCACUGAGGUUCGAAGCACGCAGCUUUCAAACCACCAAAUAUAGCCUUUAAUUUCUAUGUUUUUCUUUUAUAUUAAUAGAAUGUCAUUGAAAUAUUUUGCCAGCUCAUGUACGACAACUGUGGAAAGGACGGACAACACCGUUGAGUUAAAUAUGAUAGAAUACGUUGAUUACUUGUGUGGUGGAGAGGAGGCGCUCAAUUUUUCUUUUUCUUUUUUCCUUGAGUGGUCGGGAAAAAGUUGGUGAGUGAUAAUUGCUGUAAAGAAAGAGAAGGAAGAGGCAGGGAAAUAUUUCCAGAAAAGCUUUAGUACUCUGAUUUGUCCAUGUAUAUAAAUAUAGUUUUGAUAGCUGUAAAAUAUUAUGUUUCAAACAUACAUACAACAUACUGUUUCCUACUUAUCCUACGCACACAGCACCUUUUUUGGACUUUCUUGCAAUUUUAUUCACGUGAUUGUCCUACGCACGCACAGCACCUUUUUUUGAACUUUCUUGCAAUGUUAUUCACGUGAUUUCCGGUCUAAUACCAAAACGGAAAAGGGAAUACCUGGACGGAUGUUGUUGCCUCCAAUAAAAGGUUGUGUGGUUUGAAAAUAAUCACAUUGUUAAAUAAAAAUAAUAAUAAUGAUUAAAUUGUUUUAUAGUUUCAUUUCAUUUUUUUUAUAUUAUAUAUGAUUUUUUUGUUGACAACUUUAUUCAAAAGUUCAAACUUAAUCAUAUAUUUUAAGAAUCCAAAUUUUUAGCUUGAUAUAAUACCUAUCCGAUAUCAUACUAUUUUUCUUUAUAAAUUUAAGAAUUUAGACUCAAUUGAAUUCAGUUUUCAAGUAAUAAGAAUAUAUUUCCUUUUCAAAAAAUAUUAAAGAAAUGAUAAAAUAAUAUUAAAGAAUGUGAUUUUUUAUUUAUUUAAAUACCAAAUAAAAAGUUGAGGAAAUAAAAAAUAAAAUAAAAAAGGUGACAUCUUUUUUUAUUUAGUUAAAAUUUUUAUUUUUCUUUUACCUUUUAAGGUUUGGAAAAGUGCAAGGUGCCAAAUUUAUACUUAUUGAAGUUUAUGAUUUGUUAAAAGUUUAUGUUAAAAGUUCAAAUAAGACUAAAUUUAAACAAAAUUUAAAUUAAUAAAAAAUAUGAAAGCAAAAACACCAUCAUGAUAAUUUUUGUUUAGUAAAUUUAUAUUUACUAUUAAUAAAUUUUAUAUUUAAGUCAUUUAUUAUUGAUGUAAUUAAGUUAUAUUAAUUUUUAAAAUUUGCAUAAUUGUUUUAAAAAAAAUUAAUGCUAAAUUAGAAAUUAUUAUUUAAAAAGCUAAAUGCUUUGUUUUUUCAUCUGAUGAAUAGUUGUCAUUGCUCCUAUCUAGGGUAUGAUAUUUAUUGGAUAUUUCAUAACAUUUUAAAGUGCCUCAAAAAUUAGUGGUAUGUAAUUAUAGUAAAAAAGUGUUUAGUGGAUGAAGGUUAGAUAUUCAAUGCUUAUCAAUGGUUUAAUGUCGAGAAGGUAAUAACAUUCUUGACAUGUCUUUGAGGAUGACAUUCCAACAUUUCUUAAAUUAACUUCCUAAAUAGAUCAUUACAUCAUGCCAAAAAUCAUUUUUCGAUAUCAUUCAAUAAAAAGUCGUCUGGUUGAAAAAAGUUUAAAUGAAUUCUUCAUUUGUAGCUUAAUUCUAUUUCUUUAUUUAUAAAUCUAAAUUCUUACAUGAAUCCCUCUUAUUUUUAAUAUGUAAGCACCAAGAUUUUUCAUACUUUUAUUUAACAAUCCAAUUUUUAUUGUAAAUACCUUAAAGACUCAAAUUUUGACUUCAAUAUGGUUUGCAUUUGGUAUAUUAGAAUUUUCUUUUACAAAUUUAAAAAUUUAUGGGUAUAUUCCAUUCAUAAGAAAUUUGAAACUAAUAGUGAUGAAGUGUAUUUAUACCAAAUCUAUGGGGAGUCUCGAUGAAAUUAAUCUUAUUUUUAUUUAUAUUAUUAUUAUUAUUAUUAUUAUUAUUAUUAUGUGAUUUUGGUUCACUAGAAAAGGUCAAUAUUUUAUGGUAUGCAUUUUUUGAAUGGGUGUUUGGUUGAGUAGAAAAGGUCAGUGUUCUAUCAUAUAUUUCUAAAAGGGACAAACAUAUAAAUGUAACUAGUUAAGAUAUGUUUAAAUGUUGAAAAGUAUUAUGAUAAAUUUGAUGUUUAAUUAAUUUAUUAUAAAAAAAUAAGUAAGAAAAUUAAAUUUAAUUAAAAUUAAUUUAAAAUUUAUGUAUUUUAAAAUUAUUAAAUCUUAUAAGGAGGAGAAAAAAUAAAUAAAAUGAAUUUAAAAAUAAUAUAUUAAUUUUAUGUUCUCUUGUUUUUUUCCUCAACAUCCCGAAUUACGGUUUUGAUUGCCCCAAUUUUUUUAGGAUCAGGUCUCAUGCGUACUAUUAAUCCAUGAAAACUUAUUUCAUUUAUUUAUUUAUUUUAUAUAAAAAUCAAAUAAUUUAAAAAUAUAAAAUUUUUAAAUAAUUUUAAUUACAUUUUUCAUAAUAAAGUGAAAUAUAAUAAAACCACUUUCUUUAACAUUAUUUUUUCUUUAUUUAAUAUUUUCAAACCACCAAAUAUAGCUUUUAAUUUCUAUGUUUUUCUUUUAUAUUAAUAAAAUGUCAUGGAAAAGUCCUUGAUUUAUUUUGCCAGCUCAUGUACGACAACUGUGGAAAGGACUGACAACACCAUUAAAUAUGAUUGAAUACGCUGAUAUUCAAUGCUUAUCAGUGGUUUGAUGUCGAGAUGGUAAUAACAUUCUUGGCGUGCCUUUGAAGAUGACAUUCAAACAUUUCUUAGAUUAAUUUCAUAAACAGCUCAUUACAUCGUGCCAAAAAUCAGACCUCUUAUUUUUAAUAUGUGAGCACCAAGAUUUUACAUACUUUUAUUUAACAAUCCAAAUUUUAUUGUAAAUACCUUAAAGACUCAAAUUUUGACUUCAAUAUGGUUUGCAUUUGAUAUAUUAUUCUUUUAUAAAUUUAAAAAUUUAUGAGCAUAUUCCAUUCAUAGAAAAUUUGAAAUUAAUGGUGAUGAAGUAUAUUUAUACCAAACCUAUGGGGUUUCAAUAAAAUUAAUCCUACUUUUAUUUUUAUUUUUUUUACGGGAUUUUGGUUUACUAGAAAAGCUCAAUAUUUUAUAAUAUGCCCUUUUUGGAUGGGUGUUUGGUUGAGUAGAAAAUGUCAGUGUUCUAUCAUAUACUUCUAGAAGGAACAAACACAUAAAUAUAACUAGUUGAGAUAAGUUUUAAUGUUGAAAAGUAUGAUGAUAAAUUUUAUGUUUAAUUAAUUUAUUAUAAAAGCAAGAAAAUUAAAUUUAAUUAAAAAAUUAUGUAUUUUUAAAUUAUUAAAUCUUAUAGGGAGGAGAAAAAUAAAUAAAAUAAUAUUAAAAUAAUUUAUUAAUUUUAUGUUCUCUUGUUUUUUUCCUCAACAUCCAGAAUUACAGCUUUGACUGCGCCGGGUUUUUUAGGAUCAGGGCAAUGGGUACUAUUAAUGCAUGAAAACUUAUUUCAUUUAUUGAUUUAUUUUAUAUAAAAAUCAAAUAAUUUAAAAAUAUAAAAUUUUUUAAUUAAUUUUAAUUACAUUUUUCAUAAUAAAGUCAAAUAUAAUAAAAUCACUUUCUUUCACAUUAUUUUUUCUUUAUUUAAUAUUUUCAAACCACCAAAUAUAGCUUUUAAUUUCUAUGUUUUUCUUUUAUAUUAAUAGAAUGUCAUGAAAAAGUCCUUAUUUAUUUUGCCAGCUCAUGUACAACAACUGUGGAAAGGCCCGACAACAUUGAAUAAGCUGAUUAGUUUUGUGGUGGAGAGGAGGCGCUCAAUUUUUUAUUUUUUAUUUCCUAUAUAUUAAUUGAGUGGUUGGUAAAAAGUUGAUAAGUGAUAAUUGCUGUCCUUUAUAUUAAUUCACUGAUCAGGAAAAAGUUGGUGAUUGCUGUCCUUUAUAUUAAUCGAGUGAUCAGAAAAGUUGGUGAGUGAUAAUUGCUGGGCUUUAUAUUAAUUGAGUGAUCAGGCCAGCUGGUGAGUGAUAGUUGCUGUCAUUUAUCUCAGGAAACAUCUGGUGAGUGAUAGUUGCUGUCCUUUAUAUUAAUGGAGUGAUCAGGAAAGUUGGUGAGUGAUAAUUGCAGUAGAGAAAGGGAAUGAAGAGGGAGACAAAUAUUUCUAGGGGAGAAUUGUGCUUCCCGCCCGCUUCCAGCCCCACUUUUUUUGGAUAAUUGGUGUACUCCUAUCACUUAUAAAUGAUUAUAAGAAUAAUGAGAUAAUAAUAGGUAAAACUAUCCAUUGAGUCAUUUUUGUCUCUAUUCCAUCCCUUUUCAUGUGCCAACGUCAACAAAUUCAUCCUUAUUUAACAAUUUUUAGAUUUUUUUAUUAAUUUUUUAAAACUCUUUUAUAAAUAAUUAAAAAAUCAAUAUUAUUUUCUAUUUUUAAAUUAUAAAUAAAUAAAAAUUAUAUUAAUGAUUAAAAAACUAUUUUAAAAAAUAAUUUCUAAAAAAAAUGUUAAUUUAAAUAAAUAAAAAUUAUCCUUUACAUUUUAAAAGUAAAUAAUUUAAUGAUUAAAACACUAUUUAAAAUAAAUAUAUUUACUAUUUUCUUUCCUUUUAUACUAAAAAUUAUUUUGAAGCUUAUUAUUUAUUUUUUACUAUUAUAAAAUAAAAUUUUUAUUUUUUUUAAAAUCUUCUUCCUUAUUUUAAUAACUUUUUUAAUAUGACUUUUGGUAAUAAGUUAUAUGAAAUGUUGCAAAUUUGUUUACAAAUGAUUUUUUUUAGCUUAUUUGAAUUAAUUGAAAAUUUAUCAAAAUAAUAAAAAGAAAAACAAAGAAAAAGGAUGGAUAGAGAUUUUUUAUUUUAAAUUUCUAAUUAAAAUGUUUUUCGUAUGACCUAAUUUUAGAAAUGUGUUAUAUCAAUAUAUAGUAUAGUAGAGAUUGAAAGUAUUUUAUAUAAAAGGGUUGAAUGGUAUAUUUACUUGUUUUAGAUGAAAACAAGUAGUUAAAAAUUAUAGAGAUUAUAUUUGAGUUUAAUUUAAAAAUAUUUUUCUAGUAUUUAUUUAUUUAUUUAUUUAUUUUUUAAAAAAUAAUUUUUAUUUUCUAUAUUGUCUAUUUUUUAAAAUACGUGUGAUUAAAAAUGAAAACUAUUUUUAAAAUGAAAAUUAAAAACCUUGUUUAAUACUAUUUUUUAUAUAAAAAUAAUAAAAAGAAUUAAAUUUCAUUUACUGAUUAUUCUUUUUUUAUUUUUUCUAUUAGUUAUUUUAAUAAUAAAAUAAAGAAAAUAUAAUAUGUUUACAAUUAAACAAAGGAAUUGACCAAUUGUGUGUUUUUUUCAUAAAAAAUAUAAUAUAUACAAAAAAAAAAAAGUUGAAUUUAAGUUUUCUGUCAUUUUCUCAACCAAACUAUCAGAAUCAUGUUUAAUAUACUUAUAGACACACAUUUACUAUAGGGAUAUGGAAUUUGCGUCACUAUACAAGGGUAUUCACUAACUGUACAAGGGGUGUACAAGACCACUCAUUGUGAAAUAUUUCAAUCAAUUCUAAACCACUCCUUAAUUUUCUUUGUCACUCACAUAUCGUACACUCAUGUCAUACAUUUUAUUUAAUUCUCACAUGGAAAUUCAAUGCUUCCCCUAGUAAUAAUGUUUGGGGAAAAAAUUUUGACCCUAAGUUAUCCAGCAUUUGCUCAACCAAACCAUUGGAAAUAUGAUUAACAUACCUACGCAGACACAUAACUUAGGGAAUAUGAAAUUUGUGCCACUAUACAAUGAUAUUACACUAACUAUACAAGGGAAAUAUACUAAAUGUAUAAGGGUGUACAAGACUACUAUUUGUGAAAGAUUUUAAUUGAUUAUGAACCACUCUUUUUUAUUUUCUUGUCACCCACGAAUUAUACACUCAUGUCAUAUACUUUAUUUAACUCUUACAUGAAAUUUCCAAUACUUUUUCCAGUAAUGAUGUUUAGGGAAAAAAAAUUUGACCCUAAGUCAUCCAACAUUUUCUCAACUAAACCAUUAGAAAUACGAUUAAUACACCUACAUAGACACAUAACUUAAGAAGGAUAUGGAAUUUAUGUUGUUGUAUAAGAGUAUUACACUAACUGUUUAAGGAAAAUAUACUAAGUAUAUAAGGGUGUACAAGGUUAUCAUUUGUGAAAGAUUUCAAUCAAUUAUGAACCACUCCUUUAUUUUCCUUGUCACUCAAGAUUAUACACCCAUGUCAUGCACUUUAUUUAACUACCACAUGGAAAUUUUAAUGUUUUCCACAAUAAUGAUGUUUGGGGAAAAAAAUUUAACCUUAAGUCAUCCACCAUUUUCUUAACCAAACCAUUGAAGACAUUAUUAAUACACCCACAUGGAUACAUAACUUAAAAUUGAUAUAGAAUUUGCACCACUGUACAAGGGAAUAACACUAACUGUAUAAGAGAAAUGUGCCAAGUGUACAAGAGUAUACAAAAUUCCUAAUAAGUUUUGUACGAUUUUUAAACAACUUGGAGCUUAACAUUAGGACGAUAAUUGAUAGUUUUUUUUGUUUUUUGUUUUUUGUUUUAUCAUCAAACUAUGUCAUUAAGACAUUCCCUACCAAAAUUAACACAUAGGAAAUAAAAUUAAAAUUAAUCAUAGUUGAAUUAUUCGUUACAAGUAAAUUAAAUGAAAUAUAUAUAUUUACCAUUUUUGCCCUUAUAAACAUAAUUUCACUACUCUUAGUAGAGAUUAAAAAAUCAUAUUUAAAUGGAAUUAAAAAUAAACAAAAGUUAUUUUUGUAACAUUUUUAUUUUUUAAAAUCAUUAAUUUAAAUUAUGAAAUUAGUUUUAAAAUUAAAAAUAUUUGUUGUAAUUAUAGUUUUGAAGAUUUCAUGAUUUUUAUCUUAUUACUUUUAAAAAAUUGUUUUAAUAAGAAAAUAUUUAUUUUAAUGGUUUUAAAUAUUUAAAUCUUUAUUUUAAAAUAUUUAAGAGUGUGAGGAACAAUUAGUUAAUUUUGUAAUGGAGAAAUUUUGAAUAUCUUGAAGUGCAUGUGAGUGUUUACAUUAUUUUCGAAAUAAUAUGAUAAAUAAUAAACACUAUGUGUCUAAUUUGUAAGUUAAAAAAAAAAAAGAAUAAUAAUAUUUUAUGAGGUAUUUAAAAAUUGUUUAAUAUAUAGGACAAAUAAUGUAUGACAUAAUUAUUAUUUUGUAAGUAAGAAAUAAAAAAAAUAUUUGCUAAGGUAUUUAAAAAAUAUUUAUUAUAGAUUUUAUAAGUUUGAAAAAAAAAAAAUUUGAUGAUGUCUAAUUUGCAAGUUAGAACAAACGAAGAAUACUAAUAUUUUAUGAGGUGUUUAAUAUAUAUGAGAAAUAAUGUAAGUUUGAAAUAAAUAAUAAUAUUUACUAUAUAUUAUGUAAGGUUUUUUUUUUUUUAAAAAAAAGAAUAUAUUUCAUGAGGUAUUUAAAAGCUAUUUACAUCAAAAAUGUAUUUGACAAUAAUAAUUUUUAACCAUUUAUUUCUCAUGUUCAAUUUGUUAGAGAAAAAUGAUUGGAAAAUUAUUCAACUUGGUCCCACUAAUAAAUACGUGAAAUAAUGUGAAAAAGUGAAAGAAAGAAUUAGAAAGGUGUGUGGUCAGUUAACUUUUCUAUUUAAUAAUCAAGGGACAUUUUAGGGAAUUUUUAAAGGCAAAAUCCUUCAUUUCAAUUUCUACUCUUUCUUUGGGCUCUAAGUUUAAAUAUGGGUAAUAGAAGGACCUUAAGCUAAUUAUUAGGCCCAACUAACUCCAAAGCACAAUUCUCCCUAUUUCUAGAAAAGCUUCAUGUCAUUGUACUACGCUUCAAUAAUCUGAUUUGUCCAUAUAUAUAUAUAUAUAUAUAUAUAAUUUUAAUAGUUGUAAAAUAUCCCUAACAACCCAAACUAUCCCUACUUAUCAGAAUUUUUUUUUUAUAAAAGUACAACUUUUUAAAAAUAAAAUUUGUAAAAUAUGGUAGAUUGAAAGUACUUCCAAAUCUAUUGCCAUUGUUGUUGAUGUGGACUGACACACUUUGAAAAACCAAAUUUUCUUCCAUUUAUUUUCUCAUUUCUUUGGAACGAAGAAAGCUGCUCUUUUCUUUUGUCAUUUCCCCAAACUGUUCUUAUGCUCUAGCAGUCCCUUUCUUCCCCUACUUACCCAUUUCCUUCAUUUUAUUUUCUUCUUCCCCGGAAAAACGUGAAAGUUCAAACAACGAUUUACUGGCAACUAUAGAACCAUCCAUUGUUCGAUUGUCCCCUAGGCAAAAUAGCGAUUCAAAUAGAAAAACCAAAAUAUAGAAGGGAAUGUGAUUAGAGAUUCGGAGACAUAGGAAAGGCCUUCAAGAGAAAGUUUUUGUGUGUGUUUUAUUUAUUUAUUUCUUUGUUCUUUUUUUUUCUUUUUUUAUUUGGUAUUGUGGCUUUGUUUGGUUGCUAAGAAAGUUGUAGUUUUUCUUUUAAGGGAAAGAAGAGGAGAAGAAGGAGAAUAAGUUGUAAUUCACAGUUUCUAUUGUUUGUUUUUUAUUUGUAAAUUUGUAAAGUUCAUGUUGAUCAGGAAUGCUUCUAUAAAAAUUACAUAUUUAGCUAGAAGUUUGAAUGAAUUGUUUCGGUUCAAAUGUAUUAAAAAAAAUGCUUAAUUUUAAGUUAUGGACUUUUAAAAUAAUGAAAAGUUGCUUCCGUUUUGAUUUUUAGAAUGUGAGUUUCCAAUGUGUAUGUUGGACAUGUCAUCCUUAUUUGUAUUGAUUAUGCAAAAUUUUCAUAAUAUAGCUUGCUAUUCAUUUUACUGUUCAGAUUUAUGCAUUUAGGGAAAUAUUUUUACCAUUGAAGAAGUUGCUUUAAUUAUUCCUGGUUUCAAUUUUUAGGUCUUGCCUUUUGGGUUAUUACUUUGCACUUUACAAGUUUAUGAUAUUAGACCAUCAAAUAAAUUUAGCUUAAAUUUAUUAUUAUUAUUAUCAUAAAAAUAUAAAUAAAGUUUAUGAUAGGUCUUGCUUUAUUAUUAUUAUUACUAUUAUUAUUAAUAAUAAAUAAUUAUAACAAUAGUUAUAAUAUUAAUAAAAAUAAAUUUAAUUCUAAUAAUGCUGAUAAUAAUGAAAAAAUUAUUUAACUGAAAUUUGCUUAAAUUUGUUUUUAUUACUACUAAUAAUAAUAAUAAUAAUACUAAUAAUAAUAAUUUUCCAAACUUCCUUUUUAGAACUUGUUUAGACAUUUCAUUACUUAGCAAUUGUGGAUAAUUUUUUUACAAAAUAAUAUAAUCAAAUCCAAAGUUGACUAUUGGUUGAUUUUCUAAAAUGGUCAUAUGAAAAUUACUAUUCUAUUCCUUUUAAAAGUCAAUUUUCUUUUUACGCAAAUACGAGAUUUUAAAUUUGCUUAAAUUUGUUUUUAUUAAUAAUAAUAAUAAUAAUUUUCCAAACUUCUUUUUUAGGACUUGUUUAGAUAUUUCUAUUAUUGGGCAAUUGUAGAUAAUUUUUUCCAAAAUAAUAUAAUCAAAUUCAAGGUUAAGGUUGACUAUUAGUUGAUUUUUUUAGAUGGUCAUAUGAAAAUGACUAUUCUAUUCAUUUUAAAAGUUAAUUUUCUUUUUACGUAAAAACAAGAUUUUUGGUAUUUUAACUAAAUAAGGUAUUGGGAUUCAAUCAUCACUAUUAUUAUUAUUAUUAUUAUUAUUAUUAUUAAAAAUAAUUAUAAUAAUAGUUAUAAUAUUAAUAAAAAUAAAUUUAGUUCUACUAAUGUUAAUAAUAAUGAAAAAAUUAUUUAAUUAAAAUUUGCUUAAAUUUGUUUUUAUUAGUAAUAAUAUGAAUAAUAAUAAUAAUAAUAAUAAUAAUAAUAAUUUUCCAAACUUCCUUUUUAGUACAUGUUUAGAUAUUUCUAUUACUUGACAAUUGUGGAUAAUUUAUUAUUAUUAAUAUUACUAUUAUUAUUGGUAUUAUUAUUAGUGUUAUUAUUAUUACUACAGUAAUAUUAUCAUCUUCAUCGUUACUAUUCUUAUUUUUUUUCUUAGUUAUUAUCAAUUCAAUCUUAUAUAUCUUUUAUUUGAUUAUUUUUAGGUACUUGAAUGGAUAGUUUGAUUACAAUUGUGUGUUACAAGGAUGGUGAAAUAAUUGAUGGCCCAAAUGGGAUGUGUUACCAUUGUCCUCCUCAAAAAGAUGUUUUAGUGAACAAUUUGAUAAAAUAUGAUGAGUUGGAGGAUAAGUUGUGUCAUGUUAUGUUGAUUGAUCGCACUCAUUCGAUAUUAUCCAUGAUAUUUCUAUAUUCAAUUCUUAUGCCAAUUGGAAAUGGGAACAUUAACCAUAUACAAUUACCAAUUAAAGAUGAUGAUGAUGAUGUAAGGUUAAUGUUUCAUGUUGUAGCACAAAUCCCACCAUCGAAUACUAUUGAAAUGUACUUGCAAACACAUCCAAGGAAUCAUUAAUCUGGGUUAAGGCCAUCAUUUGAUCAUGAAAUUAUGAGUUAUGAUGUGGAAGUACCAACAAAGGGGAAUUUGGCAGUGCACAUUGAUGAUAUGGACGGGAAUUUGGCACAAAAUGACGAAUUGGGGGGGGAAGGGGGGUGUGUGGAGGGGAGGAGGAGGAAUUUAACAGUAGUGACUCAGUUAGUUAUGAUAAUAAAAAACAAUUAUGUUGACAUCCCAUUUACAAAUGAAAAUGAUGAUGUAGAAUUUUAUGAUGAGGAUGAGAUUAAUGAGGAAAAUUAUGAUGAUGAACCUCCAACAAAUAAGGCUUCUUUAGUUGAUGGUCAACACAUUAUGCCUUCCCUAAUGUUUAAACAAUUGAAUUGGGAUGCAAUAAAUAGCAUGACUAUUGAGUCUCUCACAUCAUGUACCGGAUUGUGGAAUGAGUCCAAUGAGUUGCUUAAAUGAUUGAGAUUUGAGAGUAAAGAAGACUUGCAAUAUGCUAUAAAACGUUAUUCAAUAUGUUAGAAUCAACAUUUGGUUGUUUGUAAACGGAACCACAAUUGUGGGCAGUAAGAUGGAAGAAGUGGCAGGAAUGAUGCAAUUGGAGGCUUCAAGCAUGUUGUCGUAAAAUCCAUGGAAUGUUUGAGAUAACCAAGUACACAGGUCUUCACACUUGUGUUUAUCCUAAAUUAUCAUAAGACCACUCUUAACUGGACUUUACAUUGAUUGCAAGAGAGAUCCAAAAUGUGGUUCAAAGGGAUCACACCACCUCUAUUGCUAUAUUGCAUCAGAUAGUGAAGGAUAAAUUUGGAUAUGAUGUCCAUUAUAGGAGAAUUUGGGAAGUUAAGAGAAAGACAAUGCUUAGAGUAUUUGGUGAUUGGGAUGAAUCUUAUCAAUCAUUGUCAAAGUGGAUGAACAUCCUUCUACUAACUAAUCCUGAAACAAAGAUUGUUUGGAAGACAAUACCUUUAGGAGGGAUUUCUGGGAACUCUAUGUUUUAUGAGUGUUUUUUUGACAUUUGGGCCAAGUGUUGAAGGGUUCAAGCAUUGCAAACCAAUUAUACAAAUUGAUGGAGUGUUCUUAUGUGGAAAAUACAUGGGGAAGCUUUUAAUUGUUACUUCAAUUGAUGCAAAUGAUCAUAUAUUCCUUAUCGCAUUUGCAAUUGUGGAAGAGGAAUUACAGGAUAGUUAGUCUUGGUUUCUUAUUGCAUUAAGGUGUCACGUCACUCAAAGAGAAGGGAUAUGCCUAAUUUCAGAUCUCCAUGCAGGAAUAAAUGCUACUAUUAUAAAUCCAUCAGUUGGAUAUAGCCCCUCUCAUGCUCAACAUUGAUAUUGUCUUAGGCACAUAGUGAGCAAUUUUAAUGACAAAUUUAAGAAUAAGAUCUUAAAAGAGUUGGCGUAUAGAGUUAGAUCUCAACAUCAACCACGAAAGCAUGAGAAAUGCAUGGAGGAGUUAAAAUGAUUAGAUGAAAAAAAUGUGGGCUGGUUUUCAACGUUAAACACUCAAAAAUUGACUCAAGCAUAUGAUCUAGGAUAUCGGUAUGGAUGGAUGACCAAAAAUAUUGUUGAAUGCUUAAAUGGGGUGCUUAAGGGGGCACGAAUGUUACCUAUCACUACACUUGUUCAAUUAACUUUUUAUCGUUGUGUGUCUUACUUUGAGAUGUAGAGCAAAGAUACGUGCUAGAAUGGCAAUUGGAGAUGUGUAUACUGCGUAUGCAAUCGAUAAAUUUAGAAGAGCUGAAGCCAAAGCUAGUGGCCAUACUGUGACUAUCUUCCAUCGAAUUCAUCAAACAUUUGAAGUAAUUACUACUCUCCAUGGGUUUCAUAUUGAUAAAGAACAUAACAAACAAGUUAUUAAGUUGAACGAAGGCACAUGUAGUUGUAAUAAGUGGCAAUCAUUUGGCAUUCCAUGCUCACAUGUGCUAGUUGUUUGUGCUCAUAUGAGGAUUGAUAGUUGGUAAUUUGUUAAAAAAUACUACAAGAUGGAUGCUUAUGCAAGCAGUUAUGCUCUUAAAUUUAAUCCCAUUCCAAAUGAAUCUUAUUCGUUGUAUCCCGAUUUUCCUAUUCUCCGCCCGGACCUAACUUUGAUGAGAGAUAAGGGGCAUCCUAGAUCAUCAAGGAUAAGGAAUGAAAUGGAUUUGAAGGAACCAAGCGUUAGGGUUUGAUGUGGCUUAUGUAAAAUAAAGGGGCAUAAUCAUCACAAUUGUCCCACAAAAGAUGGAGGGCAAUCCUUUAACCCCCUUCUUCAUGACAAUUGAAGUAUGAAAGAUUAUCCAUUUUGAUAAUAUGAUAUUUUUAUGUAAUAUCUUUAUAUUUGUAAUCAUGCUAAUGUUAACAAGAAUUCAUGAUUAUUUACUAUAUGCAGGUAUCACUACACGAUGGAGUCGGGACCAUUGGUUCCCAUAGUUCUAUAUGGACAGGGUACACAUAGGUCAUCUCUAGCAUGGACAAAUGUGGACUCUAAGGAGCCUCAUGUCGACAUCACAAGGCGAUUUUCUAUCGCACCAGUGCUCUCGAUGGGCGUAUUAUUCCAUUGCUGCAACAGGUAGACUUCUAUGGUUUUGCACGCUUAGGAUUCAUUUCCUUAGAUUGACACCUUAUUAUUACAUUUGUCGAGAUGUGGCAACAUGAGACUUAUACCUUCCACUUACCUCAGGGGAAGUGCAUGAUUACAUUGCAGGACAUUGCCAUUCUUCUUGGACUACCAAUAGAUGGAGUUGUAGUUACUAGUAGCACAUGUUUAGAUUGGAGACGUGUAUGUUAUUCUUUAUUGAUAAUCUAGAUUUUAUCAUAUAUUUUUAAUGAUAAAAAUUACAAUUUCAAUAAAUAUUGAAUUAAUACCUUAAAUUUUUUUAAUAAAAUAAAUAGACAACAAGAUAUAGAUGAUAUAUAAUAAUACUACAAAGUGAAUUAUUUUAAGAUAAUGUUUAAAUUUUUUUACACACAAAAAUGUCUCUAUUAUAGCUCACUCGAUGGCCAUGGAUAGGUUGAUCUACUCUAUUACAUAUGAGUGUUAGGUUGUGGUUAUUUUAAAAAUUAUAUGGAAUUAUGUAAUGCAAAUUCAAUGAAAAUUUUCAUUUUUAGAUGAAAAACGUUUUUGAGGAAAUCCAAAAAUUCUAUAAAUUACUUAGUUUAGUAAAUGUCAGAGUUCAAGCUACUUAGUUUCCCUAAUUUAUGUCAAGAAUUUUUGUUUCUAUGAGUACAAUGGUAUCUCCGUACACUUGUUAGUUGUUCUUUGUAAAUUUUUAUAUAUAUUAUUUUGAAACCAACAUAAAAUAAGAACUUUUUAUCUUAUGUUUUAGAAUUUCUAUAACUUUAUUAUUAUUAUUAUUAUUAUUAUUAUUAUUAUUAUUAUCUUUUUUUACAUUUUCUUUUCAAAAUAUUUGAAUGUCAUAUUUUUUUUUGUUUUUUCCUAUUGUUUUGCUUUGUAUAUAAUAAUUUUUAUUUAAUAAAAUUAUUGGAUUUCUUAAAAUUAAUAAAAGUAUAAUUACACGAAUAAUAAAAUUACUUAAAUACAAAAUAUUAUCAAGCAUAAAUAUAGAUUUAUUAAACAAGAACUACCAAGUUUAUGCUUUUAUAUUCUAAUAUAAUUUUUUUUUCUUUUAAUAUUGCGUUUGAACAUUGGCCUCACUUUCAAGGGGAUGGCACCCUUAGCUGAAGCCUACAACAGCAAAAUCACGUGAAUAACACUUCAAGAAAGUUCAAGAAAAGUGUUGUGUGUGUAGCAUAAGUAGUGGCUUUUUAAAAUUUUACAACAACUUUAAAAAAUAAUUAUUUAAAAAUGGUAAUUUGAAAAAUAUUGAUAGAUGUACGUGACUUUUUGCCACGGGGAAGGUGUCUCUUCAAGAGAAACCUUUCAUAAUUUUCAAAUUCAUGAUAGGUAUUUAAAAGAAUUGAAUUUAUAUUAAAAGUGUCUCUUGAAAAGACACAUUUCCACAAUUUCAUAAAAUUUAAAUUUAUAUUACAAGUAUCUCAUGAAUUUGAUUUUAUAUUGAAGGUGUCUUUUUCUAUAAUUCCAAAAAAUUUGAAUUUAUACUAAAGGUGUCUCUUGAAGAGAUACUUUCCAUAAUUCCACAAAUUCCAAUAUAUACUAAAGGUGUCUUUUCAAGAGACCCCUUCCACAAUUUCAUAAAUUUUAUACGUGUCUCUUAAAUUUGAUUUUAUAUUGAAGGGGUAUCUUCAAAAGACAUCUUCUAUAAUCCCCAAAAAAUUGGAUUUAUAUUGAAGGUGUGUCUUCAAAAGACACUUUUCACAAUUCCACAAAAUCCAAUAUAUACUAAAGGAGUGUCUUGAAGAGACACAUUCUACAAUUCCCAAAAAAUUGGAUUUAUACUAAAGGUGUCUCUUCCACAAUUUUACAAAUUUUAAUUUAUACUACUAUGUGUCUCUUAAAUUUGAUUUUAUAUUAAAUGUGUCUCUUCAAAAGACACCUUCUACAAUUCCCAAAAAAAUGAAUUUAUACAAAAAGUGUUUAUUCAAGAGAUAUCUUCCACAAUUUGACAAAAUCUAAUAUAUACUAAAGGUGUCUUUUGAAGAGACAUCUUCCACAAUUUCACAAUUUUAAUUUAUAUCAAUUUUAUAUUGAAGGUGUCUUCUGAAAGACACCUUUUAUAAUUUUCAAAAAAUUAUAUUUAUACUAAAUCCAUAAUUAAAAAAAAAUGGGUUUAUGCUAAAAGUGUUUUUUCAAGAAAAAGACACUUUCCACAAUUUCCAUACACAGUGGAAAUUUUCAAAUUUAUGCUGAAGGUGUCUCUUGAAGAGACACCUUCGACAAUUCCCUAAAAAAAAUGGAUUUAUACUAAAUGUGUCUCUUCAAGAGUCACCUUCCACAACUAAAAACAAAUUGAGUUUAUAUUGAAAGUGUCUCUUUGAGAGACACUUUCCACAAUUUCCAUACACAGUGGAAAAUUUUAAAUUUAAGCUGAGGGUGUCUCUUCAAGAGAUACCUUCCAUAAAAGAAAAAAAAAAUUAUAUCUCUUAAUUAGUAUUACCUUAUAUACAACCAGAUGUUUAAAGUUUAUCACCUAUAUACAUUAUAAUCAAUAUUUUGACAUUCAAUCCAAAAUCAAUCAAAACAAGUAAACCAAAUACCAAUUAAAUUAGUACAUUUCCAUAAUAAUAACAAUACUAUUUUGUAUAAAAUAAGUCCAAAAUGGGUAGAUUACUAUAGAACUUACAUUAAUAAAAAGUUAGUCAAUCCAAAAUAUAACAAGUAUAAAUAUACAUCUUGAGUAUUUGUCUAAAAUAAUGAUAUGCAAAAUACUAACAAUAUCCAAAAAUAUAAGUCAUAUAUAGUCACAUCCUUAAUGUGUACUGCAUGAAGGAGCCUUCUUCUUCCGUUGUAGACGUCUAUGAUAUGCAUGUUCUACUAUUGGCUCUAUGGGGAUGACAUGUACCCCCCUCUCCCCCAUGAGUUGGAUGACCACGUCUCCUACCACAUCCUCAACCUUGUCCUCGACCACGAUCAUUCUUUUGUCCUCACUAAUCAUCAUUUUCUAUAUGAACUAACUCCUCAUCAACCAAUUAAACCUCUAUUGGUUGUAGUGAUGAUGCAACAAGUGGUACUAUAGGUGGGGUGGAUGACACUUCCACAGGUGUAAUAAGAGUCUCUUCUAUAUGUGGUGGGUUAAUGUCAGUUGAUGGUGCAUAUUUAAGAAUAGAUGUAUGCCUAGCCUUUCUUGUAUAAGCCCAUCCUCCUCUAGUCCAUACAUUUCUUGAUUGAGUAAUGGAUGAUAUCAACUGUUAUAAGGUGGUGGACUAAUGUUAGUUGAUGGUUGCACUCGGGCAACAAAUGGUGUAUGCCUAAUCUUCCUCGUAUGAGGCCCUCGUCCUAUAGGUCGUACAUGUCCUAAUCAAGGCUGGAGCUGUGUAGUAGCAUCAACACUAAAUGGAACAUUUAAGCAAUCCAUCUCAUGUAUGACCUAUAAUACGGUAGUAGAUAGUUUGCAAAUGUGCAAAUCAUCUAAAGGUGCAAUAUCAUAUAUCUGAUAUAUGCUGGUAGUCUGUAAGUCAAAUAGGAGAUAAAUUAAAUUCUUACAAAAAUAAAAUAAAAUAUAUUUAAAAAAAUAAAACAUGAAAAUUACUAGUAGCUCAUGGAAGGACCCAGUCUGAGUAAGAAACAGAAUAGUAAUGGAACAAUACCACACCAUAUAUGGAUCAUGAUACCCCAAUGAACCUAUAGCCAUCUCGCCUCUAGCAAUAUGCUCAUGCCUAAAGGUCCAACAUCGAAUGUAGUCUCCAUGUUGAGUAGUCUAAUCAACACCAUGUCUACCUCUCAAAUCACAUUUGUGUAAGAUUGAUUCAUUAUCACAUGGCUGAGGAAUCCCUUGACGAAAUCCAAACUAUUGCAAUACUCGAUCAGGUCUAUGCCAUUCAACUAUGUGGAAACAUAUCAAAGGUGAGAUAAUGUACCAUGUAUCUUUCCCAGCAAUACAAUAAUAAGGAAGACCGACAUUCAUGUUAUCAAUAUAAGGUUGCCAUAUAAUUUGUACUUAAGAAAGGUUAUAUAUAAUCGGUGGUAUGGAAUUUGUUUAAAGAAACAAGUGUAAGAAAUGAAUCACACUUCUAUAACCUGAUAUGCUAUAAGUCGAUCAAGAUGGUACCUAUAUUGAGCUAAGAUAUGCAUGAUAAUCGAAGUAGUACGAAACUCAUCUCUCCAACUAUAAAAACAAAAUAACAAAGCAUAAAUAAAUAAAUAAAUGAUAGAAUUUAAGUGUAUGCAUGUAUCAUCAUAAUAGUAAAAUUUGUGGAAUAUUACCGAAUGGCUAAUAAAGGUGGAGGCAACUGCUCAUCAUGUGGAGCUUUAUGUAAACGACAAGGUGCAAUAAAUGGGAACCUCUCCCAUACCCAUAAUUGGAGCAAAAUUAAUGGGCUAGAUAUAUUAUGUGUAUCAAUUUGAGAGGCUUGACACAAUUGUCGAUAAAGCCAGGCUAAACAGGCACUACCCCAACUAUUCCUACCAGCAAUCUCAAAAUCCUCUAGAAAGGGUAAAACAUAAGAUGCACCUUAUCACUAGACUUUCCCGAAUCUAAUCUUUUCAUAAUAUUUGUUAAUACACAACUAACGAUGUCUUGUCCGAUUAGCUUCUUUUGAAUCUAGAUGUUUUUUCGAACACGCUUCCUGAAGUUUAAAUUAGUUUAGAGAAGAGAUGUAUAAAAACUUUUUUGGGAACUUGCAUCAUACUUGAGUUUUGAUGCCUAAUUGUUAUUUAUCUUCACCAAAUUAUAACGUUUUCUAUGCGUCUUGAUUGCUUUUAAAUGUCAAUAAUUGGCUUUAUAAAUAAUGAUUUUUGAGCUUAAAGCCAAAUGUUUUAUGCUCAUGAGUUACCAUGGUGUAACGAUAUAAUAUUUAAUGCUUUGAUAAUUAAUGUCUGUCGAAUGAUAAUUAAUGAUGCCGGGAUAGCGUUUCCCGCCUAAUACCAAGACGGAAGAUGUUGCCUCCAAUAAAAGAUCGUGUGGUUUGAAAUGUCUCUUUUUCUUGUUCAAUGAAUGACUUUUUCUAUAGUAUAAUUUAUUGGAUUGAUUUUUAGAGCAUUUUAAAUCAGUUGAAUUACUAGCUGACAAGGUAUUUAUUGUACGUGGGUUUUAGGUAUUUAUUGCGUGUAGUAGGUGUGUGGUGGAUAAAGUUUUGAUAUUUAAUGCUUAUGAAUUAUUGGAUGAAAUGAUAGGUGUGUGGUGGACAAAGUUUUGACAUUUAAUGCUUAUGAAUUAUUUGAUGAAAGGAUGGUGGGAUCUUGGAAUUACUUGGCCUCCUUUAAAGAUGACAUCUAAACAUUUAGUAAAUUAAUUUAAUAAAUAUCAAUUCUAUUCUACAUUAUUUCACGUCACAUCAAAAAAAUGGUAAUCAUCACUUUGUUAAAUAAAAAUAAUAAUCAUGAUUAAAUUGUUUUAUAGUUUCAUUUCAUUUUUUUUAUAUUAUAUAUGAUUUUUUUUUGGCAACUUUAUUCAAAAGUUCAAACUUAAUCAUAUAUUUUAAGAAUCCAAAUUUUUAGCUUGAUAUAAUACCUAUCCGAUAUCAUACUAUUUUUCUUUAUAAAUUUAAGAAUUUAGACUCAAUUGAAUUUAUUUUUCAAAUAAUAAGAAUAUAUUUUAUUUCUAAAAAAAAUAUUAAAGAAAUGAUAAAAUAAUAUUAAAGAAUGUGAUUUUUUUUAUUUAAAUACCAAAUAAAAAGUUGAGGAAAUAAAAAAUAAAAUAAAAAAGUGACAUCUUUUUUUAUUUAGUUAAAAAUUUUAUUUUUCUUUUACCUUUUAAGGUUUGGAAAAGUGUAAGGUGCCAAACUUAUACCAAUUGAAGUUCAAAUAUGAGUUGUUAAAAGUUUAUGAUAAAAUUUUACAAUUAAGGUAUUAAAAUAUUUUUUUAAUACCUUAAUUUUUUAAAUAUAGUUUUUUUUUUAACCAUUAGUUUUUUAAUGCAAGGUUUUAAAAGUUCUUAUAUAAAAAGCUACUACCAUUUUCUGUUUUAAAAAAUAGAAAAUAUGAAAUAUAUAAACUGAAAACUUAAGUAAGUAAAUUUUUUAUUUCUUGGUUAUUAACAUUUAUAGUUAAAAUAUUUAAAAUUUAUAAAUAAAAAACAUUGUAUUUUGUUGUUAAAUAUAUAUAAAAGCAUUUUAUUUAUAUUAAAUAAUGGUAGAUGCUAAUAUCAUCUUUAUGUUAUAUUAUAAUCAAUUUUUAAUUCUUUUUUUUAAACUAAAAUUUUAAUUUAUUUAAUUAAAAAUUUUCUUUUAAAUAUGAGUAAUAUAUAAAAAAAAAAAUUGAAAUAAGACCAAAUUUGCAUGAUGCUUGCAUGUGACAGUUUGGCUGCCAUCUCCAUUUGCAACCUGGUUGGAAUCAGAAUCCAAGUUAAGAUUCUACAAUUUGAUUCAUGAAGUGAAGUUGGGUGAUCUACUAACUUCUAUCAUUAAAUUUAUGGCUUGGAAGACCACCCCUUGCUGCAAAGCUGUGUGGUGAUGGGGAGGUGCAUUUGUCCUUUCUUUGUCUCAUCUUUAAUUUUUAUUUGAUUUGAUUUGAUUUGAUUUUUCCUUUAUAUUAAUUGAAAGGUUAAGGAAAAUUCUUAGCCGGUAUAAGAACUGUGUCAAGGCUGAGCUCAAGUCUUCUCUCGUCUCGUCUUUGAGAAAUGACUCCAUUGUACCCAUGUAAACAAUAUUAAUAAAAUAAAGUGGGUAAAUUAAGUAACGGACUUCGACAAUUAAUUUAAUGAAUUUUUUUGGUUCCCUUAUAAACUUUUUCUAUUAAGAAAUGAAAAACUUCAUUGAAUUUGAAUAAAAAAUUCCAUAUAGUUUUUAAAAUGACCACAACCUAUUAUUUGCAUAGAAUAGUGAAGGCAUGGGAUAUUUUAUACCGAUAUUUUAAAGCGUUAAGUUAUAGGAUUAAUGUUAUCACACUUUGAAUAUGUGUCAUUAUAUACCGAAUAAUACCUAAAUAAGCCUUAUCAAAUGAUGAUGAUUCUAAUAAGCACCGUGGAUUGAAAAAUACUACACUAAAUGAUAUUGCACACUCGAAUCUCACAUUAUAAUUUAAAUAAUGACUCUUUUUAAAAGUGUUAAGGAAUCAAGCGUAAUUAUUUUCAAUUUUUGUAGUAAUGCUUUAACAUCUCUCAUACUACUAUAUAUCUACCGAAUAGGGUUUUAUUUUCCAUUGUUUUGUAUAAAACAUAUUCUAAUAUAAGGCAUGAUUGGGGUACAAAAUGGAUAUUAUUUUUAACAAUACUUCAUAAUUUUUAUAUUAUACAAUAUUAUCCUUUCAUAUAGAUAAAAAUUAUAUUUGAUUGUAAAAACAUAUUUAGAUGUUGAAUUUAAUUGUGAUAGCAUCUCUCGUAAUCAUUUCACCUAGUGAAUUUAUUUCAUCUGGACUUACUUUAAUUAUUUAUUUUAAUAAAAAAAAAGUGAAAUUUGAAGACUUCCAUUUGUUGGAAAUAUCUCUAUAAAUAUUGUAGUUCAUGAGGAGGAAAAGUUAUGAGAUGAAGAUGAACUUGUAAAGACUAUACGAAGUGAAUAGAGAUGUGAGGGAGAACGAGAGAUACUCGAUAGAGUGAGAGGGCUCGUGAUAGGGUAUGGAUAGAAAAAGUGGGCAAACAUGGGAUGUUUUGGGAACCCAAUAGUUUUAUUUGGUUUUAUCCUCUAUAAUAUUCUCUAUUGUAUAGUGGAAUGAUUCUCUUAUCUAUGGACGUAAGCUUGAUUGGCCAAAUCACAUUAAAACCUCGUGCACAUUUGUAUUGAUUAUUUUAUCUUUGUAUUCUUGAAUUAAUUUUGUUUGCAUGAAAGUUUUCACUGACAUAACAAAUUGGUAUUAGAGAUCCAGGUUGAAGACUUUUAGAAGAGCACAUAAGACGAAGACAAAAGAAAUUUCAGAUAAUGGUCAACAAUUUUUAACUAUAGUGACUGACUCAUUGUUUCAUCAUUUAGUGAUCAAUGAUAGUUGUUGUUAUCCCCUCUCCUUUAAUAAUUGAUGAUGUUAUCUCAACUCCAAUAAUUGAUGAUGUUAUUUUCACUCCUUUCAAUAUAUUAUAACUAACCAAUUAAUAACAUAAAUACCUUAGUCGUGUUUUCAUAUUCAUCUCAAACUUCUUUGGACUUUGUUGCCUUCGAAAUUUGAGGAAAAAUACUUUAUGCAAUUGCUUGUUGAAUAAAAAACAAAACAAUGUCUCAACAUCUUUCUUUCUUUCACACAUUUCUAAUAGCAUAUGUUAGAAUCUCCUCUUCUAUAUAAUCCUUAUUCAUAAGCUCUCCCAAAUCUUCAAAGAUAAAAGGAGUCCUCAUCUUUGAGCUUUAAAUGUCAUAUCCACUUCCUUGAAAAAAAUGGUAUCAUAAGCUGGAUUGGGAUAACCAUUCAAUCAACUUGAUUAUGAUACCAGACAAUAAUCCAAAAAAGACGCAUUCUUGACAAUCGUAAAGAAGAAAAAGGUUAAAAAAAACGUUCUCUACAAUAGUAAGGAAGAAAGGAGUUAAAAAAUAACAAAACACUACAAAAAACCUUUGGGAUAAAAGAAAGAAGUCUGAAAUUUUAUUCUUUAGAUUUAUCGUGAAAUAAAGCGCCUCAUUGAGAUGGUUUGCAAGGUGGCUCGCUUCACAGUAAAGUUGUACGUCUGGCCUCUUCUUUAUUUAUUAUUUCUUUUAAUUUCUGUGUUUUUUCUGUCAUAUUAAUAGAAUAUCAUGGAAAAUUCCCUGAUAUAUUUUGCUAGCCCACAUCCUAGAACCGUGGAAAGGCCGGAUAACAACGUUGAAUCAAAUAUGAUGGAAGACGUUGAUCAGUUGUGUGGUGGAGAGGAGGCGCUCAAGUCUUCUCCUUUGUCUCUUAUUUAUUUUUCACUUGUGUCUUUCCUUUAUAUUAAUUGAGUGGUCAGGAAAAUGUUAUUCAUAUUCACAACUGUGUCCAUUGACACUCAGGUCAGAUAAAUCAGUUCAAUACUCUAUGCACAUUUAAAAUAUAAUUCUAAUUCCAAUACAAAAUCAAUGUAAAAAUAAAAGAAAGUAGAAUAUAGUUUGAUUCUCCUACUUUCAACUUUCCCUGCUUUGGACUCUUGUUUUUCAAUAUCAGCAAGUGUAGAGCCGGUUCUCUUUGCCUUCUCAGAAAAGAGCUCAUCCAAAGAUCCGAGAGCCCUCAUCUACACAUCUGCAUUUUAUUUUCUUAUAUAACCCCAUCCUCAGCUUGCCAAACCGACCUUAAACAAAAACAAAGAGGCUAUUCUUUCUUUUUCUUGAGCGAAGAGGUUAUUUUGUCUACCAUGUCCGAAAUCGUACCUCUCCAAAAUUGACAAUUUUCAACAACAAAGGAGAGGAAAAAGCAAGAACAGAGGAUGCAAGUGAGAAAUGAAAGGUCCGAUGAAUGCGGUAAAACAACGUACAAGCCGGUUGCGAAAGCGAUCGCCAUUGCUCCCAUCCCAACCAUGGUGAAAAUAAAGGCCCAAAGCAAGUGCUUCUCAAGGAACUUCUCCCGUUUGCGCAUGGUCAUAAAAAAGUGAAGAAAUACGGCGCAUAGUGAAGACACCAUGGCUAUGGUAUCGGUCACAACAAAUGCUCUGAAAGCUGCUUUCUUUGAUAAAAUUGCCUUGCCAUCAUCCUCUUUGUAACCACCGGGCAAGGUGAAACCUGCAGCAAAAGUUACUGUUGUUAAAAGCGCGGACACUAUCAAAUGGGUUUCACCUUGUUUUCGUAAUUCAGAGGUGUAUUUCUCCUUGUACUCUUUGCUUUCUUUUUCUGUCUUCAAUUUCUUCAUUGACUUCUCCCGAGCCAUAGAUGAAUUACCGGGCAUAGCCCACUCGAACUGCUCUUGGAUCUGAUUCAGAAAUUGGAUGAGAGGAACAUUUAAAUUUAAUUCAAUUGAACAAUCCAUUUUUUUCACAUGCACUCAUUGCUGAUGAAAAUCUGAUAUAAGUGAAAAAUGCGCGUUACUUAAAUGCAUCAAAUCAAGCUUAUUUAUUCCAAAAGAUAUGACGUUAAUCGAGUUAUUUGUUUGUUCUAAACCCUUUUAAUAAAAAUGAUAUGUUGAGUGCAAAUUUAUUUAAAUUUCAACAUCAAUAUAAAUUAUUAAAUAAAUCCAAUAAAUUCAUUUUUUUAACUCAUAUAUAAGUUUUGGAAUAGAUGUUUUGCAAUUAUCUCUUUACAAUAAGAUAAACAAGAGUCUUACUAAUAAUGGUGAAUUCUGGUGCUGGGGUCUUAUGCCCAUCGUGAGUCGAUAGGCUACGGAUGAAAGGAUGGUAUGUUUAGGUUCAAGGAAACCAAUCAUAUGGUUAAAAGUAACAAAACAUUGCGUAUUUCAAAGAAAAUAUUUUCGUUCAAAUGAGCACAUGCAGUUUGAGAAACACGAUAUAACGAGCAUUUUUCAAUACAUGGUAACAAAGUGAUGAGGGAGCCUUUCCCUUUUCGUUGAAACAUUCUCCUUGGCCUUCAAAGUCAUGUCGUAAGCUGUCAAUUUUUCAUUGUUGUACUUAUUUAUUUAUUUUGUAUUUAAUUAACUGCGUUAUGGCCCUCAUGUGAGCUGCAAUAGUGACAUUUUUGUGUUUCAAAUGUUGAAUAUUCUCUAAAAAUUAUUCACUUUGUAGUAUUAUUAUAUAUCAUCUAUAUCCUAUUAUCUAUUUAAUUUAUUAAAAAAAUUAUAAGAUAUUAAUUCAAUAUCUAUUAAACUGUAAUCUUAAUUAUUAAAAAUAUAUGAUAAAAUCUAAAUUAUUAGAUAAGAGUAUAAAUAAAUAAAAUUAAAAUAUAAAAAAAUGUAAUCAAAUUAUUAAAAAAUUGACACAAUUAGAUACAAAACAAUAAAAGUAAAUUAUAUACAUGAUAUAUUAUAAUUAAUUCCACAAUUUUGUACGUACGAAUUUGAUAUUAUAGCGAAACUAAUCUUUCCAUCAUAUUUGUUAGUAUAAAACUAACAAUGUCUUGCCUAGUUAGUUUCCUUUGAGUCUCAAUGUUUUCUCGAAUAAACGUCUCAAGUUUGAGAGACUAGAUAGAAAAGAACUUUUUUUUGGAACUUGCAUUAUACUUGAGUUCUAAUGCCUAAUGGUUAUUUAUCUUCACCAAAUUGAAACGUUUUCUACGUGUCUUAAUUGCUUUUAAAUGUCAAUAAUUGGUUGGCUCUACAGUUUUUGGGCUUAAAGCAAGAUGUUUUAUGGUAAUGAGUGACCUUGAUGUAACGGGAUAAUAUUUAAUGCUUUGAUAAUUAAUGACUGUCGAAUGAUAAUUAAUGAUGCCCAGAUAGUCUAAUACCAAAACGGAAAAGGGAAUGCCUGGACGGAUGUUGUUGCCUCCGAUAAAAGGUUGUGUGGUUUGAAAUGUCAUUUUUUCUUAUUCAGUGAAUGACUUUUUCUAUAAUAUAAUUUAUUGGAUUGAUUUUUAAAGCAUUUUAAAUCAGUUGAAUUACCAGCUGACAUGGUAUUUAUUGUGGGUUUUAGGUAUUUGUUGCGUAUGGUAGGUGUGUGGAGGAUAAAGUUUUGAUAUUUAAUGCGUAUGAAUUAUUGGAUGAAAGGAUAGGCUUUUAAAUCAGUUGAAUUACUAGCUGACACGAUAUUUAUUGUGGGUUUUAACCUUUUAGGUAUUUAUUGCGUGUGGUAGGUGCGUGGUGGAUAGAGAUUUGAUAUUUAAUGCUUAUGAAUUAUUGGAUGAAAGGAUAGGUUUUUAAAUCGGUUGAAUUACUAGCUGACAGGGUACAUUUAUUGUGGGCUUUAGGUAUUUAUUGCGUGAGGUAGGUGAAGGGUCUCCAAAAAGCCCGCGGCCCACGGCCCGGCCUAGUGGGCUAAAGCCCGGCAGGCCCGAGCCCAUUUCUAGAUGGGUCGGGUCAUGGGCCCCAAUUUAGGCUCGAUCCGGCCCGACGGGCUGGCCCGCCCGUAGGCCCAUAGGCCCGCCACUUAAAAUAUAUAUAUAUAUAUAUAUAUAUAUAUAUAAAAUAUUCAAGAAAUAGAAAAUACUACAUUAAUAAAAAUAUUCAUUGCUAACUAUUUUAUUCAUUGAAUGUAUACAUUACAUUUGAAAAUGUGGGAAAAGUUUACAUCACUACAAAAUAAGUACAUCCCAACUAGGUUGGCACCUACUUAUUUCUCAAUCAUUGUACUUUUCAACCACAAAAAUAAAAAUAAAAAUAUGAUAUACAUUUAGUAAAAUAUUUUAAUCAUUAUCUUUUGGCGGUGAUGGCGAAAUAUCGCAAAUCCAUGAAGAUCUUGAUGAUUUUAGUUUUUCCAUAUCGACAAGCAUAUUUUCUUUUUGAAUAGAAUCAAAUAUCCUUUUAUCUGCUAUUGCCCAGUCUUUCACACAUAUAUUUGCUUCAAUAGAAUCCGGCGCUAAGCUGCAUCGUUUAUCACUAACUACUCUUCCAUCUGCACUAAAAGCAGCUUCUGAUGCAACUGUACUCACAGGAACUGUUAGUACAUCACGAGCAAUGAUAGAAAGCACAGGAUAUUUGUGUUGUUGUGAUUUCCACCAUAUUAAAAUAUCAAAAUCUUCAUCAUCUUCAAAUGAAAUUAAAUCAAUAUUAAGAUAUCUAUCUAAAUCAGUUGUGUUGUUUGGAGAACUAUUUGUUGUCUUCUUUCAACUUUUUAACAUUUCUAGAGCUCCUUUAUAAAAAGAUGAAGAGCUUGUAGAUGUAGGUAGUAAUUUAAUAGAACUAAUAUCAUCACCAUAUUUUUCUUUAUAAUAGUUAUAUAAAUUAUAUAAUAAUGAAUUUAGUUCAUUUUUAAUUUCUUCAAUUUUUAUUUGGUCAUUAAAAUAAAUAAUUGUUAACCAUUCAUCCAAAGCUUCAAAUUUCAAUCUAGGGUCUACAAUUAAAUCAAAAUAAAAAAUUAAAGGUAUUUCUCCCCAAUAUUUUCUAAAUUUUUCUAUCAUUGCAAAUAUUGCAUCAUUAAAUAUAUCCAAAUUUAAAUAUUUUUGAAGUACAAUAAAAAUAUUAGUUAUUUGCAUGACAACUCGGUUUGAAGAUGGAUAACAUACACCACAAAAUUUUUUUGUUGAAGUAUCAAAUACUUCAAAAAGAUCUCUUAAAAGAUCUGCAAUAUGUCAAUCAUAAUCAUUUAAUACAUCAAUAUCUGUUUCACAAUCAUUGCUAAUUAAUUAUAUUUCAUAUAGUUCUACUACUUUUCUAUAUUUUAUAAUAGUUUGUAAAAGUUUAUAAGUGGAAUUCCAUCUAGUGGGCAUAUCCAAAUUUAUAUAUUUUUUUUCAUAUUUAACAUUUUGCAACAAUAAAAAAAUAAUUCAUGUUUUGCUUGAGAACUAUAAAGACCCGUAGCAAUGCCUCUAAUUUUUUAUAAUGUAUCAUCAACGUGCUUUAAUCCAUCUUUUAUAAUUAAAUUUAAAAUAUGUGCACAACAACACACAUGAAAUAUUUUACAUUGAUCUUCUUUUAUUUGCCAAUAUCGUUUUAAUCUAGAUAUUGUUGCAUCAUUAUUAGAAGCAUUAUCUAAUGUUAUUGUAAAUAUUUUAUCACGAAUGCCAAAAUCUAUAAUUUCAUCAUUUAUUAAAGAUGCUAUAUUUUUACCAUUAUGUGGAGCAUUUAUUAUUUUAAAUGAAAUAAUUCUUUUAUUUAAUUUCCAUUCAUUAUCAAUAUAAUAAGCAGUUAUACAUAAAAAAACUACUGUGAGUUAAAGAUGUCCAAAUAUCAGAUGUUAAACAAAUUCUUCCUUCAAAAUUUGCAAAAAAAAAUUUUAAAUUUUCUUUUUGUGUUUCAAAAUUUUUUAUAAGAAUUCUUUUAACUGUAUUUCCAAAGCAACCUUGAAACUGAGGAUUAACAGCUCGUUGCAUUGUUCCCGUAAAAUCAUGAGUUUCCAUGAAAUUGAAAGGUUGUUCUGCUUUUAUUAUAUAACCAAUCAUUUCUUCACGACAAUAAGAUUCAUCAUAAGAAAAUGUUUUUAAAUUUUCACUUUCAUCUUUACCUAAUUGCAUAUAAUUUCUAAUAUCUACAUUAUUUUUAGUUUUACAAUUUUCAUGAUGCCUUUUUAAAUGACUUGUACCUGCAUUUGAGUCACUACUAAGAAGUUUGUUACAAAUUUUACAUUUUGCUUUUAUUUCUUUUUUAUUAUUUUCUAAAUUUAUUUCUAUUCUAUCAAAAAAAUUCCAUAUAUUUGAAAUAAAUUUUUUGCUAUCACAUGCAUUAGAUGAAGAACAAGAACCACUUGCCAUAAUUAUAAUUAUUGAUAAAAUAUUAUGCUAAAAAUAAUAAAUGUAAAAUUAAAAUGUAACAAAUAAAUAAAAGAAAAUGUGAAGUAUGUUACUAAAUUGGAGAACCGAAGUAGAAAUUCCUUCAAAUUUGAACUCUUUGAACCACAAAUGCUUGUUUUUCAUCACCAAUAAUAUUGAAUAAUUUGAGACAAAAUGCAAUAAUUGGAAAUAUUGUGGAAUGGGAGAGAGCUUAAGAGUUGAGAGAAUAGAAAAAAUUGAGGGUAUUUAAUAUUUAUAGGGAUUUAAAUAUUAGGAUUUAUUUAUUUAUUUAUUUUUUAAAUGUCAAGACCGUUCAACGGUCAUAUAUUUGAUAUUUAUGAGUGGCAUGUUCAAUGGUCAUGCGACCGUUGAACAGCCACCUCACUUUUAUUUUUUUUCAAAAAUCAUACAACAUUUCUAAUAUAUAUAUAUAACUAAUGCAAAAUAGUUAUAUAAAAGAGGGUCAGCUCAGUUGGUGGCUAGCUCUCCUUGAAUACUCAUAUAUCCAUAAGGGAAGGGGUUUGAAUCCCCCUCCUUUCAAAACUCAAAAGUAUUUUAAUUUUUACCCAAAACCCACCCAAGCCCGUAGGCUUGCCCGCCAAGCCCGCCCAGCUUGAGGGCUCAUAGGUUGGGCCACGGGCCUUAGAUUUACCAAGGGCCUGGCCCGGCCAACGUCAACGGGCUCAGUGGCCCGCCCCGAGCUGGGCCAUGGGCCUUACUCCUCCGGGCCGGCCGGCCCGACCCGGCCCGUUGGAGACCCUUAGGUAGGUGUGCGGUGGACAAAGUUUUGACAUUUAAUCCUUACGAAUUAUUUGAUGAAAGGAUGAUGGAAUCUUGGAAUUACUUGGCCUCCUUUAAAGAUGACAUCUAAACAUUUAGUAAAUUAAUUUAAUAAAUAUCAAUUCUAUUCUACAUUAUUUCACGUUACAUCAAAAAAAUGGUAAUCAUCACACUGUUAAAUAAUAAUAAUAAUAAUAAUAAUAAUGACUAAAUCUAUGUUUGUUCUAGAAAAUGCUAAGGAAAUGACAAAAAAAUCAUGUAGAAAAUUAUUUUCUUUAGUUUGGAUGAUAUGAUUGGAAAAAAAAUGUUAAAGAAAAUAUCAUAAUAUUCUUCCUAUUAUUUUCUUUAAAAAAAUAAGAAGGAAAAUAAGAAGAAAAGAGAAGAGAAAAGUUGAAGGAAAUUUUAUCGGACUCGUUUUCACCGAGUCUCUUAUUCACCUUUGGACGACGUCGUUGGGGUCCAUAUUACAUUCCUUGAGCAUGGCGUGGAUCUCCUGCUCUGAACAGUUAACAACCUCCCUCAAGCUUUAAACCAUCUUUCUAAGCGCCGUCGGAAUUACAGAAAUCCCACCACUGCCUUUUCUAUUCACGCUGCUCACACCACCACCGCCACCACCACCACCACCUCCUCCGCUCAUGAUUUCUCUCUCUUCUUUCUCUCUACACCAAACUCUCAUAUCUUUCCUCUCUUUCUCUCCUUGGUUGCCCUAUUGAUUCUGCUGCGAUAAAACAAGAAGAUUUCUAUGCCCCCACCCUCUCUCUCUUCCUUCCUACCGAAAACCCUCUUUCUUUCUCUCUCUAAAAACUAUUUUUAUUAUUAUUUUUUGAGGAAUGAUUAUAACAUUUUGUUUUCUUUCCAUUUUUCCUUGACUUUUUUUCGUGGUUAGUUGAAUAAAAGAAAAUGAAUUCUUUUUUUGUCCCUUGAAUUUUCCAUGGAUAACAAAAAAAAAAAAAUUAUAUUUCUUUCCUUAGCUUUUUCUUUCCUUCCAUUUUUUCUCCUAAUUUUCUUUCUCUUACAUUUUCUGGAACCAAACAUAGCCUAAAUUGUUUUAUAGUUUCAUUUCAUUUUUUUAUAUUAUAUAUGCUUUUUUUUUUUGUUGGCAAUUUUAUUCAAAAGUUCAAACUUAAUCAUUUAUUGUAAGAAUUCAAAUUUUUAGCUUGAUAUAAUACUUAUCCGAUAUCAUACUAUUUUUCUUUAUAAAUUUAAGAAUUUAGACUCAAUUGAAUUCAUUUUUCAAAUAAUAAGAAUAUAUUUUAUUUCUAAAAAAAUUUAAAGAAAUAAUAAAAUAAUAUUAAAGAAUGUACGUGAUUUCCUUAUUUAAAUACCAAAUAAAAAGUUGAGGAAAUAAAAUUUUUAUUUAGUUAAAAUUUUUAUUUUUCUUUUACCUUUUAAGGUUUGGAAAAGUGUAAGGUGCCAAAUUCAUACAUAUUGAAGUUCAAAUAUGAGUUGUUAAAAGUUUAUGAUAAAAUUUUAAAAUUAAGGUAUUAAAAUAUUUUUUUAAUACCUUAAUUUUUUAAAAACCAUUAGUUUUUUAAUGCAAGAUUUUAAAAGUUCUUAUAUAAAAAGCUACUACCAUUUUCUAUUUUCAAAAAUAGAAAAUAUGAAAUAUAUAGACUGAAAACUUAGUACAUAAAUUUUUAUUUAUUGGUUAAUAAAAUUUAUAGUUAAAAUAUUUAAAAUUUAUAAAUAAAAAACAUUGCAUUUUGUUGUUAAAUAUAUAAAAACAUUUUAUUUAUAAUAAAUAAUGUUCGAUGCUAAUGUCAUUUUUAUGUUAUGCUAUAAUCAAUUUUUAAUUCUUUUUUUAAAACUAAAAUUUUAAUUUCUUUAAUUAAAAUUUUUCUUUUAAAAAUGAGUACUACAAAAAGGAAUUGAAAUAAGACUAAAUUUCCAUGAUGCUUGCAUGUGAUGACAGUUUGGCUGCCAUCUCCAUUUGUAGUCGAUUCUACAAUUUGAUCCAUGAGUAAUAUAUAUAUAUAUAUAUAUAUAAAAUGAAAUAAGAGUAAAUUUCCAUGAUGCUUGCAUGUGAUGAUAGUUUGGCUGCCAUCUCCAUUUGCAGGUUGGAAUUAGAAUCCAAGUUAAGAUUCUACAAUUUGAUCCAUGAAGUGAAGUUGGGUGAUCUACUAACUUCUAUAACUAAAUUUAUGGCUUGGAAGACCACCCCCUACUGCGAAGCUGUGUGGUGAAGGGAAGGUGCAUAUGUCCUUUCUUUGUCUCAUCUUUAAUUUUUAUUUUAUUUGAUUUGAUUUUUCCUUUAUAUUAAUUGAAAGGUUAAGGAAAAUUCCUAGCCGGUAUAAGAACUGUGUCGAGGCUGAGCUCAAGUCUUCUCUCGUCUCGUCUUUAAUUUUUUCUUUUUCCUUUUUUAUGUGUCUUUUCGUUUAUAUUAAUUGAGUGGCUAUUGGAAAUGUUUUGUCCAAAGCCAAAUAUUUAAUUCAUUGUGAGGUAAAUAAAGACAUAAACAAAGUUUAAAUAAUAAAGAAAAUAAAAGCAAAAACUUUAUAAUUCUUAAUGAAUUUAUGUUUACCCAUGGAUAAGAUUUUAUAUUUAAGUAAUUUUAUCAUCCAUGUAAUUAAACUUUAUUAAUAUUCAGAAAUCAAAUUAUGAAAAGGCCAAAACAAUUGCAAUAAUAAAAUUAUGAACACUCCCGCACAAGUAAGGCCUAUAUAAAAAGUUCUUAUUUUAUGUUAGUUUUAAGGUAAUUUAUAUAAAAAUUUACAAAGAAUAGGUAAUUAAUAAAUGACUUCACCAUUGUACCCAUGUAAACAAUAUUAAUAAAAUAAAGGGGAAUUUAUGUAACCAUACACCAAGGGGCAAAAUUUUGCCUUUUGGAAACUUAACUUUUUACUUUUCAAAUUCAAUGGAUUUUGUGAAAAAUAAACAAUCUUUCAUACACUGUAAUAGUGAUGUUGAGACCCUUCCAAAAAUACCCUCCUAUAAUUUGACAUCUCUCCUAGUUGGAUAAGUUGCUUGUUGUCCACUUAAGCCAAUGACAUGACUCAGUUACAUGUCAUCAGCCAGCUAGACAUUCCACAUGGAUUGAUGUUUUAAACAAUAUUUACCCCCAAAUAUCUUCUUCUUUCUUCAACCAAACCCUAACACCAAAAUCCAUGUUCUUUCUUAUUCGUUCACAGGCACAACCCAUCACAAGGCGAAAGGAUCCAUAAAAAAUCUGGUAGGUUCUCAAAUCGCGAUAACCCAUCAACCCCAAACGAACCUCCAAACUUGAUCUCUUAUUUUGUUUCUCCUCCAUCACCAUAAGGAAGACAACAUCUUCAUUUUCCCACCAAACAUCAAUCUGAAAACAAAAGUCCAAGUGCGAACCCCUUAACAAAGGCCAGGUAGACAAAAAAAAAACCCAUUUCCUUCUUCUUAUUUCAGGAGUGACAGUCAUUUUUCUCCUGGUUGUACUUCCUAUUUUGCUUUUACAUCGAAAAAGGAGAAAGAAAGCAAUUGAAAGAACGAGAUAACGAAGAAUAAAAAUAUUGUAGUUGCAUUUAACUUUUAAAGCAAGGGUUUUUCCAAGUGAUAUAUAUAUAUGUUAUUAAAUUUUGUAAUAACUUUAUAUUUUGAUUUGUCAUUUUGAUUCUUUGAGAUUUGAAUAAUGUCAUAGUUAUGUGAUUUGUGCAAUUUUGUGAUUUAAACUUGAUUACAUUGCAUAUUUCUACAUGUUCAAUGUCCAUUAAUAUUGUAUCUAAAUUUAUAUUUUAAUUUAUUUAGGGUUUAUUUGAAAUGAAAUAUGGCUUAAAUUUUGAUAAAUGAUGGGAAAAUGAGAUGGUGGUAAGCUAUAUUGAUUUUGUUUUAUUUCUGAAUUGUUGUGUUUGUGUUGUAUGUGGUUGUUGGGAAGAAUACAGAAAAGAGAAGAAAAAUAUGAGUAUUGCAUGUGAAGGGAAUACAAUUUUUAGGAAUGUUCAAACAAUUUGUUGUUUAAUGUUGUUUAUAUGGGAUUCGAGAUGUUUUGUUGUUUAAUGUUGUUUAUCUAGGAUUCCAAAAUGAGUAAUUUGAGUGAUCUUUUAUAGUUGUUAAUUGGUGAAUCUAAUGCAUGGGAAAAGAAUUCAUGUUUAGUCAUGAGUAGAUGAGUAUAAAUUUUAAAAAUGAUUGGGAUUAAAGUUUGAAUAAAUUUCUUAAUAAAAGUUUUGAAUUUGUAAUGAAUAAGGAUUGAAUUGAAGAAGAAAAUAAAACAAAUUUAGUAAAGCGGGCAUGAAUUUAUGUGGGAAUUAGGGAAAAUAGUAUUGGAGCCUUAGGUUCAAAAUUGAUGGUCACAACCACAAAUAUGAAAUUUGUUUUGUUUAUGUGUGUAGUGGUCAUAGUAAGGGUCUACCCUUAGAUGAAGGGGUUGGCCGUAAUUCAGUUAAUGACAUUUGGAUGAAAUUAUUGUUUUCGUAAGAGGUUGCAGUAAGUGAAUUAAAGGCUGACCCAUUUGUUUGGAGGUAGGCCCUUAGUUGUAAAUAUUGUUGUGGUUUAAUCUGGAUAGUAGGCAAAAUAAAGGCUGACCCAUUUGUUUGGAGGUCGGCCCUUGGUUGUAAACAUUGUUGUGGUUUAAUUUGGGCAGUGGGCAAAAUAAAGGUUGACCCAUUUUUUUGGAGGUCAGCCCUUGGUUGUAAACAUUAUUGUGGUUUAAGUUGGGCAGUAGGCAAAAUAAGGGUUGGCCCAAUUGUUUGGAGGUCGGCCCUUGGUUGUAACAUUGUUAUGGUUAAAUUUGGGCAGUGGGCAAAAUAAAGGUCGACCCAUUGUUUGAGGGGGUGGCUCGAAGAGAGUAAAAUUAGCACAAUUUGGCUUGAAGAGUUACCAAAACAAUGGUUAGCCCAUGAAUUGAGAGGUUCACUCCCUAACUUAUAUAACAUAACAAAUUACUACGAAGUAAAAUAGAAUAAUUGCAUUGCUUAAUGUUAAGUAUACACUAUGCAUGUCUAUAUUUACACCAUUAAUUGUAAACUAUGAAAUGUAAAUGAAGCUCGUUUGUAAAGUUUCAAAGAUAAAUGAUGUAUUAAUAUAUGAUGGUCAUAGGCAUGAUAAUCAGUUUUGUUAUAAGUAAGUUGGUUUAUGCAGUGUUAUUAAGAAAUUAGUUAAUUGUUUCAGCUUGAUUAAAGGUUCAUGCUUCUAAACAGGGGCUGCACAUGAUCGAGUAGCAUUUAAAUGGAUCCAAAUAAUACAAUUUAUUGUUAUCUGCACAUUGGAGGAGAGCUAGUAAGGGAUGAACAUGGAAAUGUGGAAUAUAUGGGUGGGAGACGAGAGGGUCUAAGUUUAGAACGAUCAAUGACAUAUAAUGAUUUUGUUUCAAGGAUUUGUGGGAAAAUGAACAUCAAUAUAGUCGGACCAACAUUUUCAUAUACUCUCCCGUUUGAUUUAUAUGCACUUCAACCAUUGAAAAAUGAUGAAGACUUGACAAACAUGUUUCAAUUUAGUGACCGAUGUGCACGUGUAUAUAUAUGUUUAGCAUCAACAGUUGAAGACGAUGAAACGAUUGAGAAUGGAGGACAAGGGUAAGUUAUAUCAAAAAAAUAUAUAAUCUUAAAUGAUUCCAUGUAUUUAUUUAUUUUGUAAUAUUUAUGCUUAUUCAUUAGAUGUUAUAAUGCAGCUUGAACGAAACAAUCGUAGGGUCUAACUCACCGGUCCCAUAUUCAACAAGAGAUGUUGAUAUUAGAAUGCAAUCACGAGGAUUUCAUCAAAGAUGUGCUGAAUCACAUGUUGGUCCACUAGAGUCAAGUCGUUUUGAGAGUGCAAUAUUGGGUAGUGGGCAUACCUUCUCAACUGCAAAUGAAUUUCGGGAUGCAAUAUAUCUCAUGUCAAUAGGAGGCCGUUUUAGAUAUAAGUUUAAGAGGAAUUGUCUUGAUUACUACUCAAAACAUGCUAUUUUGUAGCUUGUAAUUAGCUCUUUUAAACACCCUUGAGUAGUAAUUAUUACCUUUUAACCCAAUUAACAUGUUAAGGACCCUUGCAAUCCGUUUCUAACAAUUAUGUUAAGUUUUGGUGCUUUUUGAUAGCUUUAUGCUCACCAAAGCAAUUUAAGAAUGAGGGAGAGCUAUUUAUAGUUCAUGGCAAAGCUUUUGAAAGCUUAAAUUUAUGAAGAAAUCAAGCUAUGGAGCCUCAUAAUCCUUUGCCUUAUUCGUUCAAAGUAUACAAGGAAGAAACAAUGGAGAAGAGGAAAACAGGGGAUGAAAAUAGGGGACACAGCUGCAGUCUUUCAUCGCACUUUUGGAGCACUUUCUGAAGUCCAUUUUUUACAUUCUAUAUACCAUUUCAAAGCUCAGAAAGUCAAUAAUCCAACGGUUCAAACCAUGUAUGAUUUGGAGCUGAAAUGAGAAAGAUAUGGCCUUCGGAAGACAACUGCAUCAAGCUGAGGGACAAUUUCGCACACCACUGUGCAAGGUGCGAAUUCCUCAGUCCACUGUGCGAGAAUUUCGCACACCUCAAAUCAAGGUGCGAAAUUGGAACUCCAGCGUGCGAAAAUUGGAUAUUUUUGCCGACUCUUUUUCUUCUGAUAUUUUUGUGUCUAAAUUUCCAUUUUCUCCUUGUAUUCAACCACUCAUGUAAUUCCUUAGCUAGGAAGUAUCCAAGGAAGGGUAAAAUUACCUUCCUAUAUAAAUUCUCUUGUAAUCACUGAAAAGGAUCUUCGGAGCUUUCUCCAGGAGACCAACUGAUGUAAAUUUGAUACUUAGUGAAAUACAGAGAUCUCUUUUGUUUUCUUUUUCUCUCUUCUAUUUUCUAUUUCCUUGCAAGUCAAACACCCUCUGAGGAUGUUUUCCCAGAGGAUGAGAGGCUAAACAUUUAGUUUCUUGGAGUAAAGGAAGCUAGGUGAAAAGUCCAGAUUAAAACAUGGAAAGUUUCCGUGCAUUAAAUUCAGGUAGUUGGAGUCCAUAAAUGGUUUAUAAAGCCAAGGUUUUGCCUUAAAUUCCUUUGAAUCACUUUGAAUGGCCAAUACAUGGUAAGCUUAAGGUCUCUGUGGAUGCUUAUUGCUAGAUCCAUAUCAGUCCAUUAGUUAUCAUGUACGAGCCAUUGGAAAGUGAUUCAAGGUGAUAGCCCAUAGUGUCUUAAGCCAUUAAUGGACCUUGACUACCAUCUCUAGUGACUUUUUAUGGAUUAAAACUUCAUUGUCAAACCUAUACCGGUUCGGGAAAUAACUAUAGGUUAAAUCCCCAAUGCGAGGAGAAAAAUCCGGAAUUUUCCACUUUGCAUCUGGCACUUGAACCUAGCAACCUUCAGCUCCGGGAGACUUUCUUUCUUACACUUUUUACUUAGUUCUAUGUGAGUUUAGUUUAAAUCACCACUUUCAAAACAAUUUUAUUUUCUUUUAAAUUUCAAGUUUGUGCUAAAGGAAAUCAUUAGAAUCAAUUUCUAAUUUAGAGUCUGUCACUGAUAGAGUGAAAACCCAUCCCUGAGUUCGACCCUAGAACUACUAUACUAUAGUAGCUUUGCUACGCCAGUAUAAGGUCAUAGGUUUUAUAAAUGUUUUUGAUUAAAAGACCCGGCUGGGCAUCGAAUCAAAUGGCGCCGUUGCCGGGGAUGGUGCCACAAUACAGUGAUACAACCUUUUAGAGGCUACUUGUGAUUUUCAUCACAACCAGGGUGAAUUCCUUUUUCACUAAUUUCAUUUUCUUUCAUUUUUCUUUUGUUAAUUUUAUAUUCAUUUUCUUCCUAACUUUAACCUUUUCUUUAGUUUCCUUUUGUUUUUACUAUACAGGAAUUGUAACUUGUGCAUGCCCUAUUGGAUUAGGGACCAAGAGGGAAGAUUAGUAAGGAUUGAGAAUCCUCAAGACACAGAGUUGGAUAUCUGUGUAAAUAUCAUGGACCCUCCACCAGAGGAUCAGAAUUCUCAACAAGGUCAAGGGGGUAAUCCCAAUGCAUACCUAUCCAUGAGGGAUAGAAUGCAUCCCCCAAGGAUGAGUGCACCCUCAUGCAUCCUGCCCCCACUUGAGCAGUUGGUUAUAAGGCCCCAUAUUGUGCCCCUCCUACCAACUUUCCAUGGAAUGGAGAGUGAGAAUCCAUAUUCUCACAUCAAGGAGUUUGAGGAGGUGUGUAAUACCUUUAGAGAGGGAGGAGCUUCAAUAGACUUGAUGAGACUCAAGCUAUUCCCUUUCACUUUGAAAGACAAGGCAAAAAUAUGGCUUAAUUCUUUAAGGCCAAGAAGCAUAAGGAAUUGGGUUGAUCUUCAGGCUGAGUUUUUGAAAAAAAUUUUCCCCACUCAUAGGACCAAUGGGUUGAAGAGACAAAUCUCAAAUUUUUCUGCUAAAGAAAAUGAGAAGUUCCAUGAAUGUUGGGAAAGGUAUAUGGAGGCCAUCAAUGCUUGUCCUCAUCAUGGUUUUGAUACAUGGCUCUUAGUGAGCUAUUUUUAUGAUGGAAUGUCUUCUUCCAUGAAGCAAAUUCUUGAAACCAUGUGUGGGGGAGAUUUUAUGAGUAAGAAUCCUGAAGAAGCCAUGGACUUUUUAAGUUACGUGGCUGAGGUGUCAAGAGGAUGGGAUGAGCCCAACUCAAGAGAGAAAGGAAAGUUUCCCUCUCAACAAACCCAAAAUCCAAAGGCUGGAAUGUACAUGUUAAGUGAAGACGUGGACAUAAAAGCUAAAGUGGCAACAAUAGCUAGGAGGUUGGAAGAACUUGAAUUGAAAAAAAUACACGAAGUCCAAGCCAUUUCCGAUACCCAAGUCAUGUUAUGCCAUGCACCAUUUGCCAAUCAUGUGAUCAUGUGGUAGAUGAGUGUCCAACCAUGCCAGCUGUGAGAGAGAUGUUAGGUGAUCAAGUAAAUGUUGUGGGGCAAUUUAGGCUCAACAACAAUGCAUCUUAUGGAAACACCUAUAAUUCAAGCUGGAGAAACCACCCAAAUUUUUCUUGGAAACCAAGGACACCUCCAUACCAACCACAAGGCCAAACCCAAGUACCUCAACAACCAUCUUCAGUGGAGCAAGCCAUUGUAAACCUGAGUAAAGUCAUGGGUGACUUUGUGGGUGAACAAAAGGCAAUUAACUCCCAAUUGCAUCAAAAGAUUGAAAAUGUUGAGAGCUCUCAAAUAAAGAGAAUGGAGGGGAUGCAAAAUGAUCUAUCUCAGAAGAUAGAUAAUAUUCAGUACUCCAUCUCUAGGCUUACCAACCUAAACACAGUGAUUGAGAAGGGAAAGUUCCCCUCUCAACCAAGCCAAAAUCCCAAGGGUGUUCAUGAAGUUGAAACCCAAGAUGGUGAGUCUUCAAAUUUGAGGGAGGUUAAAGCUGUGAUCACUUUAAGGAGUGGAAAAGAGGUUGAUCAACCCCUGCCUAAGGUGGGGCAUGAUGAAGAACUCAUAUCAAAGAGACCCUUGAUUAAUGAGAGCAAAAGCCAAGAAGAGAAGAGUGGGAAGAAGAGUGCAUCCAAAUCAAGCAUCGAGGAAGAACCAAGGAUAGUGAUUAAGGAGGAUAUGAUGAAGAAACAUAUGCCUCCCCCUUUUCCUCAAGCUUUACAUGGAAAGAAAGAAAUCAAGAAUUCAUCAGAAAUUCUUGAGGUUCUGAGACAAGUGAAGGUGAAUAUACCCUUACUUGAUAUGAUCAAACAAGUCCCCACAUAUGCAAAGUUUCUAAAAGACUUGUGCACAGUCAAAAGAGGUUUACAGGUGACAAAGAAUGCAUUCCUCACUGAGCAAGUGAGUGCUAUCAUCCAGAGUAAGUCCCCAGUUAAGUAUAAAGAUCCGGGAUGUCCCACCAUAUCAGUCAACAUUGGAGGGACACAUGUGGAAAAAGCUUUAUUAGAUUUGGGAGCAAGUGUGAAUUUGCUCCCAUACUCUGUGUAUAAACAAUUGGGACUAGGAGGAUUAAAGCCCACAACCAUGACCCUCUCCUUAGCUGAUAGGUCGGUCAAAAUCCCAAGAGGAGUGAUAGAGGAUGUUCUAGUUCAAGUGGACAAAUUCUACUAUCCUGUGGAUUUUGUGGUGCUUGAUACUGAUUCCACUGUCAAGGAAGAAAAUUAUGUACCAAUCAUCCUAGGGAGACCUUUCCUAGCUACCUCCAAUGCUAUUGUUAAUUGUAGGAAUGGGGUGAUGCAGCUCACAUUUGGAAACAUGACAUUGGAAUUAAACAUAUUCCAUUUAUGUAAGAGGCAUCUUUACCCUGAUGAGGAGGAAGGAUUUGAGGAGGUGUGCUUGAUCAACACUUUGGUUGAAGAGCACUGUGACAAGAGUUUAGAGGAGAGCUUGAAUGAAAACCUGGAAGUCCUUGAAGAUGGGUUCCUUGAACCCUCUGAUGUGCUAGCCAUUAUGUCUCCUUGGAGGAGACGGGAAGAGAUCUUACCACUGUUCAACCAGGAAGACUCUGAAGGAGUUGCUGUGGAGGACCCUCCAAAGCUUAUUUUAAAGCCACUUCCUGUGGGUUUGAAGUAUGCAUACUUGGAGGAUGAUGAGAAAUGUCCAGUGGUAGUUUCCUCAACCCUCACUAGUGAUCAAGAGGAUAGUCUUUUAGGAGUCCUCAGAAAAUGUAAGAAAGCCAUAGGAUGGAAAAUUUUUGAUCUUAAAGGGAUUAGCCCUUUGGUGUGCACCCACCAUAUUUAUAUGGAGGAAGAUGCAAAACCAGUGAGGCAACCCCAAAGGAGACUGAAUCCUCACAUGCAAGAAGUGGUGAGGAAUGAAGUUUUGAAGCUACUUCAAGCUGGGAUCAUAUAUCCCAUCUCAGACAGCUUGUGGGUGAGUCCCACCCAAGUAGUCCCAAAGAAAUCUGGAAUCACUGUGAUCCAGAAUGAGAAAGGGGAGGAAGUCUCUACACGUCCUACCUCAGGAUGGAGGGUGUGUAUAGACUAUAGGAGGUUGAAUUCAGUGACUAGGAAGGACCAUUUUCCAUUGCCUUUCAUGGACCAAGUCCUUGAGAGAGUCUCAGGACAUCCUUUCUAUUGUUUUCUAGAUGGUUAUUCAGGGUACUUCCAAAUAGAAAUUGAUUUGGAAGAUCAAGAAAAGACGACCUUCACUUGUCCCUUUGGUACUUUUGCAUAUAGGAGAAUGCCCUUUGGUCUAUGUAAUGCUCCUGCAACUUUCCAAAGAUGCAUGCUAAGCAUCUUCAGUGAUAUGGUGGAACGCAUCAUGGAAGUUUUCAUGGAUGACAUCACUGUAUAUGGAAGUUCUUAUGAGGAGUGUUUGAUGCAUUUAGAAGCUGUUCUCCAUAGAUGUAUUGAGAAAGACCUAGUGCUAAAUUGGGAGAAGUGCCAUUUUAUGGUGCAAAAAGGAAUUGUCUUAGGACAUAUCAUCUCCAAAAAUGGCAUUGAGGUAGAUAAGGCAAAGGUGGAGCUGAUUGUUAAGUUGCCACCUCCCACAAAUGUUAAAGGAAUUAGGCAAUUCCUUGGACAUGCCGGGUUCUAUAGGAGGUUCAUUAAGGAUUUCUCAAAAAUCUCAAAACCUCUGUGUGAGCUUUUGGUAAAGGAUGCCAAGUUUGUGUGGGAUGAGAAGUGUCAGAGAAGUUUUGAGGAAUUGAAACAAUUCCUCACAACUGCACCAAUAGUGAGAGCCCCAAAUUGGAAAUUACCUUUUGAGGUAAUGUGUGAUUCAAGUGAUCUUGCUAUGGGGGCUGUUUUGGGGCAAAGAGAGGAUGGAAAGCCCUAUGUGAUCUAUUAUGCAAGCAAAACUUUGAAUGAGGCUCAAAAGAACUACACAACUACUGAGAAGGAGUUGUUGGCAGUAGUUUUUGCCUUGGAUAAGUUUCGUGCUUAUUUGGUAGGGUCCUCUAUAGUGGUGUUCACUGACCAUUCUGCUUUGAAGUACUUGCUAACCAAGCAGGAUGCCAAGGCAAGAUUGAUAAGAUGGAUUCUUUUGCUCCAAGAAUUCAAUCUCCAAAUCAGGGAUAAAAAGGGGGUAGAAAAUGUGGUAGCUGACCACUUGUCCAGACUUGUGAUAGCACAUGACUCACAUGGUCUGCCUAUCAAUGAUGACUUCCCUGAGGAGUCUCUCAUGUCAGUAGAUGUAGCUCCAUGGUAUUCUCACAUUGCAAACUUUUUGGUUACUGGAGAAGUACCAAGUGAGUGGAGUGCUCAAGACAAGAGACAUUUCUUGGCUAAGAUCCAUGCCUAUUAUUGGGAGGAACCUUUUCUUUUCAAAUAUUGUGCAGAUCAAAUUAUAAGGAAAUGUGUUCCUGAGCAAGAGCAAUCGGGAAUUCUUUCCCAUUGCCAUGAUAGUGCAUGUGGAGGUCAUUUUGCCUCCCAGAAAACAGCUAUGAAAGUGAUCCAAUCAGGCUUCUGGUGGCCCUCUCUUUUCAAGGAUGCCCAUUCUAUGUGCAAGGGAUGUGAUCGGUGUCAAAGGCUUGGUAAGCUAACACGCCGAAAUAUGAUGCCCUUGAACCCCAUCUUAAUAGUGGAUAUCUUUGAUGUCUGGGGUAUAGACUUCAUGGGACCAUUUCCAAUGUCGUUUGGACAUUCCUACAUCUUGGUAGGAGUGGAUUAUGUCUCUAAGUGGGUAGAAGCAAUCCCAUGUAGGAGCAAUGAUCAUAAAGUGGUACUUAAAUUCCUCAAGGACCACAUCUUUGCAAGAUUUGGAGUGCCAAAAGCCAUUAUAAGUGACGGGGGAACCCACUUUUGCAAUAAACCUUUUGAGACUCUUCUAGCCAAGUAUGGGGUUAAGCACAAGGUAGCUACACCUUAUCACCCCCAAACAAGUGGCCAAGUUGAGUUAGCUAACCGAGAGAUCAAGAAUAUAUUGAUGAAGGUGGUUAAUGUGAAUAGGAAGGAUUGGUCUAUCAAGCUCCUGGAUUCCUUAUGGGCUUAUAGGACAGCUUACAAGACCAUUCUAGGAAUGUCUCCCUAUCGCCUUGUUUAUGGCAAAGCGUGUCAUCUUCCAGUAGAGAUUGAGUAUAAAGCAUGGUGGGCAAUCAAAAAGCUCAACAUGGAUUUGACAAGAGCCGGGUUAAAGAGAUGUUUGGAUUUGAAUGAAUUGGAGGAAAUGAGGAAUGAUGCAUACCUCAAUUCAAAAAUUGCAAAAGCAAGAUUGAAAAAAUGGCAUGAUCAGUUGGUAAAUCAGAAAAAUUUUACCAAAGGACAAAAAGUUUUGCUUUAUGACUCUAAACUUCAUCUCUUUCCAGGAAAGUUGAAAUCCAGGUGGACGGGUCCUUUCAUAAUUCAUGAAGUGCAUCCCAAUGGAGUGGUGGAAGUAUUCAAUCCCACAGGCAAUCAAACCUUCAAAGUUAAUGGCCAUCGUCUCAAGCCAUUCAUAGAGCCUUACAGUACAGACAAGGAGGAGAUCAACCUCCUUGAACCACCACAACUCUGAGGGAAAGCAGGGUAUCAUGGGCUAAAUAAGUCCAUGAAUUUUUUGUUAUAGUUUUAUAGUUAUAUCAUUAUUUUUAUUUCUUUUUAUUAUAAUUUUUCCUCAAUCUUAGUUUAUUUUGUCUUAAUUCAAGUCAAUUUUGAUGAUAAAUUUCAGAAAAAAAUCAUGAAAGAUGGGGAGAACUCUUCAAAAGCAAGACAGGGGAGUAAAACCAAGGAAACAGAGCACCUGAUUUCAAGGUGCGAAAAUUUCGCACACCCCAAAACCAAGGUGCGAAAUCCUCGGUCCAAAGGAGCCAUUUUCGCACACCCCAAAACCAAGGUGCGAAAUUUUGUUCAAGGUGCGAAAAAUGAUUUCAAGGUGCGAAUUCCCUAAAAACCAUUUUCGCACACCACUGUGCAAGGUGCGAAAAUUUUCGCACUAUGCGAAAUCUCCUCCUGGCACACGAGUGCCAUUUUCGCACACCUCAAGCCACUUUUCGCACCGUGCGAAACAAGGUGCGAAAAUUUCGCACACCUGAUUUCAAGGUGCGAAAAUUUCGCACACCUCAUUUUAAGGUGCGAAAUCCUCAGCUAAAGGGGUGCCAUUUUCGCACACCUAAUUUCAAGGUGCGAAAUUUGCAGGCCAAGGUGCGAAAAUUUCGCACGGUAAAAUUUUAAGUUCCAAAAAUUUUAAACGGACUUUUAAAUUAAAAUUUUACCCCCGAAAUUGUGCCUAACGUCCAAAAACGACUUUUCGGUUGCCUUGGAAAAUUUUAAAACAUCAAAAACCCCCUAAACCUCAUUCCUAUAUAAUCCCUUGAAGACCAGAAGCUCAAAGGACUCCCCCACGAACCAGCUGAGAAGCCUCUGGAAUCCCAAACAGUCGCCCACCUCCAUUUCGGCCAUGGCGAAGACCAGAGGAGGCCUUUCCGGCUCCCCAUCCUCACCGACACCUCGACCACAUCGAGCCGCCAUGGGAGCCGCAGCUUCGCCACCUGUUCAGGCCCCGGACAUUCCCCCAUCUGAGGGGGAAGCCCCUUCUCAGCGCCGAUACCCCACCAGGAGAUCACCCGCGGACCCUGUGCCACCCGCCGACCAAGCUCAGAGACCUGCUUCUCGGCCCCCUGCCAAGAGAACCAAGUUCUCGGGUCCUGGAGAGUCAGAGCCGCCUACAGAGGAGCCUCGGAUUCCUGUGGAGAUUACCCCCGAGACCCUUAUCAGGCGUCCCAUGAUAGCCGGACCACCGAUAGAGGGCAACUUGGAUUGCAGAGAUCGAUCCUUCCACUCCGAGACCUACUUUGAUAUAGAGGCCCUCAAACAGCAGCCAGAGCUCAGAGAUUCAUUCCGACUGCUGCAGAGGUAUCACAUGGAGGAUCUUCUCACUCCUAGGCAAUUCUACUAUCCCAGAGUAGUUAUAGAUUUUUAUCAAUCUAUGACUACUCGUGGCCUCCGCAAUCCUACCCUCAUCCAAUUUACCAUAGACGGACGCCAGGGUGCCAUUGGAGCUCGCCACAUUGCUGAGGCCCUCCGUAUACCUUAUGAGCCUGUGAUUCAGGCAGAUUUCAGGGAGUGGUCCUCAUUCUCUCAGAGCGACAUGGUCCGCAUUUUGUCCAGGGGGACUUCUACAACAUCAGUGUUGACUAGGAGAGAGCUUCCAUCUGGGAUGCUCCUUAUUGAUGUGCUCCUGCGUGCCAACCUUUUCCCCCUUCAGCACAAAGUUCAGAGGCGAGGAGCUAUACUUGAGGCGUUAUUUAGGAUUUCUGAGGGCUAUUUCUUCGGCCCUCAUCAUUUGAUUAUGACUUCUCUUCUUCAUUUUGAAGAGAAAGUCCAUCAGAAGAAGCUUCAAAGGGCAGAUGGCAUCCCAUUACUAUUUCCGAGGCUCCUCUACCAGAUUUUAGAGCACCUGGGCUAUCCUGAACAGCCCCGUCUUGAGAGGCGCCGCCAUUGCCGAGAGGACUUCUCUCUCGACAAAUGGCAUCACUUGGUAGCCUACUUUGCACCCCAGGGAGCCCCAGCUGUGCCUGCACCUCCAGAGCUACCCCAAGAUGAGCAGAUGCCUCAGGCCCAGCAGGAUGAGAUUCUCACAGAGACCACACCUCCUGCCCCUGCAGCACACCCCUCAGAGCAUAUUCCUGAGCCUAUACAUCCUAUUUCUCCUAUCACUUCGGGUGCUCCACCAGUCAUGCCAGCUACCCCAGCACCUCCUCUUUCAUCUGAGCCCACUGUCACCGUUUCUCUUACGGAAUUCAGAGGCUUAGAGCGUUCAUUGCGGACACUGAGCACUGCUCAGGAUUCUAUUAUCCACCAGAUGGCCACUAUUCGGGCACACCAGGAUCAGAUCAUUGCUACUCAGGCCCAGCAUACCACGAUCCUUCAUCAGAUUCAGCAACAUUUGAGUUUGCAGACACCUUUUGGGCAUGAUAGGUCUGCACCAUCCGAGCCUCUAGAGCUAGAUACGGAAAGCUUACUAGCUGAGCAGCCCAUACCAGAGGAGGAGAUCAGAGCAGAGCCAUCACAUGACACCCCUCAUAUUUGAUAUUUUUAUAUUUUACUUGUUUUUUAUUUUAGACUUGUAAAUCCCAUCUUUUGCAUGUGUUAUAAACUGGGAUUGGAAGUAUUACUUGAAAUCAUACAUUGUAUAUUUCUUUUACAAGUAAUAUAUAUAUAUAUAUAUAUAUAUAUAUAUCCUUUUUGAUUAUAUUCCCUUUUCUCAUUACUCUUUUGUCCUUGGAACAUGUGGUUUAAGGUACUCCAUACCUCCUUUACACUCAGACUUUGUCUCACUCAGGAGGUACCACUUCCUCCCUUUAUUUUUAAUUGGGGGGAGAGUUGAGAAAGGAAGUUUUGUGUUAAUACUAAGUUAUUUUGGUAUUUUUAGUUGAUUUUGGUAUUUUUAGUUGAUUUUUGCUUAAAAUUUAAAAUUUUUAAAAGUUUUUUGAAUCAUUCUCUAUGGUUGUUAAAGAUAAUUUCUCAAAAAUAAAAUAGGAUAAGUCGAGUUUUAACUUAAUUAUUUAAGUCUUAGAGUUUGUUUUAUGCUUUCAAAGUUGAUAAUCUAUUGAAGCCUCUUUGAUUUAGAACUUUCUUCUUCCAUUUCAAGCUUUACACACACUGUGCACAUUAGAUCCCGGAUAUAUGAUGUAAAACUUUCUACCUUCUAAGCUUAGAAAAAUUUUGACUUGGUUCAUUACUUAACCUCUCUUUAAUAGUGUUGGAACACCUCAUAAAGACCAAUGAGUCUUUGAAAAAAAAAAAAAAAAAAAAAAGAAGAAUAAGCUUCUAUUCUUUCCUUGAAACCUAAGCAUGAUCCGAAGGGGUAGCGAAAGCCUUUAAAACCCGAUGCCCUAAACCUUGAUUGGUUGGGAGUCAUCGAUCCUCUGCUUGCUACAUAGGUGAAUUGGUUAAGAUUAGUGAGUAAAAAGAAUUGUGAAUAAGAAGGUGUGUUCCUAACCUAUUAAGAGUUGAUUAAUUUUGCCAAUGUUCGAGAAAAGCUUAGGUUGGAGGGUGAGGAUAGUUGUAUAUACUAUAUCCGGAAGCUAAUCUCGUUAACACUUAGCUUAUUAUGGAAGAGUUUGAUUUGGAACCUUGAGAGUAGAGAUUCUUUUGAUACCUAAUUGCAUAAUCUCCACUCUUUGUACUUUUUGUUUAAGUUUUAAGCUUUGAUAACUCCUGUUGCAUUUUGAAUCUUCAUAUCUUUAGUUAGCCAGGUGAGAUGAGUUUGGAUAUCAGUCAUGCCUCUCAAUUAUUUUUUGGAAAUGAAUUGCAUGACCUCUUUUAUGUAUAUUAUUACGUUUGCUUAGUUUUUCUCUCCUUAAUUGCUAAGGGACUAGCAAUAUGUCGGUUGGGGGGAGUGAUUACUACUCAAAACAUGCUAUUUUGUAGCUUGUAAUUAGCUCUUUUAAACACCCUUGAGUAGUAAUUAUUACCUUUUAACCCAAUUAACAUGUUAAGGACCCUUGCAAUCCGUUUCUAACAAUUAUGUUAAGUUUUGGUGCUUUUUGAUAGCUUUAUGCUCACCAAAGCAAUUUAAGAAUGAGGGAGAGCUAUUUAUAGUUCAUGGCAAAGCUUUUGAAAGCUUAAAUUUAUGAAGAAAUCAAGCUAUGGAGCCUCAUAAUCCUUUGCCUUAUUCGUUCAAAGUAUACAAGGAAGAAACAAUGGAGAAGAGGAAAACAGGGGAUGAAAACAGGGGACACAGCUGCAGUCUUUCAUCGCACUUUUGGAGCACUUUCCGAAGUCCAUUUUUUACAUUCUAUAUACCAUUUCAAAGCUCAGAAAGUCAAGAAUCCAACGGUUCAAACCAUGUACGAUUUGGAGCUGAAAUGAGAAAGAUAUGGCGUUCGGAAGACAACUGCAUCAAGCUGAGGGACAAUUUCGCACACCACUGUGCAAGGGUGCGAAUUCCUCAGUCCACUGUGCGAGAAUUUCGCACACCUCAAAUCAAGGUGCGAAAUUGGAACUCCAGCGUGCAAAAAUUGGAUAUUUUUGCCGACUCUUUUUCUUCUGAUAUUUUUGUGUCUAAAUUUCCAUUUUCUCCUUGUAUUCAACCAUUCAUGUAAUUCCUUAGCUAGGAAGUAUCCAAGGAAGGGUAAAAUUACCUUCCUAUAUAAAUUCUCUUGUAAUCACUGAAAAGGAUCUUCGGAGCUUUCUCCAGGAGACCAACUGAUGUAAAUUUGAUACUUAGUGAAAUACAGAGAUCUCUUUUGUUUUCUUUUUCUCUCUUCUAUUUUCUAUUUCCUUGCAAGCCAAACACCCUCUGAGGAUGUUUUCCCAGAGGAUGAGAGGCUAAACAUUUAGUUUCUUGGAGUAAAGGAAGCUAGGUGAAAAGUCCAGAUUAAAACAUGGAAAGUUUCCGUGCAUUAAAUUCAGGUAGUUGGAGUCCAUAAAUGGUUUAUAAAGCCAAGGUUUUGCCUUAAAUUCCUUUGAAUCACUUUGAAUGGCCAAUACAUGGUAAGCUUAAGGUCUCUGUGGAUGCUUAUUGCUAGAUCCAUAUCAGUCCAUUAGUUAUCAUGUACGAGCCAUUGGAAAGUGAUUCAAGGUGAUAGCCCAUCUAAGCCAUUAAUGGACCUUGACUACCAUCUCUAGUGACUUUUUAUGGAUUAAAACUUCAUUGUCAAACCUAUACCGGUUCGGGAAAUAACUAUAGGUUAAAUCCCCAAUGCGAGGAGAAAAAUCCGGAAUUUUCCACUUUGCAUCUGGCACUUGAACCUAGCAACCUUCAGCUCCGGGAGACUUUCUUUCUUACACUUUUUACUUAGUUCUAUGUGAGUUUAGUUUAAAUCACCACUUUCAAAACAAUUUUAUUUUCUUUUAAAUUUCAAGUUUGUGCUAAAGGAAAUCAUUAGAAUCAAUUUCUAAUUUAGAGUCUGUCACUGAUAAAGUGAAAACCCAUCCCUGAGUUCGACCCUAGAACUACUAUACUAUAGUAGCUUUGCUACGCCAGUAUAAGGUCAUAGGUUUUAUAAAUGUUUUUGAUUAAAAGACCCGGCUGGGCAUCGAAUCAUGUCUUAAGCAUAUGACUGUAAUAUGUGUUGUUGAAGGAUGCCCUUGGAAAGUAACUGCUCGUGCUGUUGGGAGAACAAAAAUAGUUCAAGUGCAUACAUUUAUAAAUGAACAUAACCACUCUUUAGAAGAUGUGUCAAUUUCCGAACCAGUAGUUCGUUGUAAUCGAGCCACAGCUAUGAUUGAUGAUGUUAUUCGUUCAAAUCCAGAUUACUUACCCCGUCAAAUAUGUAAAGACUUUCGUCGACAAUACGGAAUGCAAUUGAAUUAUUGUCAAGCAUGGAACUUGAAAGAGAAGGCUAAAGAACGAAUUCAUGGUGUGCUGCAAUGUUCAUAUAAGUUGUUACCUUGGUUAUGUACAAGGCUUAUUGAAACAAAUCCAGGGACGAUUGCUGAAUAUAGAUGUUCGGAUGAUGGUCAUUUUAUGCAAUUGUUUGUUGCCCUUUCAGUGUCAAUUCAUGGGUUUCAACUAGGAUGUCGGCCUAUUAUAUCAAUAGAUUCAUCCCACAUGAGUGGGCCAUACAAGGGUGCUUUAUUUUCAGCUUCUUCCUAUGAUGCUGACGAUGACAUGUUUCCACUUGCUUAUGGCUUAUUUAGCUCUGAGAAUUACGAGGAUUAACUUUGGUUUUUAGAGAAAUUGAAUAUGGUCAUAGGUGAAAGAGAUGUUAUAAUAAUAUCUGAUAGGCACAAAAGGAUUAUCCGUAGUGUUUCAGAGGUAUUUGGUAGUGAAAACCAUGCACAUUGCUAUCGUCACAUUAAAGAAAACUUCAGUAGCUUUCUAACAAAGCUAAACACUAAAGGGAGGAAAGGAAAGGAAAAUGCUUUGCAAAUGCUUGAUUCUAUCGCCUAUGUUAGGUUAGAUUGUGAUUAUGAGGUUGCAAUGGAUACUUUAAGGACAUUUAAUCAUGAUUUGGCGAAGUGGGUUGAAGAAAAUAACCCUCAACAUUGGGCAAUCUCUAAAUUUAAGAAGAUGCGUUGGGAUAAGAUGACAAGUAAUUUGGCCGAGUCUUUCAAUUCUUGGUUAAGACAUGAACGACACCAUAACAUUUGUGUUUUCUUCAUCGAGCAUAUGGAUAAGUUAGGAUCUCUUUUAGUCAAGCAUAAAAAUGGACUUGUAAAAUGGAAUGGGUGUAUUGGUCCUAAAACAGAAGAAAAGAUUGCAUUGAACAUUGGAAAAGGUGAAAAUUAUAUCACUUAUUUACACUUAGGUAGUUCGAUGAAAGUAUCCAAUGGAAAAGCAUUCCUGGAAGUGGACUUAAUGGAGCGAACUUGCACAUGUAAAGCAUGGCAAAUGUCUGGAAUCCCAUGUGAUCAUGCUUGUGCAGCUAUACGGCGAAUGGGGUUUGAUGUAUCUGAUUAUGUUGAUGACUGGUAUAAGUACAAUUUGCAAGAGAAGAUAUACUCUGGAAGCAUGCGUACUUUGGUAACGCAUGACAUGCCAAUGAUUGAUGAAGAUGGAACCGUUCGUGAUGCCUUGGGUCAUACUUAUCCCUUUCUUAAUCCUCCAACCACAAAGCGACCUCCUGGAAGACCUAGGAAACGUCGAAUCGAGUCUCAAUUCAUGUAAAAAAAAACAAUUCAUUGUUCUCAUUGUAAUUAGCCUGGGCAUAAUCGUGCGACAUGUAACAACCCAUUGCUGUAAGUUUUUUUUUAUUAAACUUCAUAAUGUAAGAUCGACUUUAUAUUAGUAUGAAAUAGUUUGGUAAUCUUCGUUACUGUUUCAUUGAUUAUAAGCAAUGAGUAAUUUAUUGGAUUUGAAGUGUUUGGUGUACAUAUAUUGUGAUUGUAUGUUGUUCUUCAAUAUUAUGGGAUAUGUUACAUGAUAAUGUAAUUGUAAUAGAAAAAUAUGUACCUUGGUCAUUAUUGUUCAAAGAUGGCAUUGAAGUGACAUAGAUUCAUAUGGCGUCCUUGGCAAAAAAACGAGAUUGUUAACUAGUGGGCAUAAUCGUGGCGAACCUUUACAUGUAGGGGCUGCUACUUUUUGGCUGAUGACCCUUAAGCAUAUUAUUUAGUUUUGUGUGAAAUGGGCAGUAGCCAAAAUAAGGUUGUGCCUAUUAGAUCAUAGGCAACCCUAUCGUUUUUCAUCUUUAAAAUUGGUUUCGUGUUAUGUGAGGUGUCUGUAAAAGGGAGGUUGAACCAUUAACACCAUGGGAAGACAUUCGAACAUUAGUUUAGUAUGUUAUGUGUAGAAGGCAAUCUAGGGGCGCACCUUCCAUUUGAAAGGCAUGCCUAUGUGUUAAUGAUAUUAUAUAACUAUACUACAUGCAGAAGGCAAAGCAGGGGUGCACCCUUGGUUGCAUAGGUAUGCCCAUGGGUAUGAUAACUUUAUUGGGAAAUUCUAUAUGCAGUAUGCAAAGUAGGGGCACACCCUUGAUUUUAGGGGCAUGCCUAUUGCUAAAACCAUUAUAUUGGUAGGCUAUGUGCAGUAGUCAACCUAAGAGCAAAACCUUGAUGGAAGACACAUAAAUGUGGGUGAAAAACUUCUUUUUGUUAAGCUACUUGCAGUAGGAAAAAGAAAGACAUGACUCUCUAUCAGAGGCAUGCCUUUAGGAUGACUAGAGUUGAGGUGUGGGUUGGGCAGUAAGGCAAAUGGAGGCAUACUGAUAGCUUAAAGGUUGGCCCUUGAUGUUCAUAUGAAAUAAACGUUGGAAAUGAUUCCUUGUUGAUUCAAAAUCAUAGAUUUUUUCUAAAAAUUUAAUUGUUCAAUUUUUAAUUUAUUUUUUAUUAUCUUAAUUUUUUUAACUACUUUUUUUAUUUAGCUCAUUAAUAAUUUUUUUUUAUUUAUCCGUUUACUUUUAUUUAAUUUCAAAAUUUUGUAUUUUUAAAUAUUACAAAAAUAGUUGUGCUUAGAAUAUGUUACAAUAUAACAAAAAAUAUAAUGAAGUCCUAAUAUUUUAUAACUAAAAAUUAAUUUGAUUAGAUAAAUGAUUAAUAAUUUUAAUUAUUUAAAUAAAUUAAUUUUAAUAGAAAAAUUGCCACCACAUAUUUGUAAUAAAUUUUUAGAAAUCAUAUCUCAAAUCAAAUAUUUGAUAUAAAUCAAUUUAGUUUUUAUUUAAAAUUUAAUAAAAUAUAUUUUAAUAAAAGUAUUUUUUAAUUUUAAAAUAAAUAACUUAAAUAUAUUAAAUGUAAUUAUGACCCAUCCAUGCUCAGAUGGGGGUCCCGGAAUCACUAGACUUGGAUGUACCAAAUUCAAUGAAGGAUGUACCAAAUUUAAUUAAGGAUGUACCAAAUUUUGUUAAAGAUGUACUAAGGGCUCCAAAGUGUGAUACGAAGUGGGGAUCGGCUCCAAAUCACUCUGUUAUGGGUUUCUAAAUAAAAUAGUGGCUCAUCCAUGGUCAGAAGAGGGUCCCGCAAUCACUAAGCUCGGAUAGACCAAAUUUAAUGAAGGAUGUACCAAAUUUUGUGAAGGAUGUACCAAGGGUUCGAAAAUGCGUUCCGAAGUGGGGAUCGACCCCCAAUCACUUUGUUAUGGGUUUCUUAAAGAAAUUACAGACCAUCCAUGUUGAAAUGGGGGUCUCAGAAUCUAUCGGAUCGGAUGUACCAAAUUUAAUGAAGGAUGUACCAAAUUUUGUGAAGGAUGUACCAAAUUUUGUGAAUGAUGUACCAAGGGUCCAAAAAUGCUUUCCGAAGUGGGGAUCGGCCCCAAAUCACUUUGUUUUGGGUUUUUAAAUGAAAUAGUGGCUCAUCCACGGUCAGAAGAGGGUCCCGGAAUCACUAGGAUCGGAUAUACCAAAUUUUGUGAAGGAUGUAACAAGGGUCCGAAAAUGCGUUCCGAAGUGGGGAUCGACCCCCAAUCACUUUGUUAUGGGUUUCUAAAUGAAAUUAUCGACCAUCCAUGUUGAAAUGGGGGUCUCAGAAUCUGUCGGAUCGGAUGUACCAAAAUUUAAUGAAGGAUGUACCAAAUUUUGUGAAGGAUGUACCAAAUUUUGUGAAUGANNNNNNNNNNNNNNNNNNNNNNNNNNNNNNNNNNNNNNNNNNNNNNNNNNNNNNNNNNNNNNNNNNNNNNNNNNNNNNNNNNNNNNNNNNNNNNNNNNNNGGGAUCGACCCCCAAUCACUUGUUAUGGGUUUCUAAAGAAAUUACAGACCAUCCAUGUUGAAAUGGGGGUCUCAGAUCUAUCGGAUCGGAUGUACCAAAUUUAAUGAAGGAUGUACCAAAUUUUGUGAAGGAUGUACCAAAUUUUGUGAAUGAUGUACCAAGGGUCCAAAAAUGCUUUCCGAAGUGGGGAUCGGCCCCAAAUCACUUUGUUUUGGGUUUUUAAAUGAAAUAGUGGCUCAUCCACGGUCAGAAGAGGGUCCCGGAAUCACUAGGAUCGGAUAUACCAAAUUUUGUGAAGGAUGUAACAAGGGUCCGAAAAUGCGUUCCGAAGUGGGGAUCGACCCCCAAUCACUUUGUUAUGGGUUUCUAAAUGAAAUUAUGGACCAUCCAUGUUGAAAUGGGGGUCUCAGAAUCUGUCGGAUCGGAUGUACCAAAUUUAAUGAAGGAUGUACCAAAUUUUGUGAAGGAUGUACCAAAUUUUGUGAAUGAUGUACCAAGGGUCCAAAAAUGCUUUCCGAAGUGGGGAUCGGCCCCAAAUCACUUUGUUUUGGGUUUUUAAAUGAAAUAGUGGCUCAUCCACGGUCAGAAGAGGGUCCCGGAAUCACUAGGAUCGGAUAUACCAAAUUUUGUGAAGGAUGUAACAAGGGUCCGAAAAUGCGUUCUGAAGUGGGGAUCGACCCCCAAUCACUUUGUUAUGGGUUUCCUAAAGAAAUUAUGGACCAUCCAUGUUGAAAUGGGGGUCUUGGAAUCUGUCGGAUCGGAUGUACCAAAUUUAAUGAAGGAAGGAUGUACCAAAUUUUGUGAAUGAUGUACCAAGGGUCCAAAAAUGCUUUCCGAAGCGGGGAUCAACCCCAAAUCACUUUGUUAUGGGUUUUUAAAUGAAAUAGUGGCUCAUCCACGGUCAGAAGAGGGUCCAAGAAUCACUAGGAUCGGAUGUACCAAAUUUUGUGAAGGAUAUACCAAGGGUCCGAAAAUGCGUUCCGAAGUGGGGAUCGACCCCCAAUCACUUUGUUAUGGGUUUCUUAAAGAAAUUACAGACCAUCCAUGUUGAAAUGGGGGUCUCGGAAUCUAUCGGAUCGGAUGUACCAAAUUUAAUGAAGGAUGUACCAAAUUUUGUGAAGGAUGUACCAAAUUUUGUGAAUGAUGUACCAAGGGUCCAAAAAUGCUUUCCGAAGUGGGGAUCGGCCCCAAAUCACUUUGUUUUGGGUUUUUAAAUGAAAUAGUGGCUCAUCCACGGUCAGAAGAGGGUCCCGGAAUCACUAGGAUCGGAUAUACCAAAUUUUGUGAAGGAUGUAACAAGGGUCCGAAAAUGCGUUCCGAAGUGGGGAUCGACCCCCAAUCACUUUGUUAUGGGUUUUUAAAUGAAAUUAUGGACCAUCCAUGUUGAAAUGGGGGUCUCGGAAUCUGUCGGUUCGGAUGUACCAAAUUUAAUGAAGGAUGUACCAAAUUUUGUGAAGGAUGUACCAAAUUUUGUGAAUGAUGUACCAAGGGUCCAAAAAUGCUUUCCGAAGUGGGGAUCGACCCCAAAUCACUUUGUUAUGGGUUUUUAAAUGAAAUAGUGGCUCAUCCACGGUCAGAAGAGGGUCCCGGAAUCACUAGGAUCGGAUGUACCAAAUUUUGUGAAGGAUGUACCAAGGGUCCGAAAAUGCGUUCCAAAGUGGGGAUCGACCCCCAAUCACUUUGUUAUGGGUUUCUUAAAGAAAUUACUGACCAUCCAUGUUGAAAUGAGGGUCUCGAAAUCUGUCGGAUCGGAUGUACCAAAUUUAAUGAAGGAUGUACCAAAUUUUGUGAAGGAUGUACCAAAUUUUGUGAAGGAUGUACCAAGGGUCCAAAAAUGCUUUUCGAAGUGGGGAUCGACCCCCAAUCACUUUGUUAUGGGUUUCUAAAUGAAAUUAUGGACCAUCCAUGUUGAAAUGGGGGUCUCGGAAUCUGUCGGAUCGGAUGUACCAAAUUUAAUGAAGGAUGUACCAAAUUUUGUGAAGGAUGUACCAAAUUUUGUGAAUGAUGUACCAAGGGUCCAAAAAUGCUUUCCGAAGUGGGGAUCGACCCCAAAUCACUUUGUUAUGGGUUUUUAAAUGAAAUAGUGGCUCAUCCACGGUCAGAAGAGGGUCCCGGAAUCACUAGGAUCGGAUGUACCAAAUUUUGUGAAGGAUGUACCAAGGGUCCGAAAAUGCGUUCCGAAGUGGGGAUCGACCCCCAAUCACUUUGUUAUGGGUUUCUUAAAGAAAUUACAGACCAUCCAUGUUGAAAUGGGGGUCUCGGAAUCUGUCGGAUCGGAUGUACGAAAUUUAAAGAAGGAUGUACCAAAUUUUGUGAAGGAUGUACCAAAUUUUGUGAAUGAUGUACCAAGGGUCCAAAAAUGCUUUCUGAAGCGGGGAUCGGCCCCAAAUCACUUUGUUAUGGGUUUUUAAAUUAAAUAGUGGCUCAUCCACGGUCAGAAGAGGGUCCCGGAAUCACUAGGAUCGGAUGUACCAAAUUUUGUGAAGGAUGUACCAAAGGUCCGAAAAUGCGUUCCGAAGUGGGGAUCGACCCCCNNNNNNNNNNNNNNNNNNNNNNNNNNNNNNNNNNNNNNNNNNNNNNNNNNNNNNNNNNNNNNNNNNNNNNNNNNNNNNNNNNNNNNNNNNNNNNNNNNNNGGGACCUCAUCUGACCGUGGAUGAGCCACUGUUUCAUUUAAAAACCCAAAACAAAGUGAUUGGGGUCGAUCCCCACUUUAGAAAGCAUUUUUGGACCCUUGGUACAUCAUUCACAAAAUUUGGUACAUCCUUCACAAAAUUUGGUACAUCCUUCAUUAAAUUUGGUACAUCCGAUCCGACAGAUUCCGAGACCCACAUUUCAACAUGGAUGGUCCAUAAUUUCAUUUAGAAACCCAUAACAAAGUGAUUGGGGGUCGAUCCCCACUUCGGAGUGCAUUUUCGGACCCUUGGUAUAUCCUUCACAAAAUUUGGUACAUCCGAUCCUAGUGAUUCUGGAACCCUCUUCUGACCGUGGAUGAGCCACUAUUUCAUUUAAAAACCCAUAACAAAGUGAUUUGGGGUCGAUCCCCACUUCGGAAAGCAUUUUUGGACCCUUGGUACAUCAUUCACAAAAUUUGGUACAUCCUUCACAAAAUUUAGUAUAUCCUUCAUUAAAUUUGGUAAAUCCGAACCGACAGAUUCCGAGACCCCCAUUUCAACAUGGAUGGUCCAUAAUUUCAUUUAGAAACCCAUAACAAAGUGAUUGGGGGUCGAUCCCCACUUCGAAAAGCAUUUUUGGACCCUUGGUACAUCAUUCACAAAAUUUGGUACAUCCUUCACAAAAUUUGGUAUAUCCUUCAUUAAAUUUGGUACAUCCGAUCCGACAGAUUCCGAGACCCCCAUUUCAACAUGGAUGGUCUGUAAUUUCUUUAGGAAACCCAUAACAAAGUGAUUGGGGGUCGAUCCCCACUUCGGAACGCAUUUUCGGACCCUUGGUACAUCCUUCACAAAAUUUGGUACAUCCGAUCCUAGUGAUUCCGGGACCCUCAUCUGACCGUGGAUGAGCCACUGUUUCAUUUAAAAACCCAAAACAAAGUGAUUUGAGGUCGAUCCCCACUUUAGAAAGCAUUUUUGGACCCUUGGUACAUCAUUCACAAAAUUUGGUACAUCCUUCACAAAAUUUGGUACAUCCUUCAUUAAAUUUGGUACAUCCGAUACGACAGAUUCCGAGACCCACAUUUCAAAAUGGAUGGUCCAUAAUUUCAUUUAGAAACCCAUAACAAAGUGAUUGGGGGUCGAUCCCCACUUCGAAAAGCAUUUUUGGACCCGUGGUACAUCAUUCACAAAAUUUGGUACAUCCUUCACAAAAUUUGGUAUAUCCUUCAUUAAAUUUGGUACAUCCGAUCCGACAGAUUCCGAGACCCCCAUUUCAACAUGGAUGGUCUGUAAUUUCUUUAAGAAACCCAUAACAAAGCUAUUGGGGGUCGAUCCCCACUUCGGAACGCAUUUUCGGACCCUUGGUACAUCCUUCACAAAAUUUGGUACAUCUGAUCCUAGUGAUUCCGGGACCCUCUUCUGACCGUGGAUGAGCCACUAUUUCAUUUAAAAACCCAUAACAAAGUGAUUUGGGGCCGAUCCCCGCUUCGGAAAGCAUUUUUGGGCCCUUGGUACAUCAUUCACAAAAUUUGGUACAUCCUUCACAAAAUUUGGUACAUCGUUCAUUAAAUUUCAUACAUCCGAUCCGACAGAUUCCGAGACCCCCAUUUCAACAUGGAUGGUCCAUAAUUUCUUUAGGAAACCCAUAACAAUGUGAUUGGGGGUCGAUCCCCACUUUGGAACGCAUUUUCGGACCCUUGGUACAUCCUUCACAAAAUUUGAUAUAUCCGAUCCUAGUGAUUCCGGGACCCUCUUCUGACCCUUGAUGAGCCUCUUUUUCAUUUAAAAACCCAAAACAAAGUGAUUUGGGGCCAAUCCCCCCUUCGGAAAGCAUUUUUGGACCCCUGAUACAUCAUUCACAAAAUUUGGUACAUCCUUCACAAAAUUUGGUACAUCCUUCAUUAAAUUUGGUACAUCCGAUUCGACAGAUUCCGAGACCCCCAUUUCAACAUGGAUGAUCCAUAAUUUCAUUUAGAAACCCAUAACAAAGUGAUUGGGGGUCGAUCCCCACUUCGAAAAGCAUUUUUGGACCCUUGGUACAUCCUUCAGAAAAUUUGGUACAUCCUUCACAAAAUUUGGUACAUCCUUCAUUAAAUUUGGUACAUCCGAUCCGACAGAUUCCGAGACCCCCAUUUCAACAUGGAUGGUCCAUAAUUUCUUUAGAAACCCAUAACAAAGUGAUUGGGGGUCGAUCCCCACUUCGGUACGCAUUUUCGGACCAUUGGUACAUCCUUCACAAAAUUUGGUACAUCCUUCAUUAAAUUUGGUACAUCUGACCCUAGUGAUUCCGGUACUGAUUACUACCAAAAAGUGCUAUUUUGUAGACCUAAUUAUAAUGGUUUUAAGCACCUUUGAGUAGUAAUCAUAUUCAUUUAACCCAAUUAAUUCAUUAAGGUCCUUAGUAAUUGGUUUUAACCAUUUUGUGGCAAGUUUACAUGUUUUUAUCAGCUUAUGAAUCAAUUCAAGCAUGCCAAAUGAUUGAGGAGAGUUAUUUGGAAUCCAUGGCAAAGCAAUGAAGAGCUCAAAUUCAUGAAGAAACUAAGCUUUGGAGCCUCAUAGUCCUUUGCCUUAGUCGUUCAAAGUAUGCAAGGAAAGAGCACUGGAGAGAGGAAAAACAGAGUGAAGAAAACAGAGGACAGCAGCUGCAGUCUUCUUGUGCACUUUUGGAGCACUUCCCGAAGUCCAUUUUCUACAUCCUAUAUACCAUUUCAAAGCUCAGAAGUCAAGAAUCCAACGCUUCAAACCGUGUACAUUUGGAGCUGAAAUGGNGGAAGUAUAAGCCUUUGGAAGAUGACUGCNNNNNNNNNNNNNNNNNNNNNNNNNNNNNNNNNNNNNNNNNNNNNNNNNNNNNNNNNNNNNNNNNNNNNNNNNNNNNNNNNNNNNNNNNNNNNNNNNNNNGUUCAGCUUGUUGAUGCGAAAAUAUUUCGCAACCCUCUUGAGUGUCUGCGAAAUCUCGCAGANACCAUUUUUCACUUGCGAAAUGUUCCUUGGAGCUUCUCGAUAUUUGCCACCGACUCUUUUGGAUAUUUUUCUUCAGAUAUUUUUGUAUAAAUUUCCAUUUUCUCCUUGUAUUCAGCCACUCAUGUAAUUCCUUAACUAGGAAGUAUCCAAGGAAGGCUAAAUUACCUUCCUAUAUAAACUCUCAGAUCAUGUAAUCCAUCAAUCAAUAUAUAGAAUAUACAGAGCCUUGCUCUGUUUUUCCUUCUCUUUCAUUUUUCAUUUCUUUUUAUUUCUAGCCAACCAAACUUUGAGGAUUUUUCCUCAAAGGAUGAGAGGCUAAGCUUUUUGUCUCUUGGAGUGAGGAAAGCCGGGUAAGUUUCCACAUGCAUAAUUUGGAAGUUUUGUUGUUUUAGUUUUUAAUGAAGAGAAAGUGUAACCCGUUAGUGAUUUCUAUGUUUUUAGUUAACUUAAAACACCUUAGAGUCAUCUGGGCCAACACUUGGUAAGGCAAGUGAUUUCCAACCAUGGAAAUGCACUAGUUUACCCCUUGUGAGCCUUUGGGAGGUGACUUAAAGGUAGGAUUUUUUAGAAUAGCCAACACUUGGUAAGCUUUUGGACUCCAAGGAGACAUCCAUUAGUUAUCUCUUGCGAGCUUUUGACGGGAAGUCCAAGGUUAAAGAUCAUCUUGAAUGGCAAGUGCUAGGUGAGAGGUAUGAGCCAUUGCAAGAUGCAUCAGUGAGAGGGAUUUAGUGUUUGAACCCAUUAAUGGGAAGCAUCUGUACAACACCGGUUAGAGAAUUAACUAUAUGUUAAUUCUCUAAUGCGAGGAAAAGAAACAAGUGACCGGAACUCCCUUUUUGUAUGAGGAAUCUGAGCCUAGUGAUCUGAACUCCAAGAAACAUCUUUUCUUUAUAAGUAAAAUCAGUUACUAUUUUUGGUUAGUUUAAAACCAAACCUUUUUCAUUCAAACAUCUCUAUGUUUUCUUUUAAAGCUAACCUUGAAAUGAAAAGGCACCAAUUCAACUUUGAAUUAACAUCAUUUGUGAAGUGAAAACUCAUCCCAGUGAACGAUCCUAGAGCCACUAUGCUAUAGUAGCUUUGUCUUUGCUACCCUAGUAUAUGGUGUAAUAGGUUAUAAAUUUUGUUGAUUAAUCCCUCAAUCAAGGAGCACCAGCUGGACACAAAUCAGCUGAGACACCAAUUGGGCACGAAUCAGGUACCCCCUUAGUGCCAUGGAUGGACCAUAAUUUAAUUUGGCAACCCAUAAGUGAUUUAUUUCAAAAUUUAAAAAAUACUUUUAUUAAAACAUAUUUUAUUACAUUUUAAAUAAAAAGUAAAUUGAUUUAUAUCAAAUAUUUGAUUUGAGAUAUGAUUUCUAAAAAUAUAUUACAAAUAUGUGGUGACAAUUUUUCAAUUAAAAUUCAUGUAUUUAAAUAAUUAAAAUUAUUAAUCAUUUAUCUAAUCAAAUUAAUUUUAAGUUAUAAAAUAUUAGGACUUCAUCAUUUUUUUUGUAGCAAAUUCUGAGUACAACUAUUUUUGUAAUAUUUAAAAAUACAAAAUUUUGAAAUUAAAUAAAAUUAAACGGGUAAAUAAAAAAAGUAGUUAAAAAAAUAAAGAUAAUGUAAAAUAGAAUGAUAAUAUAAUUUUGAAAUAAAGUAUUAGGUAAUGACAACGUUUUUUUUGUAGGAAUGAGCAUGAAGGAAAACUAUGGCCACCGCCUUCAUGUCAUACACAUCCCCAAUGGUAUUAUAAACUUUGGAAUCUUAUGUUAUAUGCAAUACACAAAAUAAGGGCCCACCCUUUAUUUCACAGGCAUGCCUAUGUGUCGAAGAUGCCAUGUGCAGUAGCCAAAUUAGGGGCAGACCUUUCAUAUGACAUGCAUGCAAGUGGGUGAAAACCUAAUCGUAGUUAUUAUUUGUGCACUAUCAAAAAGAUAAGCAUGCCCUUGUGCAGGUGGCAUGCCUUCAUAGUGACUUUAUCUUACUUGUUGAUUGGACAGUGUGGUCAUGGGAGGCAGACCCAACACAUGAAGGGUUGGCCCUACACAUUCACAUUGAAAUAAAAUGUAUGGAUAAUUGAUUCAUAUGUGUUAAAGCCUAAAAUAUAGAGUCAAUACAUACUAAGAUUGGAAAAUAGGCAAAAUGUCAUUCAGACAUUCAAAAUAACUUAAACCAACCUCAUAACUAGCAUCACAUUUACACAUAAAUAUUGCAUAGAGUGUUGACAAUUGGUGCAAGAGAGUAUAAAGUUUACUGAUGAUUAAUGAAAGCAUGCAUAUUGAUAAGCAUUGGAAAGCGUUAAAGUAAAAGGAGUUAAGAAGUUGUUUGAGAACGAGAUUUUAUAAACUUAUUACAAAAUCCAUGAAAAUGUUGUGCGCACACAUACGCAUUCGAUUGUAAGACGGAUAGAAAGUAAGGUUACUCCUCUUCAUUAGUCGGUGCAUCUUCGUCUUCUUCAUCUCCACCAUCAUCAUCACCAUCUUCCUCGUCAUCUGUCUGUGAUGGCGUAGGAGGUAGAGCAUCAGGGUGCAAUGCUUUCCAUGCUGCAAUGGAACGAUCGCAUUGUUGACGCACAAUCUUCAAUUGAUUGUUCAUUGAUUUGCACAUUGGGUAAAUAUCCCCAAGCUGAGAACUUUUAGUUGACCUACGCGACGAAGAGGAUGAUGUUUGUUUGUCUAUCGACAUUUUCAUGCGCAUAGGUUGCAUGCGCGGGAUUGACUCAUAAGGUAGUGUCUUGAAAUCCAACCCUGCAUUUUGUAAAAGCAAGCAAACAGUUGAACCAUAUGGUAAUGCACGUGUGCUCACAUUACUACGCCGUGCCUCUAUCAUGUUAUGGCAAAUAAGUGCGGGCAAAUUAAUUUUACUGCGACGUGCCAUGUGAAACAGAAUAUGCAGAACAUAUAGUGUAAGCUCAUUAAGAUGACCCUUCUUAUUCAAGACAGUAUGAAACAAUAUCAGACUUAGAAUCCUGUAUUUUGGAAGUAGAGAUCUAUGUUCAACGCUUGUACCCAACUGAAAACAAUGGCCGCAUAAUUCCUUUGUUAUUGUGUCUGACAUUGCCUUGAUAUCAAUCUCUGGAAUACAAAAGUUAAUAGCUUUCUUGGGUGUUUCCAAAGAGAAGGUGCGUCCAAUAAGGGAUGGGGAAACCCGCACAGCAACUCCCUUGAAUGAAGUGUGAAAUGAAUAUUUCUCCUCGUCAACAUUUCUGAUAUUGUUGUAGAAUGCUCGCACAGGAGUUGGAUAACAUUCUUGCGUUAGCUGUAUAAAUGGUCUCAAUUUGUAAAAAUCUAGUAACUCAGCAACGCCAUGUUCUUCAAACCCAGCAAUUAGUAUGACACGCUCAAUGGCAAUUGGUCGUUUUGCUAUGAGCUUAUCACAUUCGUGCUCAUCAGGUGGGUGGCGAGGCAUGAAAGGGUCAUGUUGGACUUCCUCAGGUACAGUUGACGUUGAGCCAUGUCUAACCUUCUUUUUAGGCGGCAUGAUGUUUGGUCCUUGUAAUGGCACUACAUAUUGUUAAAAAUUCAGUGAUGGAAGUUAGAGAUGAAAAGUUUCAAUUCAUUGCAUCCAAGCCAACCACAAAUAGCUUAAAAAGGAAUUCAAGCAACUCCCAAAAGAGUGGUUGCCACAACCAAGAGAAAAUAUGUGCAGAAAACAAUGAAAAACAAACCUUAUUGUUGUUGUUAUUGUAGCAAAUUGUUGACGAUUAUGCCAGUGAAAAUCUUACAGUGAAAUGGUAGAGUAGCUAAAAUGGAGGAAUGGGUGGGUGGAAGAGGGAGGUUGUGAUGUGCAACGUGUAUAGUAGAAAAUGAGGUGUAAAUGGGAAUGAAUAUGAGUUGUUGAGGAUGUGAUGUCAACCAAACUGAGUAAAUGGUUGAAGUUGGAAUGGAGGUCCGCCUAUGCACGAGAUGUGGCUAGUACAUACAUGCAUUUAAUGUUCCAUAAUGAGUGCAUAGUUACAAGUCACUAAAAUUGGAUGGGAUGAAACAACGUGAAUGAAGUCUUCUACAAGCCUACAAUUGGAGACUAUCAUUAUGUGGAGUGAAUGUGAAGUUAUUAUGUGGUAGGUGCAUCAUAAAUAUUGGUAAUAUGAAGUCUUCUACAAGCCUACAAUUGAAGACUAUCAUUAUGUGGAGUGAAUGUGAAGUUAUUAUGUGGUAGGUGCAUCAUAAAUAUUGGUAAUAUGUUGACCUCUAGUUAUUAAAUGUCCACUGUGGUACAAUCAAAUCAAAUGCAACAAAAGUUUUUCAAGUUUUUGUUCUCGUUGACAUAAAAUGGCCAAAUAUUUAUCGAAUAAGUGUAAUGUAGUUGAUACAAGUAUGAAUAAAUAUAAUAUUUAUUAAAUUUUUAUAAGAAAAGUAGCAUUAAUUGAUUUAAUAUAUUUAAGAGAUUUAUUUUUAAAUUAAAAAAUACGUAUAUUAAAACAUAUUUUAUGACAUUCUAAAUACUUUAAAAAAUGUAUCAUUAAAUUAUUAAAAAUGCUAAAAAAAACUUUCACAAUUGACAAAAAAUGCGCAUGGACUCCAAUUUUUUCCCACAAAAACAGUAGUAGAAGUUUAUUUAAUUCAAUUUGGAAAAAAAUGACCCAUAUCAUUAAAAAUAAUUAUUUUUAAAAAUCAUCCGUAAAUAUAAAAUUCUAUGACUUUAUUAAUCUGAUAGCUACACAUAGAAGCUAAUCACCUUGCUAAACAAAGAUUUAUUACCAGUAUGAUAUUUUCCAUCAUGCCAAACGCUGCACGAGUAUGCAAUUUCGUUUUGUAAAUGCUUAUUGAUUCGACUCAUGGUAGCUUAGCUUUAAAGGCGUAUCAACAAAAUUUAUACCUUAAAUACUAUUACUAAAGUAGCCAAGCUACUAUAGCAUAGUGGUUCUAGGAUCGUUCACUGGGAAGGGUUUUCGCAAACACUAGUGAUAUUCAAAUUAGGAAAAUAGGUGAUUUUCUUAUGGAUGUUAGCUUUAAAAGAAGAUGUAAAUGUUUUAGAAAGAUUUAAACUAAUCUAAGCUAACAUUAAAGACUAAAAUGAAAGGGUGUAAAAACAAGUUUCUCAAAGAUAGGAUAGCUAUGCUCUGGCUCUUAUGCAAAUUGGAAAUCUCAUGAUAGGCUCCUCGAGUUGGGGUUGCAACUAUGGUGAUGCUUGCUUCCCGAACCGGUAUGGAUUUAGCAAAUCAAGUUUUAAUCCUUUAAAAUGGCAAAACAGAUGGUAGUGAAUUUCAUCAAUGGUUAUUCACCUUAGACUUCCUUUGAAUGGCUCGUAAGAGAUAACUAAUGGUCUAAAGCCAAAAGCUUACCAAAUAUUGGCAACUCAAAGUCAUUCCAGGUGAUAAACUCACCUUUCAAUGACCAUUGAAAUUGGUUCUAACGAAUUAAUGCAAAACUUGGAAUUGAAAACCUCACCUUCCAAUAGCUCGUAGGAGAUAACUAAUGGAUAGAAAUCCAAAAGCUUAUCAAGUAUUGGCCGUUGGAAGUUGUCCAAAGGAAAUAAAAACCAAACUUUGCAUUAAUGAACCAUUAAUGAAAAACGACUACCUUACCUUCCAAGUGCGAGAAAUUUCCAUGGGAUUGCAUCCAAGCCAUCACAUAACAUCCAUACUUUGAGAAACUAAAAGUUUUAGCCAAUCAUCCUUUGAGGAAAAGCCCUCAGAGGCUGUUUAGCUUCCAAGAAAAUAAAAUAGUAAAGAGACAAGAGAGACGAGAGAGCUCUGUAUAUAUUUUAAGUGUCAAAACGUCACCUAUGUUAUAUAUUCCAAGAGGUGAUUUCCACCCCUUAUAUAGUCUUUACAAAAGCAAAAGCUUGUGAUUGGUUAGUUACAAGGAUAAGAAAGGAAAUUACAUCAAAAAAUACAAAGGAAAAUAUCUAAAGUGGAGUCGGCAAAAACAGAGGAAAAUUCGCACCACGCAUGGGUUAUGCGAAUUUUGAAGGUGUUAUGCGAAUUUCGCAAAACACCUUGUGUCGUGCGAAAUUUUCGCACAACCUGGAGCAGUUGGCUUCCAAAGGCCAUAUCUUCCUCAUUUCAGCUCCAAAUCGUACACGGUUUGAAGCUUUGGAUUCUUGACUUCCAGAGCUUUGAAAUGGUAUAUAGCAUGUAAAAAAUGGACUUCAGGAAGUGCUCUAAAAGUGCGAAAGAAAACUACAGCUGCUGUCCUCUUUGCUUCUCUUCACUUUGCUUGCUUUUCCUCUUUGCUUCUCUUUCCUUGCAUACUUUGAACGACUUUGGAAAAGGGCUAUGGAGCUCCAAAGCUUGGUUCUUCAUGAAUUUGAGCUUCCAAAAGCUUUGCCAUAACUUGUCCAAGUAGCUCCUCCAUCAUUUGGCAUGCUUGAAUUGAUUCAUAAGCUGAUAAAAACAUGUAAACUUGCCACAAAAUGGUUAAAACCAAUUACUAAGGACCUUAAUGAAUUAAUUGGGUUAAAUGAAUAUGAUUACUACUCAAAGGUGCUUAAAACCAUUAUAAUUAGGUCUACAAAAUAGCACUUUUUGGUAGUAAUCACUUAUAUCAUCCACAAUCAUUUAAACCUCCAUAAAUGAUCAAUAACUAUUUGUAUUUCAUGGCAUUGGCAGAAUUGAACCUUUUGGGAAUACAAGAAAUAAUGUUGAUGGGACAAAAUUAGAACUUCUAACAAAGUACAUAAAUUGGAAAGGUAAGACAAAUUGAGAAACCAAGAAAGAACCACUAGAUUUAGCACACAUUUAGGGUUCCAUUAUGAACUUUCAUCAUGAAACAUUUCCUAGAAUCAAUAGCUAACUAUAGUCCCCAAUGCAACCCAAUUGGCAUCUUUUGCAAUAGAAAUACUGGUGGUUGAUGAGCCCAAUCACAGAACUUCAUGAGCUUUCCCAUAAUACCUGUUUAUAAACGGUGCCUGAAAGGCAUUCCAAACAACAAUAAUUACUAUUUAAAGAUUAAUGAGUCAUACUUAUUUCCUGAAAAAAAAUGUAGAGAGGGCACAAAUAAGAUAAUGCAAUUAGCAUUCAUUAACAAGUGUCUGCUCUAAUAGAAGAGGCCAAAUUCAUUGAUAUGCUACAACCAAUCAACUAUUUUUUGUACUUAUUCACAGAAUGGAUGGCAAAACAUACCCUCAAUAAACCAUGGCCAAGUGAAAACAAGGUGACUAAACAGAAAAAACUCAACUUAAUUAGCUAAGUAAAAGUCAAACCAUUUAGAAAUAGUGUCAUAUUGAUCCAUUUGGAUACCAAGGAAAAAAAAUGGCCACAUAAUGACAAAGCUUUUGGGCGAUCAGUUAGUUGAUAUUAAAAAUAGCAGACAUGUUAUGUUAGCAUGGAACAGAUAAAUAAAUUAAACAUAUAUUCCAUCAAGAGAUUAUUUUUUGACUAUUUAUGUAGGGAACGACUUAUAGCAAUACACCAUGAUCUUGAAUAUCGCAUUAAGGCCAGCUUCAAAAUGCACAAGAUUCAUAGGCUAUCAAUAGUCUCAUAUGGAGAAACAAAAAUAGUGGUGUCGAAGAUAUUCUGUUCUUUCAAUAGAAGAAAUGUUCAAAAUUGUACCUUAACAUUUUAGAGUUUUUGUCAAUGAAGAAUAAUCGGAACAAACUCUAACAAAUUCUAUCUUAUGCUCUCUCUAGCUUUUAACAUGACUGUCCAUAUUAGAUUGUGUUGAUUGGUUGGGCUCUUGAUGAUUAUAGAGAGGUGUUUUUGUUAAUCUCUCAAUCUAAUUGCCUUUAUGUCUUAUUUCUAAACUUCUUGUGUACAUUUGUGCACCUUCUUUUAAUUAGGUGGUGUUAAUAAUAUUAUCUUUUGCAAAAGAAAAAAUAAAUUGUACCUUAACAUUUGAUAUGCCAGGAUUAUCAUCGGUCUGGACUGAGUAGAACUUGUUAAACUUCAUGUUUUCAAAUGCUGCUUUAGUCUAUUAACUCAUUUCUGCAAGGCCUUUUUCUAGGCUUCUCUAGCCUACAAGAAAAGGAAUUGACAAGUACUCAACAUAUUUGAAAUUUAUGUGCAAGACCAAAACUAUUGUAACGAUUGGUAUCUGUUAUAAAAUACCUGUCUAUUGGCUUUUUUUGCCUCUCGGACAUUGUCUUUGACAAAAUUAUGAGCAACCAAAACAAUUUAAGUUCAUGGUAUGGUUAAUUACAUGCAAGAGCAAUCAAUUACAUGCAUAUCAUCAAUUACAGAUCACCUUAAAUGCAUCCUUUUGAUCUGCAUCAAAUUCAUUCUCCUCAAUUAGCUUAUCAGUGACCUCCUAAAGAUAAGAGAAGUACAGUUAACCACAAGAUGUAAAUAAAACAUAAUAAAAACCUAUAAAGCUUAUGAGUAAUGAAGGAACUUAUUCUUUUAGAGGGUUCCUUCCACAACACUCCCCUAGGAAAUAUUAAAGCAGGAACAAGUCGUCCUUUGUCUUAUUAAAUGUCUAACCAUCAAAAAUCACUCUAAACUAAGUUUAGUAUCAAUUGAUUUAUAGAUGCGAGACAGCUAAACCCACAAUAAGAUGGUAACAAGGAUUCUUUCAGCUAAACAGAAAAUACAGCCAUUUGACUAAAUUGGUUUACAGGGUUGUUGAAUUAUCUAAUAAUUAGCUCAUGAUUAUACAUAAACAUAGAAAAUUGGGGAUAAGUUUAAGCAACCAGACCAUGUCAUUACAAUAUUAUCAACUGAUUUAAACAGGUUAUAUGGAAUAGCACAAACGAUUUAUGGAAGCAUUAAGAAAUUGUCAAUAAUAUAACCUUAAAAAAUAAAAAUGUCAUUUACUAGAGUUUUAUAUAUAUAGGGAGGAGAUAGCACCUAACCUGGUAGUCAAAUGAACCAUGCAUGCAUUGGAAGUAGUCUUGAUAACUUAUCCCUUCUAUUGUACCAUAAAAAAGACAUGACAUAGCCUCAAAAUCUAUUAUUCACUAUCAAUGACCAAGUUGAAGUUUAAAUUUGAAUGUAUAGUUAAAAAAUUGAAUGAAAUAAAACCAAAGAAAUUAAUUGUGAAGGUUACCCAAUACUAUUCUGCAUCGUUGGUUGACCAAAUAUUGGCUGUAACCAUUUCACCAAUUUCGUUUUCGCUAUCAAGAACCAUAUGAGUUGCAAAUUUCAAUCUUUCAAGGCUCAUGCGUUCCUACACAUUAAACUUAUGUUAGACCCUACAUCUCGGUAACAUUUAACAUGUACAUUUGAAAAUAAAACCAUAACAUCAUAUUUAACAACUUACAGAAUUAAUGGUUCUAUUAAGACCACUUCCAUCCCAAUGUUGCAUAUAGAGAAUAGCAUACAUCCCAGUAUGACAUUUGCAAUAACAAGUAUGAUUUGUGACAUGUUAUUAACAUAGGACCCAAUUAGGAUUGAAAAUGAAUACAUGAAAAAAAAAAUAUGUAACUAACAAUUUUGGAUCGCCAUCGAUAUCUGCAUACUGUGGAUGUAAAUUAUUUAUAUUCACAUCAUUCCGUUUGAAGGAAUUUUUUAAUAACUGCGACAUAAAUCCAACUACUUUGAAAGCUUCAUUAACAAAGUGAACACGUUGAAUGCUAUUAUAUGAUGAAAGUAGAUCCACCCUUUUAGCCUCCAAAUUGAUUACCAUGAUGACCCAUUCAUUAAAUUGGAAUAAGGGGAUAUAAAACUACAAAACAGACAAUCAUCAUAACAACAAUGAAGGCUUAAAUAUUUGAAAUAUAAAUUCAAAAUUAUUAAAAAAUUGUCAUCAAUCUAUGUAAUCAAUACAAUAGUCAAGCAUUACCUGGUUGCAAAAUUCAAGAUUAACACAAUAGCUACCUAAUCUUUUCUUGAGUGUUGAUUUUGAGGUAGACUUGCUCAUUGAACCACAUAUUUCUUGUAAAAAGUUGUUGAGAGCAUAGUAACAAUGUAUGACUAAAGCUAUACAUGCAUCUUAUAUUAGGGACAAGAUUUGGUGUACUCGAGGAAAAAACCUCACCCCAAAGUAUGGAUUAAAAAAGUGUCUGCAAUAAGGAUUCUCUUCUUUUGCAUUCAUGUAUCGGCAAAACAUGGAAAUCACCUACAUAAUGCCUCUUCAUUAGUUAAAAUGAUCAAUGGAAAGAUGAAGGUAUUUUUUUCUUAUUUAUCAUAAACCUUACCGGAAUAUCAAUGAAGCUCUCCCCUACUAAGCAUUAAAAUUGUUCCCGUGUCACGCCAUAGCCACCAUAUGCACAAAGCAUCUCACUAUUAAUCACAUGAAACACAAGACGUGAGUAAUUUUUUUUGUUUUCUAGAUAAAUCCAUAAUCAUAGUCUUUUAAGAACAAUACUUGUUAAACGUGUGAUUUGGGACUAACCUUGGAUCUUUUGACUCAUCAAAUACAUAGUCGGCAACAUGUGUCUCUUCCUCCGUCAACCUUUUAUAUUUUGAUACACAUAAUUGUACAAAAGGUGACUUACACGCAGCUGCUCGUUGCCUAUGACGACGUACUUUCAUUUUUACUCUUUGUGGUCGUAUUUCUUCUGAGGCUUGUGGUGCUACAUCCACAUUGUUGUUCAUGCACGAUUGCACUAACACCAACAUAUUGUGUGGCCCAGGGUGAAGGGGAUCCUCGUUUGAAAAGAACACACCAUCUUCUAUGUUGGGUCUUUCUGACACCCCUUCAUUUGUACAUCCAACGUCAUCUUCAAAAGAUCUUCUUUGACCACCAGAAUGAACAGGUGAAUGUUGUGGAUUAUUUUUAUAAAAUGGUGCACCACUUUCAUUAACAUGUUCAUGAAAAUUUGACGGUUGGCCUUCAUCUGUGCGAUAAUGUGAAGAGGUGAAACGAGUCCUCAACACUUUCACGUCACGGUUGUAUGAUGCAAUAAGACUAUUAAGAUGACUUUGUGCAUCGGUGAUUUGACGUUGUGUUGCCUCCAUGCGAGCACAAAUAACCUAAGUCAAACAUAAUGAAGGACCAUUAAAUGACAUAUAUUUAAACUAAGCCUUAAUAUAAGUUACUAUUCAUAGUCAUUAGGUAUGAAGGAUUACAUCAAAGUCUUCAUUCUCAUCUGGGUCAACUGGGUCAUCAACUGUAGGAGCCUUAUUUUUUUCUGUUUCAUCUUGCUCCGCCGAUGUGCUAACCAACUAUCAUUGCAAAACAUGUAAAUUGUCAUCCCAAUAAUCUAAUUACAAUGGUAAUCAACUAUCUUAAUAUAACUAAAAGCUAAUUAUACCUCAACUUUGCCAAAUCCUCCAAGCAUUUCUAACUCCAACUUGAUGCGUUGCUUGACCAAAAAAUCAUUCCAUGCAGCAAUGCGAGGAGUGGUAAGUUCCACAUACAUGGCUGGAAAAUUAGAUAUUGAAAAGUAGAAUAUCUGUUGCAUUAUAUAAGACAUAAUUAGUGGUAACAUCAUGGCCAACAUAGUGUAUAACCAUUAUUGAAUAUCUAAUACAUGGACAUAUACUUAUAAAUAAGACAAAAAGUUACCUGUAGAAACAUCAAACACCCUUUAAUCCAAACACUUUCCUUCCUCCUAUGUUCAUGUAUAGCUUGAAUCAAAAAUUCUAAGACAUUCUCCCCAAUUUAUGUUCCCAAGUAACUGCUCUCGGGGUGUAUACCAUAACGAGUGACUACCUUCCAAACGAGAAGUGGGUGCCAAUAAGGUUGCACAAGCGAAAAUCAAGAAGACCCGCUUAAAUUCCUCCAUAUCAUCGAUGCCAACCAUCAUUGACUCUAUAUCUUGCAAACUCGGCAUUUGACUAGCUUUAACACUUCCCUUCUCAACAAUUAACUUUCUUCCACUAUGUGGAAUGCCCAUCGUCAUCCCAACAUCAUGACAUGUCAAAGAAACCUUCUUACCCCCAAAUAACUCGAGUUGGGAAUAAGCAAUGUUUGUGUUUUUUAUCAACCAAAAACAUAAAUCUAAAUUAACCUCCUUACAACCUAAUUGCAAUAGCCCACCAAAACCAAGUUCUCGUAUUACAUCCUUCUUCACUUCUGAGAGCAAAUGGAUUCCAGAGAGGAAUCUACGGCUAGAACAACGACACCGUAUGUUCAUAUUAUCACUGCAUUAAACAACUAUAAUUCAUUAAUAAAUUAAUCAAAUGUUAAAGACAUGUGAACGUGAAUAUAGUGUUCCUAUAUACAUUCAUCAUAAUUAUUACACAAAUAUAACAUAUAUUAACAAAGAAAUGGGAAACAUUUUGUUACAUCAUGUAAAUGAUAAUCAUUGAGAUCGGUUUCCUCUAGCCUUUCAAUAAUAUGGUUAUCAAUAAGGGUGAAAUUGUUAUAUAUAGGGUCACCCACUAUGAUACCCACUGCAAAAAAAAAAAAAAAAAAACAGACAAUGUGCAUUUUAGUGGGUCAGCCAAUAAAAACAAAUGGUACGCCUCAAAGUUACAUACUCAUCUAACCAUAUCAAUAUAGUUUAGGGAAAAGUGGGAUUUGAUUCACUAAUAAGAAAAUAUAUGAUAAAAAGAAUCCCAAAUAUUUUAAAUUAGUAUUAUCUUCAUCUAUUUAAAAAUAAUUUGAAAUACAUGCAAUGAGUUAUCCAAUUAUUCCAAAAAAUGUCAUUUUAUUUUUUAUGUUAUUCAAAUCAAUUGAAAACUACACUCCUCCAUAUAAAUGUUUCCUUAUUAUUUUAGAUUUUUUUAUUAUUAUUUUAUUAUUUAAGAUUUUUUUUCCUCUAGAAACAAACACCUUAUAGGAUUCUUAUUUUAGUUUUCUAAAAGUUUAGGAAAUAUUGUCAAACAAAUCAUAUUUAAUCAUAAUUACGAAUUCAAAAAGUAAUAAGAUUUUUUAUUAAAUAAUAAAGAAUAAACUCGUAAUAUAUAAUUCUUUUAAUAUUAUAACAAAUUUAUUAUUAAAAAACUUUAAUAACAAAUUUUAUUCAUUAUUAUAUUAAACAAUUAUUAAUAUUAUAUAAUAAAUAGAAAUUUAUUAUUGGUUUAUUUAUUAUCAAGAAUAUGAAUCUAUUUUUAACUUAUUAAUACUAUAAUAAAUUCUGUUUUUUUUUUCAAAUUAUUACUUUAUAAUGUUUCUAGAGAAAAAAAAUUCCCAAAUAAUAAAAUAAUAAAAUAAUAAAAUAAUAAAGUAAUAAUAAUAAUAAUAAUAAUAAUAAUAAUAAUAAUAAUAAUAAUAAUAAUUUAAGAUUAUUGACAACUACACUCCUCCAUAUAAAUGUUUCCUUAUUAUUUUAGAUUUUUAUUUUAUUUUAUUAUUUUAUUAUUUAAGAUUUUUUUUCCUCUAGAAACAAACACCUUAUAAGAUUCUUAUUUUAGUUUUCUAAAAGUUUAGGAAAUAUUGUCAAACAAAUCAUAUUUAAUCAUAAUUACGAAUUCAAAAAGUAAUAAGAUUUUUUAUUAAAUAAUAAAGAAUAAACUUCGUAAUAUAUAAUUAUUUUAAUAUUAUAACAAAUUUAUUAUUGAAAAACUCUAAUAACAAAUUUUAUUCAUUAUUAUAUUAAACAAUUAUUAAUAUUAUAUAAUAAAUAGAAAUUUAUUAUUGGUUUAUUUAUUAUCAAGAAUACGAAUCUAUUUUUAACUUAUUAAUACUAUAAUAAAUUCUGUUUUUUUUUUUCAAAUUAUUACUUUAUAAUGUUUUUAGAGAAAAAAAAUUCCCAAAUAAUAAAAUAAUAAAAUAAUAAAGUAAUAAUAAUAAUAAUAAUAAUAAUAAUNNNNNNNNNNNNNNNNNNNNNNNNNNNNNNNNNNNNNNNNNNNNNNNNNNNNNNNNNNNNNNNNNNNNNNNNNNNNNNNNNNNNNNNNNNNNNNNNNNNNNNNNNNNNNNNNNNNNNNNNNNNNNNNNNNNNNNNNNNNNNNNNNNNNNNNNNNNNNNNNNNNNNNNNNNNNNNNNNNNNNNNNNNNNNNNNNNNNNNNNNCUUUUUUCAAAUUAUUACUUUAUAAUGUUUUUAGAGAAAAAAAAUUCCCAAAUAAUAAAAUAAUAAAAUAAUAAAGUAAUAAUAAUAAUAAUAAUAAUAAUAAUUUAAGAUUAUUGACAACUACACUCCUCCAUAUAAAUGUUUCCUUAUUAUUUUAGAUUUUUAUUUUAUUUUAUUAUUUUAUUAUUUAAGAUUUUGUUUCCUCUAGAAACAAACACCUUAUAGGAUUCUUAUUUUAGUUUUCUAAAAGUUUAGGAAAUAUUGUCAAACAAAUCAUAUUUAAUCAUAAUUACGAAUUCAAAAAGUAAUAAGAUUUUUUAUUAAAUAAUAAAGAAUAAACUCGUAAUAUAUAAUUCUUUUAAUAUUAUAACAAAUUUAUUAUUAAAAAACUUUAAUAACAAAUUUUAUUCAUUAUUAUAUUAAACAAUUAUUAAUAUUAUAUAAUAAAUAGAAAUUUAUUAUUGGUUUAUUUAUUAUCAAGAAUAUGAAUCUAUUUUUAACUUAUUAAUACUAUAAUAAAUUCUGUUUUUUUUUUCAAAUUAUUACUUUAUAAUGUUUCUAGAGAAAAAAAAUUCCCAAAUAAUAAAAUAAUAAAAUAAUAAAAUAAUAAAGUAAUAAUAAUAAUAAUAAUAAUAAUAAUAAUAAUAAUAAUAAUAAUAAUUUAAGAUUAUUGACAACUACACUCCUCCAUAUAAAUGUUUCCUUAUUAUUUUAGAUUUUUAUUUUAUUUUAUUAUUUUAUUAUUUAAGAUUUUUUUUCCUCUAGAAACAAACACCUUAUAAGAUUCUUAUUUUAGUUUUCUAAAAGUUUAGGAAAUAUUGUCAAACAAAUCAUAUUUAAUCAUAAUUACAAAUUCAAAAAGUAAUAAGAUUGUUUAUUAAAUAAUAAAGAAUAAACUUCGUAAUAUAUAAUUCUUUUAAUAUUAUAACAAAUUUAUUAUUGAAAAACACUAAUAACAAAUUUUAUUCAUUAUUAAAUUAAACAAUUAUUAAUAUUAUAUAAUAAAUAGAAAUUUAUUAUUGGUUUAUUUAUUAUCAAGAAUACGAAUCUAUUUUUAACUUAUUAAUACUAUAAUAAAUUCUGUAUUUUUUUUCUUCAAAUUCUUACUUUAUAAUGUUUCUAGAGAAAAAAAAUUCCCAAAUAAUAAAAUAAUAAAAUAAUAAAGUAAUAAUAAUAAUAAUAAUAAUAAUAAUAAUAAUAAUUUAAGAUUAUUGACAACUACACUCCUCCAUAUAAAUGUUUCCUUAUUAUUUUAGAUUUUUAUUUUAUUUUAUUAUUUUAUUAUUUAAGAUUUUUUUUCCUCUAGAAACAAACACCUUAUAGGAUUCUUAUUUUAGUUUUCUAAAAGUUUAGGAAAUAUUGUCAAACAAAUCAUAUUUAAUCAUAAUUACGAAUUCAAAAAGUAAUAAGAUUGUUUAUUAAAUAAUAAAGAAUAAAAUUCGUAAUAUAUAAUUAUUUUAAUAUUAUAACAAAUUUAUUAUUGAAAAACUCUAAUAACAAAUUUUAUUCAUUAUUAUAUUAAACAAUUAUUAAUAUUAUAUAAUAAAUAGAAAUUUAUUAUUGGUUUAUUUAUUAUCAAGAAUACGAAUCUAUUUUUAACUUAUUAAUACUAUAAUAAAUUCUGUAUUUUUUUUUUCAAAUUCUUACUUUAUAAUGUUUCUAGAGAAAAAAAAUUCCCAAAUAAUAAAAUAAUAAAAUAAUAAAGUAAUAAUAAUAAUAAAAUAUCUAAAAAGAAUGGAAAUAUUUAUACAAUGGAUUCUAAUUGUCAAUGGAUUAGGAUGACAUGACAAGUAAAGGGCUAUUUUUGGGAAUAAUUAAAUCAUAAAUUAAAAAGUGCAUGCAUUUUAAAUUAUUUUUAAAUAAAUGAAGAUAAUAUUGGAAUUUUCUUUGUCAACCAAUCAGUUUUGAGAAAAAAUGUUCUUGUAACGGAUAAGCUCCAAGAGGUUAGUUUUUGUAUAUAUAUAUAUAUAUAUAUAUAUAUAUAAUGUAUAUAUAUAACAGUUCAUGUAAAUUUUGAUUUUUUUGUAAAUUAAAAUAUAAUAUUUUUUUAUAUUGAUAAAUAAAAGUCAUAUUGUUUUAAACUACUUUAUUCAACAAACAACAAGAUCGGUGGCCCCAACAUUGAUAUGGUUACAAAAAUAGCUAUAAAAGAAAAUAUGACAUCAAAAUCCAAUUCAAUAAAAAUCAUAGUCCUCAAACCUCUGUUUCAUUAAAAGGUACAUAAUCCUACAAUUCACUUCAUAUGACUCAUGAAGUUAGCGCCAUCAAGAUGAAUUGUCAUAAUUGAAACAAAUCUACAUAAACAAAUAGAGACCAUUUCACAUUUUAAACUACAAUAUCCAUCAAACAACAACAAGACCAAUGUUUACAAAAUUAAUGAAGUUACAAAACUACUGAAAGAAAAGAGUAACCUACCAUUUAAAAAUUUUCUACAUUUGUAUUAAAAAUAUAUGGUAACAAAAUUUUCUAUUAACAUUAAUUUAUUUAAAUAAUUAAUAUUAUUAAUAAUUUAUCUUAUCAAAUUAAUUUUAAUUUAUAAAAUAUUACUGAUAAAAACUGAAAUUUUGAUUUAACCAAAAUAAAGAUGGAUAAUUAAUUAUUUAUAAUUAAUAAUUAAUAAUUUUGAUUUAUAAUAUUGUUCUUGUGAUUUGUUUCCUUUUUAUUUCUAUACUAUAUCUAAAAAACAAACAUGCUCGUUGCCAUUCGUUGAGGCAUUAUGGGAAGGUGAAGGACCCAACGGUGGAGAAUUUGUUGCCGGAGAUUGAUUUUGAGCACACUGUUGGGAGGAGAUUGGUUUCAACCUCUGGAACUCGGUCUGUGGUUCUAAUGGUGGUUGAUGCUUCAGAUUUUGAUGGGUCCGGCCACCACGCGUGAGGCAUCAAGAAACCCCUUUGUUGAAUUCUUCUCCAGGCAAGCAUCAUGCCUUAUUUUCCUCUGCCACUCUCAAUCCUCGCAGGUGCUAAUCUAAUCAUGUUAUUAAUAUUUAUUUUCAACCCCAAUUUGCUUCCCAAGAAAAUCCAUCCCUCAUUCGAUUUCCGGGAAAAUUCAUCCUCGUUUAAUUUCCGAGAGAAAUCCAUCAAAACUCCCAAGGAAAACCAAAAAAAAAAAAUGCUUUUAUUUUGUUGCUCCCCGUGUUUUCUGGAUCUGUUCUAAGGUUUUAUUUGUUUUUGUGCCAUUGGAUUUAAAUUCUACAAACCCUAAAUCCACGAUUUUUGAGCCACGCUGAAAACCACAACCUUUGCCCUCAAAUUGUGGAUCUGUGUGCGUGUGUGGCGGGUUGGAUUUAAAUUCUACAAACCCUAAAUCCAUGAUUUUUUUGCCACGCUGAAAACCACAACCUUUGCCCUCAAAUUGUGGAUCUGUGUGCGUGUGUGAUAUUUUUAAAAAAUUACCCAAUUUUCUGUCAAAGAUCUCAACAAGCAUUAAUACCAACCCAAAUUAACUCAUAAAUCCAUUACAUUUGUACCUGGGAAAGCUCCUCUCAGCUCGGACCACUUCUCUCUAUUUUCACUGCAAGCUUCCCUCGCGAAUUGUGGCUGUGAAAGAAAGUGAAAAAAUAUGGGUUUUUGGAGUUAGGGUUUGGUUCAGGAGAGAAGAAGGGAUUUGGGGGGUUUGGUUGAAAGAGAGAAGAAGGGAUUUAGGGUUUUGAUUCAACACAGAAGAAAUGAUUUCGGGUAAAUCUCACUAUUAUAUUUUAGUAAAUAUUUUUUAAAAAAUAUUGCCACAUGGAGUGUCUACAUGUCAUAUGAGCCAUGUCACUGGCUUAAGUGGAACAUGACUUUGCUGAGUAAUUGAUUAUGUCAAAGUGUAUGAGGGUAUUUUUGGAAGGCUCCUCAAUAUCACUAUUACAGUGUAUGAAAGGUGAUUUAUUUUUCACAAAAUCCAUUGAAUUUGAAAAGUAAAAAGUUAAGUUUCCAAAAGGCAAAAUUUUGCCCCUUGGUGUAUGGUUACAUAAAUUCCCCUAAAAUAAAGUGGGUAAAGUAAGUAACGGACUUUGACAAUUAAUUUAAUGAAUUUUUUUGGUUCCCUUAAAAACUUUUUCUGUUAAAAAAUGAAAAACUUCACUAAAUUUGAAUUAAAAAUUCCAUAUAGUUUUUAAAAUGACCACAACCUAUAAUUUGCAUAGACUAAGGGCAAGGAGAUAUUUUAUACCCAUACUUUAAUGACGCUUCUCUGAAGCGCCAAGUUAUAGAAUUAACAUUAUCACACUUUGAAUAUGCACCAUUAUAUACCCAAUAAUACCUAAAUAAGCCUUAUCAAACGAUGAUGCUUCUAAUAAGCAUCAUGGAUUGAAAAAUACUACACUAAACAAUGAUGCUUUUAUUGGGUUUUUCCUCAUAUGGAAGGCCCAAAUUAAGAGCCCAAAAUUUAAGCUCUCUUAGGCCUUUAUAUAAAAGGGUUAAAAGAAAAAUCCUUCUUCUUCUUCUUCUUCCAAUUUUUUUUUGCAGCCACUAGAGAUAGAAGAAAAAAAUAUUAGAAGGAGAAAAGAGAGAGAGAAGGGGAAAACCACCAUUUUUUGAAACUAGAGAGAAAAAAACUCAAUUUUUCUUCACUGUCCAGAUUUCAUCAAAGGUUUGAUCCCGCUUCAUCUGUGGGCCAAUCGACUUGAUAUUUGAAGGAGAGGUUCGUGACUCAUUGAUCUUCAAUCUGAACGGUAAAGAUCGGAUUUGGAGUUCCGUACGGUCUUCUUUCAGUCCGAGAAUAGAGCCUCUGUUUUAGUGAGUUUUCUAUCCGAACAGUUUUGAUCAUGAGCUUCGAUCAAGUUUAAUCCGUGGUUCGAUUGAGUUGAUUUUUGGUAAGCACGUUUAGAACUUGUUGAUCUUCAUUCUGAACGGUGAAAAUUGGAUUUGGAGUUCGAAACAGUUAUAUUUCAGUCUGAGAACAAUGAUUGUGUUUGGUGAGAUUUCUCCAUUGUCUUUUAUGCAAAGUUGUUGAAAUUGCCAAGAUUAAUUUGUUUUGAGAUAUGACUGAUGUAUGCCUCUAGUUUUAUCUAGAGAGAAUUGUGUAACCCAUUGAUUAUAUCAGUGGAGUUUUUAAGUGGCCUAAGGGUCCCGUGGUUUUUACUUCUCACAUUAGAGAAGGUUUUCCACGCUAAAAAUUGUUAGUGUUCAUAUAUUUGUUGAUUGGGUGAAUUAUUAUUGCUCUAUUUGAUUGAUUCCUAUUAGGUUCUCACAAGAAGGGAUAAAACCUGGUUGCGCAUUGUUUGUGUUUAUUCCAUCAAAGUGGUAUCAGAGCAUUGGUUUAAGAUAAUUUGUGCCUUGUGUAGAACAAUGAAAACUAAUACAAGUAGAAUGAUUACUCUGAAUGGCUCCAAUUAUCAUGUUUGGAAAGGAAAGAUGGAAGACUUAUUGUAUGUGAAGGAUUAUUAUUUUCUUGUGUUUGCUUCUGGAAAGCCAAAAAAUAAAACUGAUGCAGAAUGAAAUUUACUUCAUCGGCAGGCUUGUGGUUAUAUCAAACAGUGGGUAGAUGAUAAUGUUCUCAAUCAUGUUAGUGAAGAGAAACAUGCAUGGAGUUUAUGGAACAAACUCGAACAGUUAUAUGCUAAAAAGACUGGUAACAAUAAAUUAUUUCUGAUCAAGAAUAUGAUUAGCUUGAAGUAUUAAGAUGGAACUCCUAUGACAGAUCACUUGAAUACAUUCCAAGGUAUUAUUAAUCAGUUGGCUGGAAUGAAUAUCAAGUUUUAGGAAGAGGUGCAAGGGUUGUGGCUUCUUAGUACAUUGACGAACUCGUAGGAGACAUUUAGAACUUCUUUGUCUAACUCAGCUCUAGAUGGUACUAUGAAUAUAGAUUUGGUUAAGAGUUGUGUUCUGAAUGAAGAGAUGAAAAGAAAGUCAUAGGGUUCCCCUUCACAGUCAGAUGUCCUAGUUACUGAAAAAAUGGGGAGGAGUAAGAGUAGAGGUUCAAAGAACAAAGAUAGAAGCAAAAGCAAGACUAACAAGUUUGCCAAUGUUGAGUGUCACUAUUUCCUUUUGAAAGGGCAUAUAAUAAAGUAUUGUCGCCAAUUGAAGAGAGAUAUGAAACAAGGGAAAGUGAAGAACAAGAAGAAUGAUAAUGGUGGUGAAGAUGAUCGAGUUACCACUACUACUUCAGAUUUCCUUAUUGUUUAUGAUAGUGAUGUUGUUAAUUUUGCUUGCUAGGAGACUAGUUGGGUGAUUGAUAGCGGUGCCUCAAUCCAUGCUACACCUCGGAAAGAUUUCUUUACAUCUUACAUAUUCGGUGAUUUGGAAGUGUUAGAGUGGGUAAUGAUGGCUCAGCUAAAGCCCUUGGUAUGGGAGAUGUGCGUUUGAGACUAGUAAUGAUACUAUGUUGAUUUUGAAGAAUGUCAAACAUAUUUCGGAUAUCCGCAUGAAUUUAAUCUCUAUAGGUAAGCUUGAUGAUAAAGGGUUUUACAACACCUUUCGUGAUAGUCAGUGAAAGCUCACUAGAGGUUCUAUAGUGGUAGCAAAAGGAAAGAAGUGUUCCUCAUUGUAUUUGAUGUAGGCAAGGGUAAUUGAUUCCAGUAUCAAUGCAGUGGAUGAUGAUAGCAUAGUUGAGCUUUGGCACAACAGACUCAGUCACAUGAGUGAGAAGGGCUUGAUGAUUUUGGCUAAGAAGAAUCUUCUUUCUGGUAUGAAGAAAGGAUCUUUGAAAAGGUGUGCUCAUUGCUUAGUAGGAAAGUAGACCAGAGUUGCAUUCAAAACACACCACCAUACAAGGAAGUCAGGUAUGCUUGAUUUAGUGUAUUCUGAUGUGUGUGGUCCUAUGAAAACAAAAACACUUAGUGGAUCUCUAUAUUUUGUGACUUUUAUAGAUGAUCAUUCAAGAAAUAUUUGGGUGUAUGCCUUGAAAACAAAAGACCAAGUAUUAGAGGUGUUUAAGCAGUUUCAUGCUCUUGUUGAGAGACAAUCUGGUGAAAAAUUGAAAUGCAUCUGGACUGAUAAUGAGGGUGAGUAUUCUAGUCCUUUUGAUGAGUAUUGUAGACAACAUGGUAUUCGACAUCAAAAGACACCUCCUAAGACUCCUCAGUUGAAUGGGUUGGCUAAGAGAAUGAAUAAGACACUGGUUGAAAGGGUGAGAUGUUUACUUUCGCAGUCACAGUUUCCAAGAUCCUUUUGGGGUGAGGCUUUGAAUACUGUUAUACAUGUUCUUAAUCUUACACUAUGUGUUCCUUUAGAAUUUGAUGUUCCGGAUAGAAUUUGGUCAGAUAAUGAAAUCUCUUAUGAUCACUUGCGUGUCUUUGGAUGCAAGACUUUUGUGCACAUUCCGAAAGAUGAGAGGUCUAAGCUUGAUGCUAAGACAAGACCUUGUGUAUUCAUUGGCUAUGGUCAGGAUGAGCAUGGUUACAAGUUUUAUGAUCCGGUGCAGAAAAAGCUUGUAAGAAGCCGAGAUGCUAUGUUUAUGGAAAUCAUACCAUACAAGACAUUGAGAUGACUGAUGCAACAGAGUUUCAGUAUAGUGAUAAUCUGAUUGACUUAGAUCCAGUUCCUUUGACACAUCUUCCUACAUAGGUUGAAGAUGAAACACAUGAGGACCAACCUAACAUUGGUGGUGUUGAAACUCCCACACAGGUUGAGAUGGAUAAUGAUGUUCAUGAGCAGUCACCAGUAGCAGAGGCUCCACCAGAUAUUCCACUCAGGAGGUCUACUAGAGACCGACAUCCUCCCACAUGGUAUUCUGUUGAUGAUUAUGUAUUACUAACUGAUGGGGGAGAACCUAAAAUUUAUGAGGAAGCCAUGGGAGAUGAAAAUAAGAUGAAGUGGGUUGAUACUAUGCAAGAUGAGAUGAAGUCAUUGCAUGAGAAUCGUUCUUUUGAGCUUGUCAAGUUGCCAAAGGGAAAAAGAGCUUUGAAGAACAAGUAGGUUUAUAGAGUGAAGCAAGAAGAACACACUUCACAACCACGUUACAAAGCUAGAUUGGUUGUCAAAGGAUUCAGUCAAAAGAAAGAUAUUGAUUUUGAUAAGAUUUUUUCUCCUGUUGUUAAGAUGUCAUCUAUUCAUGUAGUUUUGGGCUUGACAACUAGUCUUGAUUUGGAGAUUGAGCAAAUGGAUGUUAAUACUGCAUUUCUCCAUGGUGAUUUAGACAAAGAAAUUUAUAUGGAACAACUAGAGGGUUUCACAAUAAAAGGAAAAGAGGAUUAUGUGUGUAAGUUGAAGAAAAGUCUUUAUGGCUUGAAGCAGGCACCGAGGCAGUGGUAUAAGAAGUUUGAAUCAGUUAUGGGGAAGCAAGGCUACCGAAAAACUUCUUCUGACCAUAGCGUAUUUGUGCAGAAAUUCUCUGAUGAUGAUUUUGUUAUAUUGUUGCUCUAUGUUGAUGAUAUUUUGAUUUGAUAGAAAUGUUUCAAGAAUUGAUAAGUUGAAGAAGCAAUUAAGCAAAUCCUUUUCCAUGAAGGAUUUGGGGUCAGCAAAGAAAAUUCUAGGUAUUAGAAUUGAGCGAGAUAGAGUAUCCAAGAAGCUGUAUAUGUCACAGGAGCAAUAUAUUGAAAAGGUGCUUGAAAGAUUAAACAUGAGCAAAGCUAAAGUAGUUAGUUCUCUUCUAGCUAGUCACUUUAAGCUAAGCAGCAGACAUAGCCCUUUUACAGAUAAGGAGAAGGAAGACAUGAGAAGAGUUCCAUAUGCCUCAAUAGUAAGAAGUUUGAUAUAUGCCAUGGUAUGUACUAGACCAGACAUAGCUUAUGCCAUUGGUGUUGUUAGCUGCUUUCUAUCUAAUCCAAGAAGACUACAUUGGGAGGCAAUUAAGUGGAUUAUGAGAUCUUUGCUAGACACUUCCAAGUUGAAACUCACUUUUGGAAGUAGGAAACUAAUACUUGUUGGAAUCAACCUUCAUGGUAUGACCUCCAAAUAUAGGUGCCCCAACUUUUGGUCAAUUUUUGAAGUAUUGGGAAUUCCAAUUGCACUUACAUUUGAUAAGUACUUUGUAUAAAACUCGAUGUUUUCCUUUGCAAUAUAGCAUUUGGCAAUGCAACCUUUGGGUUGUUUACUGUUUCGUACAUAGCCUUUUAACACUUUCUUGAACCUUUCAAAUGGGUACAUCUACCUAAGGUAAACCAGUCCACAAAGUCUCACCUCUUUUAUAAGAUGCACCAUAAGAUGUACCAUGAUAUCAAAGAAUGAAGGUGGGAAAUACUUUUCAAACAAGCACAAUGUCGCCACAACCUCAUUUUGUAACUCAUCUAAUGUAGACCUCAACCACUUUAUUACAGAGAGCAUUGAAAAAGGAACUCAAUCUACAGAUGGCAUUCCUCACAAGCUUUGGAAAAAUAGUUUGUAAUGAAACUGCCAAUAACUGUUGCAUUAAUGUAUGAUAGUCAUGGGAUUUCAAGCCAUAAAGCUUCAAGUCUUCCAUUAACACAAUGUUUCGAAGGUUAGAGCAAUAUCCAGAAGGAACCUUCAAUUGUGAAAGAGUUUGGAAAAAUACCUUCCUUUCCAUUUUGGAAAGUGUAUAACAUGUAGGAGGGAGAUAUGUUCUCUUUGAUUCAAACCUUGGUGCCAAUUCACUUCUUAAGCCCAUGUCUACGAGAUCUAAACGAUAGUUGAGUUCAUCCUUUGUCUUACCUGGAAUGUUGAGUAAGAUACUAAUGAUGUUUUCACAAACAUUUUUCUCAAUAUGCAUUACAUCCAAAUUAUGACGAACAUGAAGAUAUUUUCAAUACUCAUGAUCAAAGAAUAUGAACUUCUUCUUCCAACAAUUUGCAUUGAUAACUUUGGAUUUACCACGAUUAACUUUUUUUUCCUCCAUGAAUUACAAAUGAAAUUAAUUUUCCUGAGAAUUUCCUUUCCACUUAAUAUUUGUGGAGGUGACCUAAACUCUUGUUCACCAUCGAAUGUUUUUUUUUUUUGUUUCCUAAAUGGAUGGUUGCAUGGAAGAAAUUGUCUAUGUCCUGUAUAUGAGUUAUUUUUUUACAUGUUUCAAUCUAUGAGAAUAUGUUUCUUCCCUGUAUAUUGGACAACCAAAAUAUCCUUUAACUGUGCACUCAGACAAGUUUCCAUAUACAGAGAAGUCACUGAUUGUCCAUAAUGGAACAAAUCUUAAUGUAAAGAACUCUCGUUGAUGUUCAUUGUAAGCUUGGACUCCGACCUCUCAUAAUGUUUUAAGAUCUUCUAUCAACGAUGUUAAAUAGAUGUUAAGGUCAUUACUAGGUUUUCGUGGACCUAAAAUUAACAAAGAUAACAUCAUAAAUUUUAUCUUCAUGCACAACCAUGGAGGAAGGUUAUAAAUUAUCAUGAGAAUAGACCAAAAACUAUGUUUGCUACUUAAUGAACUGUGAGGAUUUAUGUCAUCUGCUGAGAUGACAAGUCUUAGGUUUCUAGGUUCUAAGGAAAACUCGGGCCGUCUAUGGUCAACUAGCUUCCAUGAUGGUGAGUCUGAUGGAUGACACAUUUUCCCAUCAAAAUCUCUUUCUUUGGCAUGCCAUAUGAGGUAUUUUGCGAUUUUUGAUGAUUGAAACAUUCUUCUAAAUCUUGGAACUGGAGGAAAAUACCACAUUACUUUUGCAAGAACUCCCUUCCUCUUUUUAGUUUCUGUCAUGUUUGUCUUCCACCUUGAAGUUCCACAAGAAGGACAUGAGGAUGCAUCUUUCAACUCAUUCCUAUAAAGUAUACAAUCAUUAGGACAUGCAUGUAUUUUCUCAUAUUCAAUUCCCAAUGUAUUCAAUGUCUUUUUUUGCUUCAUACAUAGACAAAGGCAACUCAUUAUUUACAAGCAACAUAUUUCCAAGCAUUUCUAAAAGCUUUGAAAAGCUUUUAGCAAACUGCCCAAAGCAUGCUUUUAGGUUGUACAAUUCAAUCAAUGUAGACAAUUUUGUAAAAAUUCUACAACUAGGAUAUAAAGGUUUUUUUACAUCUUUCAAUAAUAUUUGAAAUGAUUCUAGGUCAUUUUUACAAUCCUCCUGUGCAACUUGAACCAUUUCUAUUGUAUUAUGCACAUCAUCAAAUUAAACUCUAUCAUAAUGUUUUGCUCUUGUAGUUGGUGGUCCAAUUGGAGUUGCCUCUCCAUGCCAAUACCAUGUAUUAUGGUAACUUUGAUCAAUUUCGUGGAAAAACAUAUGCUCUCUAAUCUUUUGAGGAGUAUGGAAUAUCAUAUUACCACACUAUAAGUAUGGACAUUUAAUGGAGUUUUUAUUUUCAGAAUUUUGUAUUGCAAAUGUGAUAAAAUGUGAUAAAAUGUUCUACCCCAUCCUUGUACUCCUUCGAUCUUCUAUCCUUUGAAAUCUAUGAACGAUCCAUUUUUUAAUAACAAACUUCCAAUAGUGAUCAAACUUCAAAUUGAAGAAAAUAUCAACAUUUUCUAUGUCAUUCAUUUAGCAACCUCUCUUUCCUCUGUUCAAAGAAUAAUCAGGAAUCAAUUUAAUACAACAUUUGCUUAAGAUGCUAGAUUUAAGAGAAAAAGUGUGAGCAUUAAUGUCCUAACCAUUUUGAAUUGUGUACAUAGAUUUACACUAUUGGAAUAACACGCUAAUUAUUGACAAUUUUAAAAAGUGCUAAGGAAAAAAAAGGUCAUUGUAUAUAUUAUAUAUAGUAGUGAUUAAGAAGCUAUAAAUGUUAUUGACCUUGAAUACUUGCAUUAAAGAGGAUGUACAAUCUCAAUUAAACAAGUGCAUAUUAAUAUUAUUAACAUGUACAAUUCAAGUUGUGUUGCAUUUUUUUUAUGGCAUUUAACAUCUCCAACUUUGUAAAUUAGGGAAUGGUUCCUAUCCCAUAUAAGAAUACAUAAUCUCUAUGAGUCAACUGCCAAUAUGCUCAAUUUAAUUUAAAAAGAUUUCAGCAACAUUUCCUUAUGAUUCUCCAAGUACACAAAAUGGAUAAGGCAUAAUAUGUAACCUUGUCCAAGUAUGUACCCAAAGAACAAGAAGAAAGAGUACCAAAAUUUAUUUAAAAUGAAUUAAGAAUAAGCAAUUAAUUUCAUUGAUAUUAUGUUUUCCUACACUGUCCAGUCAAACAAUUCAAACAUCAUUUGUAGAGAAAAAAUCUUUAUCACAUGGUAGACAAUUUAAAAGUUGUCAACGUGAAACUAGUAUAGAUAAAACCAUUUUCACCUUUUGACAACUAAAAUGUCUUUACUAUGUAAUAACAAAAACUUUUGUUUGACAAUGAUACUUGAACGGGAACUCUAAGGUUGUAUGCAAGCAUAGUUGAUUAAAAUUAAAACACAAUUACUUACUAAAAUAUUACAACAAAACAACAUAACUCUCAUUCUAUUACGUUUAUCUUAAAUAUAUAACAUUUAACAUGGAGACCCAAAAACCUUUUCACAACUUAGAGAGAAACAUCUUCUACAAAAAGGUCCACACCAAAUUUAAUCAAAUUAAUCUAAAUUGGCAAUUUUAAAUAAACAUCAAGUAAUUAUCCUUCAAAACAAAUAAUAAGACAAUCAAAAUUUUACAACUAAUUUUUUUGUCCAAAUUUUAGCCUAUAAUGGUAUUUUGUGAACUAAAUAAUUUUAACUUGUCUCUAUGCAGUGCUUUUAUAUUUGGUGUUUUUUAGAAGAAUUGACAAGCAUUAUAGGGAUAAUAUAUGGUUUAACAUAUAUUUUUUUUCAUUUAAAAUAAAAAUUAUGAAAACAUUAAGUAUUAAGAUGACAAUAUUUUUGGUUUGAUUACAAUUUUAAUCUCUUUAUUAUAAAACUAAUAUAAUAUACAUCUAAAUAAUGUGUAAAGAAAUUCUAGAUGCCUAUGUAAAUAAAUAAAUAGUGCAUCCUAAUGAAAAAACUGAGAAUUAAUUUCAUAUUUUGGAACAUUCUAUACAAUCAAUGAUAUGAAUAAAUUAGAUUAAACAAUAUAAUCAAUUAAAUCAAUUAACAUUUCAUCACUUAAAAUUAAUACAUGCAAACCUAGGUGUUAGUGUGUGAAGCAUGACUCGCUUUGUAAACCAUAUAUCAUAAUAUAGGAGCACACGGUAAUGAAUAGGGAACAUGGUUUUCAUAAUUUUAAAAAAUUAAUACAUAAAUUUUGAAAUUAUAAUUUUAACCUUUUAAAUAUCUAAACUAAGUAAUCAUCAUAAUAGGAAAUUUAUCCCAAAUACCCUUUUGAACCAAAUAUCCUAAAAUUGUUUUUAGGUUAUAAUUAAAUUUUGUGUUAUCAAUUUUAAUUUAAUUUUUACUAUUUUCUGUUUUCAAAUGGUUUGGUAAAUCAUUUUAAUAUAUUUAUAAUCAAUCAAGUAAAUUAAUUUAAUAUAAAAUAUAUUUAUUUAAAAUAAUUUUUAGUUUAAUAAAUAAAAUAUUCAUAUUAUACUUUUACGAUCAUAUUUUAUCCAUAUAAAUAAUAUUCACCCAUGAUAAUAUUUAUAUUUCUUUUAUAUCAUAUUUCCUACAAGAUCUCAUAUUUGAUUUUAUUUCAUGUCAUUUUGAACCUUUUAAAAAGUUCUUAAGAAAACUUUGAAACAUAGAAUUGGUUUAUUCCCUUUUUCGUUUUUCUGUUAUUUUUAUAUAAAAUAAAAAUAGAGAAAAUACCCAUAUUUGAACAAUAUACCUAUAAAUUUGGAAUUCUUUUAUGAAAAAAUCAAUUAAAAUGAAUGAGAUAAUAUUUCUAUUUUCAUCCUUGAACUAUUUAAUCGAAAAGAUAAGGAUUAAAAAAUUGUAGAAGGCAUUUUUUUCUUCUUAUUUUUAAAAGAUAAAGAUCAUUGUUUUGAAUUUUGUGUUUCAAUAUACCUUAACCAAAUAACCGUUUCUUUAUUAAAUAUUCAUUUUAUUUUAUUUUUAUCAAAUUGAUAAUAUUAAUAUACGACAAUAAUAAAUGAUUAAGAAGAAAAUAGUAAUAAAAGCAACAGAGAAAAUGAUGACGAAUAGAAUGAAGAAAGAAGAAAUCUUUUGCCUGGACAAUGCCACAUCAAAGCAAAAUGAGACCAAGGGAGGAAGUGCUCUGGAGGCUUCAAGCCUUGAAUGGAUGCCAACAAGGCGUAGUGGAGCCAUCCCCUUGACUCACGCCUGAGCAAAGCCUGAGCCAUGGUAACAAAUAUCUUUGAAUAAAGAAUAUUUUUCUUACAUACCCCAAUUAUUGUUAUAUCUAAUUGACACCAUAGUACGUGCUAAUAUGCCUAAAAAACUUGUUAGAUGCAAAGAAGCUUGUCCAACAUAAAUACCAUCGGGAUUGUACUUCAUCAUAAGCUUUACCCUUCUACUCUAGUUCUUGAUAAUCAUAGACUUUUGAGUUAUCCCUCUACACCUCCUUUUUGUAGGUGGUUUUUCUCCUUGCUCUAGAUCCCUACUUGUAAUAAAAAUAGUUAUAAAGUUUAAAAGUAAGUUUAUAAAAUAUCCAUAAAUCCAUACAAAAUUUGUAUGAAAUAUCUAACUAAAAUUUUAAGUAUCAAAACUUCAAUUGAGCUAUAUAGAACACAAUAUUGAAAAUAGAUCUGUCAAUGUUUUUUUGAAGCCAAUCUGACAUUAACUAAAAUUGAAACCAUACCAAUUAUCUAAUAGUAUAGACAAAUGAACCAAUAAGCAUAAGGUUUACCUUCUAGAAAACUAUACUAGCAUAUCAAUUCACCACAUAAAAAAUGAACAACAACUACUUAGACAAAUACAUGUUGCAAUAAAAACUAAAAUGCAUUUUGAAAUAAAAUAAAAUUUUGAUCACAUCAUUAUAACAAGCCUUCAAUUCAUUUACAUAUAAGAUUUGUUCUUAACCCAAAUCCCCUCACCAUCACGUCACAUACAAAUUGCAUCAAAGUCUUCCAUAGCAUCAAAUGAUUCAACUUGUGGCAAAGAAAAAAUGACUGGAUGGUGUUCAAUAGAGUUGUCCAUGAGAUCAUCACCCUCGUCCCUUUCCAAGAAGUCUUGUUGAGAAGUUGAUAAAACAAUUGACCAUCUUGGAUCAAGUUCAUCUUGUACGUAUAAAACUUGCUUAGCCUAAGAAGCUAAAAUGAAAAGAUUUGAUUUAUGAGCCAUUUUGUUGAAGUCAGCUAAGGUUAACCUAAGAUCAUCAACUCUAAUUCUGUUCUUAUUAUCAACCCAAUCACAAUUGAAGAUUGGAAUCCUAAACAUGGUAAAAUCAAGGUUCCAAAUCUCAGUAAUAACCCCAUAGAAACAAACCUCACCAAAUACUGGAUUUUUAUCCUUGGCACUAGCAAUUUGCAUUGUUGUUGCUACAAUAUUGACUCCACUGUUUUGGGUAGCUCGUAAAUCAUCAUGCCCCUUGGUAUGGUAGUGGCACCCAUAAUGACACAACCUUGAUACUUAAACACAUAAUGGCUAGGACCAUGAGCUAUCCAUUUAAGGGUUUUAGAUUAGGUUCUUCAUUACUAAUGGCAACUUCAACUUGUAUAGAUAAGUUAUAGUUAUUAUUAACAUAGAUAACCAUGAGUGUAAAGAAUACGAUAAAUUUUACUACCACUCUAGUACCUUAUGUCGCAACCAAUAAGUAAAAGUACGCAUAGGCUCAUCUUGUAGCCAUUUUUGUCUUUUAGCUUGACAUGGAUAUUUCAUUUUCAACCAUUUCAUGUGAUCUUUAUGAAGUCAUGUAUAAUAAUUUUAUAGUUAGUAUCCUAUAUUUAUUAUAAGUAUGAUAAACAAAGAAACAAAAGUGUGUCCCACUUACUUGACAUAAGGUUGGAUGAUUGUUGUAUUCUCCAACACAUAAUGAUGUGCUUGUAACCAUAAAUUGGAAUCAACCUUCAUGGUAUGACCUCCAAAUAUAGGUGCCCCAACUUUUGGUCAAUUUUUGAAGUAUUGGGAAUUCCAAUUGCACUUACAUUUGAUAAGUACUUUGUAUAAAACUCGAUGCUUUCCUUUGCAAUAUAACAUUUAGCAAUGCAACCUUUGGGUUGUUUACGAUUUCGUACAUAGCCUUUUAACACUUUCUUAAACCUUUCAAAUGGGUACAUCUACCUAAGGUAAAUCGGUCCACAAAGGCUCACCUCUUUUACAAGAUGCACCGUAAAAGAUGUACCAAGAUAUCAAAGAAUGAAGGUGGGAAAUACUUUUCAAACAAGCACAAUGUCACCACAACCUCAUUUUGUAACUCAUCUAAUGUAGACCUCAACCACUUUUACUAUAGAGAGCAUUGAAAAAUGAACUCAAUCUACAAAUGCCAUUCCUCACAUGCUUUGGAAAAAUAGUUUGUAAUGAAACUGUCAAUAACUAUUACAUUAAUGUAUGAUAGUCAUGGGAUUUCAAGCCAUAAAGCUUCAAGUCUUCCAUUGACACAAUGCUUCGAAGGUUAGAGCAAUAUCCAGAAGGAACCUUCAAUUGUGAAAGAGUUUGGCAAAAUACCUUCCUUUCCAUUUUGGAAAGUGUAUAACAUGUAGGAGGGAGAUAUGUUCUCUUUGAUUCAAACCUUGGUGCCAAUUCACUUCUUAAGCCCAUGUCUACGAGAUUUAAAUGAUAGUUGAGUUCAUCCUUUGUCUUACCUGGAAUGUUGUGUAAGAUACUAAUGAUGCUUUCACAAACAUUUUUCUCAAUAUGCAUUACAUUCAAAUUAUGAUGAACAUGAAGAUAUUUUCAAUACUCAAGAUCAAAGAAUAUGAACUUCUUCUUCCAACAAUUUGCAUUGAUAACUUUGGAUUUACCACGAUUAACUUUUUUUUCCUCCAUGAAUUACAAAUGAAAUUAAUUUUCUUGAGAAUUUCCUUUCCACUUAAUAUUUGUGGAGGUGGCUUAAACUCUUAUUCACCAUUGAAUGUUUUUUUUUUCCCUAAAUGGAUGGUUACAUGGAAGAAACCAUCUAUGUCCUGUAUAUGAGUUAUUUUUUUCCCUGUUUCAAUCUACGAGAAUAUGUUUAUUUAUUGCAUAUUGAAUAACCAAAAUAUCCUUUAACUGUGCACCCAAACAAGUUUUCAUAUACAGGAAAGUCACUGAUUGUCCAUAAUAGAACAACUCUUAAUGUAAAGAACUCUUGUUGAUGUGCAUCAUAAGCUUGGACUCUGAUCUCCCACAAUGUUUUAAGAUCUUCUAUCAACGAUGCUAAAUAGAUGUAAAUGUCAUUCCCAAGUUUUCGUGGACUUGAAAUUAACAAAUAUAACAUCAUAAAUUUUUUCUUCAUGCACAACCAUGGAGGAAAGUUAUAAAUUAUCAUGAGAAUAGGCCAACAGCUAUGUUUGCUACUUAAUGAACUGUGAGGAUUUCUACCAUCUGCUGAGAUGACAAGUCUCAGGUUUCUAGGUUCUGAGGAAAACUCAGGCCAUCUAUGGUCAACUAGCUUCCAUGAUGGUGAGUCUAAUGGAUGACGCAUUUUCCCAUCAAAAUCUCUUUCUUUGGCAUGCCAUAUGAGCUUUUUUGUGAUUUUUGAUGAUUGAAACAUUCUUCUAAAUCUUGGAACUGAAGGAAAAUACCACAUUACUUUUGCAGGAACUCCCUUCCUCUUUUUAGUUCUUGUCCUAUUUGUCUUCCACCUUGAAGUUCCACGAGUAUGACAUGAGGAUGCAUCUUUCAACUCAUUCCUAUAAAGUAUACAAUCAUUGGGACAUGCAUGUAUUUUCUCAUAUUCCAUUCCCAAUGCAUUCAAUGUCUUUUUUGCUUCAUACAUAGACAAAGGCAACUCAUUAUUUACAAGCAACAUAUUUCCAAGCAUUUCUAAAAGCUCUGAAAAGCUUUUAUCAAACUACCCAAAGCGUGCUUUUAUUUUUAUAAUUUAAUCAAUGUAGACAAUUUUGUAAAGUUUCUACAACUAGGAUAUAAAGGUUUUCUACAUCUUUCAAUAACCAUUUCUAUUGUAUUAUGCACAUCAUCAAAUUGAACUCUAUCAUAAUAUUUUGCUCUUAUAGUUGGUGGUCCAAUUGGAGUUGCCUCUCCAUGCCAAUACCAUGUAUGGUAACUUUGAUCAAUUCCAUGGAAAAACAUAUGCUUUCUAAUCUUUUGAGGAGUAUGGAAUAUCAUAUUACCACAUUGUAAGUAUGGACAUUUAAUGGAGUUUUUAUUUACAGAAUUUUGUAUUGUAAAUGUGAUAAAAUGUUCAACCCCAUCCUUAUACUUCUUCGAUCUUCUAUCCUUUGAAAUCUAUGAACGAUCCAUUUUUUAAUAACAAACUUCCAAUAGUGAUCAAACUUCAAAUUGAAGAAAAUAUCAAUAUUUUCUAUAUCAUUCAUUUAGCAACCUUUCUUUCCUCUGUUCAAAGAAUAAUCAAGAAUCAAUUUAAUACAACAUUUGAUUAAAAGGCUAGAUUUAAGAGAAAAAGGGGUGAGCAUUAAUGUCCUAACCAUUUUGAAUUUUGUAUAUAGAUUUACACUAUUGGAAUAACACACUAAUUAUUGACAAUUUUAAAAAGUGCCAAGGAAAAAAAAGGUCAUUGUAUAUGUUAUACAUAGUAGUGAUUAAGAAGCUAUAAAUGUUAUUGACCUUGAAUACUUGCAUUAAAGAUGAUGUACAACCUCAAUUAAACAAGUGCAUAUUAAUAUUAUUGACAUAUACAAUUCAAGUUGUGUUGCAUUUUUUAUGGCAUUUAACAUCUCCAACUUCGUAAAUUAGGGAGUGGUUCCUAUCCCAUAUAAGAAUACAUAAUCUUUAUGUGUCAACUGCCAAUGUGCUCAAUUUAAUUUUAAAAAAAAAAAAAAAAAUGGCAGCAUUUCCCUAUGGUUCUCCAAGUACACAAAAUGAACAAGACAUAAUAUGUGACCUUGUCCAAGUAUGUACCCAGAGAACAAGAAGAAAGAGUACCAAAAUUUCUUUAAAAUGAAUUAAGAAUAAGCAAUUAACUUCAUAGCUAUUAUGUUUUCCUACACUAUCCAAUCAAACAAUUCAAACAUCAUUUGUAGAGAAAAGAUCUUUAUCACAUGGUAGACAAUUUAAAAGUUGUCAUCGUGAAACUAGUAUAGAUAAAACCAUUUUCACCUUUUGACAACUAAAAUGUCUUUACUAUCUAAUAACAAAAAUUUGUCUCACAAUGAUACUUGAACGAGAACUCUAAGAUUGCAUGCAAGCAUAGUUGAUUAAAAUUAAAACACAAUUACUUACUAAAAUAUUACAAAAAAAAAAAACAUAACUCUCAUUCUAUCAUGUUUAUCUUAAAUAUAUAACAUUUAACAUGGAGACCUAAAAACCUUUUCGCAACUUAGAGAGAAACAUCUUUUACAAAAAGGUCUACACCAAAUCUAAUCAAAUUAAUCUAAAUUGACAAUUUUAAAUAUACAUCAAGUAAUUAUCCUACAAAACAAAUAAUAAGGCAAUCAAAAUUUUAUAAUUAAUUUUUUGGUCCAAAUUUUAGCCUAUAAUGGUAUUUUGUGAACUAUAUAAUUUUAACUUGUCUCUAUGUAGUGCUUUUAUAUUUGGUGUUUUUGAGAAGAAUUCACAAGCAUUAUAGGGAUAAUAUAUGGCUUAACAUACAUUUUUUUUUCAUUUAAAAUAAAAAUUAUGAAAACAUUAAGUAUUAAGAUGGCAAUAUUUUUGGUUUGAUUAAAAUUUUAAUCUCUUUAUUAUAAAACUAAUAUAAUAUACAUCUAAAUAAUAUGUAAAGAAAUUCUAGAUGCCUAUGUAAAAAAAUAAAUAGUGCAUCCUAAUGGAAAAACUAAGAAUUAAUUUCAUAUUUUGGAACAUUCUAUAUAGUCAAUGAUACAAAUAAAUUAGAUUAAACAAUAUAUUCAAUUAACAUUUCAUCACUUAAAAUUAACACAUGCAAACCCUACGUGUUAGUGUGUAAAGCAUGACUCGCUUUGUAAACCAUAUAUCAUAAUAUAGGAGCACACGGUAAUGAACAGGGAACAUGGUUUUCAUAAUCUUAAGAAAUUAAUAAAUAAAUUUUGAAAUUAUAAUUUUAACCUUUUAAAUAUCUAAACUAAGCAAUCAUCGUAAUAGGAAAUUUAUCCUAAAUACCCCUUUGAACCAAAUAUCCUAAAAUUGUUUUUAGGUUAUAAUUAAAUUUUUGUGUUAUCAAUUUUUAUUUAAUUUUUACUAUUUUCUAUUUUCAAAUGGUUUGGUAAAUUAGUUUAAUAUAUUUAUAAUCAAUCAAGUAAAUUAAUUUAAUAUAAAGUAUAUUUAUGUAAAAUAAUUUUUAGUUUAAUAAAUAAAAAUUUAUAUUAUACUUUUACGGUAAUAUUUUAUCCAUAUAAAUAAUAUUCACCCAUCAUAAUAUUUGUAUUCCUUUUAUAUCAUAUUACCUACAAGAUCUCAUAUUUGAUUUUAUUUCCUGUCAUUUUUAACCUUUUAAAAAAUUCUUAAGAAAAUUUUGAAACAUAGAAUUGGUUUAUUCCCUUUUUCGUUUUUCUGUUAUUUUUAUAUAAAAUAAAAAUAGAGAAAAUACCCAUAUUUGAAAAAUAUACCUAUAUAUUUGGAAUUCUUUUAUAAAAAAAUCAAUUAAAAUGAAUGAGAUAAUAUUUCUAUUUUCAUCCUUGAACUAUUUAAUCGAAAAGGUAAGGAUUAAAAAAUUGUAGAAGACAUUUUUUUCUUCUUAUUUUUAAAAGAUAAAGAUCAUUGUUUUGAAUUUACUGUUUCAAUAUACCUUAACCAAAAAACCGUUUCUUUAUUAAAUGUUCAUUUUAUUUUUUUAUCAAAUUGAUAAUAGUAAUAUACGACAAUAAUAAAUGAUUAAGAAGAAAAUAGUAAUAAAAGCAAUAGAGAAAAUAAUGACGAAUAGAACGAAGAAAGCAUAAAUCUUUUUCCUGGACAAUGCAACGUCAAAGCAAAAUGAGACCAAGGGAGGAAGUGCUCUGGAGGCUUCAAGCCUUGAAUGGAUGCCAACAAUGCGUAGUGGAGCCAUCCCCUGACUCACGCCUGAGCAAAGCCUGAGCCAUGGUAACAAAUAUCUUUGAAUAAAGAAUAUUUUUCUAACAUACCCCAAUUAUGUACUAAAGUAGACAGCUGAGAGUUACUACUUGUAAGCAAGAAUAGCCUGAUCAUCUUCAUUGAGGAGCAUUCAUAAACACUACUACUGUUUUAAAAGUGGAUUUAUGCAAAUUUAAUACAGAAUUCCUCCAACAAUCACCCAAGAAGACUUGAUCUUUACUUAAUUAACAAGUCCAAAUAGAGAUAUUUGGGCUUAGGUAGAGAUAUGAUCUACUGGACCUAUAUAUAAGAUGAAAUUGAAUCGUGACAUUUAUUAGUUUAUGUCAUUUUAUACGCAAUGUUGUCGUUUUCAUAGCAUAACUAUAUUUUGUUUUCCUAAAGAUCUUUUAGGCAUAUCUCAUAAUGUUAUAGAAUCUGGGUUAUAAAAUUAACUAAUUGAUAAAAUUGUUCACAAUUAUUUUUAGUAUUGUGACGUUGAUUUAAUAAAAUUCCACUUAGUAGUUUUAUAUCCCUUAAUAGCCAUGCCUCAUAGUUUUAAUAUGAAAUAUUUUUGUUUCCAUGGCUAAUCUCACCUUGUAUAUUUGAAAGCCCUGUUAUUCUUGGAGAAAUGUUAAUUAAAAACUCGAGUUUGCUCUAUUUUAGUCAUCAACAAACCCUAUCUAGUGGUAGCAAUAAAUUUACCCUGAUUAACAAUAUAAAAAAAGGCAUAAUAUAAAGGAAGAUGUGAUGUUGUAAAGAUUUGACCCCAAGAAACCAUGAAAAAUGAAACUAUUGCAAUUUAAAUAUUAAAACUAAGCAGAGACGAGAGCUAAAUAGUGGUAUAAACCUAGAUAGUGCAAUAGGUGAAGAAAUAGCAUAGGAUCAAAUUUGUAUGCAAGUUUUUGUCUUUAAACAUGCAAUUGUUUGAAGCAUGAGAAAUUCUCAAUAUUUAAUUUCCAUUACAUUUUAUUAAUCAUUUCCUUUUAUGGACAAAGAUUUUGGAUGUAUAUAUUAGUGAAAGUGAGGACUCAAGCAUGCUAUCUGAUCAAAGAAUUUCCAAUGAUUUUUUUUUUCUAGCUCCCAAAUUUUUGCACUAGUCUCCUUUUCCAAUAAGUCACAUGGAAAAUUUUAAGACUAUCCACCUCAAAAGCAUUAGCAUUAGCAAAAAAAGCAAUUUAAACUUUUAGUUGUGUAUGGAAAGUAUGGGUGUGUAUUUCAUUUUCAGUAAGAAAAAAUAGCAGUAUGUACAUAAAUUACCUAUGACUGAGGAUCAAAGCAAAGAUGAAAACUGUGAUCUGGAAAGCUAAUGACUAUAUCCAGCUUCAGUGGCUCUUGUAUAAAUUGUCAUAACAAUGAGAUGUUUUACUAGAAAUAUCUCCAAUCUGCCUCUUAGCAAUGCUGGAAAUGCAAGAUACUUAAGAAGAAGACAUUAACUAGAUCAACAUCUUAUCUUAAAACUUCGAUUUAAGAAAAGAGUGCUAUCUUUGGGUACUUAGGAAUUCAGGGGAAGCUACUAAAACUUACUUUUGCAUGAUGUUUAGAUGAUAGUAACAUGAACAUCUAUGGCCAUGCUACUUCAUGGAUGAUUGUAUUAACAGAGCAAUUCCCGUGUCAAAAUUCCUUUAGUUAUCACACCUUGAUUCACUUCCAAGGCCCCAGUAAUAAAAAAAUAAAAGGUUUCAAGAACCCACAUAUUUGAUGAUGAAGUCUUCUGUUUCAAUUGACUUUAAAGCCACAAAACCAAUAACAUUUUGGUGACAUUAGCUUCUUCAUUAUUGGAGCUAUUCAAUAGCAAAUAACCCCCUACCCCACCAGCCAACCACCCUAAAAAAUACCUCAUGUUUUGGUCUUAAACACCCCAUACAAAUAUAACAAUUUGACUUGGAGAAUUCCAUAGAAUAUUUAGUAUGGGAACUACUCUGAAGAUUGACCUGUCUUGGCAAGAGCUCCAUAUGCAGAACCUACAGGCAUAAUCUACCCCAACUCCUACCCAAAAUUUUCGAUUAAAACAUAUAGGGUUUUACUUCGUUUAAAGAUAUAAAUCAAAUUCAUAGGAAUCGUUUUGGUUGGUAACACAUUUUUAUUUAAUAAACCCUAAAAAAGUUAUAUUAAAGGUGAUAAAAAAAUUAAUAUAAUUUUUAAUGAAAUUAAGAAAAACCAAGAAAAAAUCAGGACUUUACCUUGAAUCACUAAGUGGAUGGAGACAAUGGAAUGUCUUGCGGUCCCAAGUUGUUUCUUCUCAAAACAGUUGGAGUUAUUUUUCUCGUUUAUUUGGAGAAAAUAGGCUUUGGCCAAAUGGAAAAUGAAAGAAAAAAAUUAGGGUUUAGAUUAAAAGAAAAAACCCCACCAAAAUCUAUGCAUGUGCAAAACUUACUCUUCUAAUUAGUGGACUUCCCACUUCAACUGGUCUUUCAAUCUCGACUACAUUGAUGUAAUACUUCUAUUGUUGAAAUGAAAACCUGUAAAUCUCAUCUCACUUUUGGUUACUUCACAAAGGAGAAGGCCAAACACAACUCUGACAACUGACCACUAGUACAUCCUAGGCAAGUGAAGACUUAGGGUUUUGGAUGCUCUGAAUGUGAGAUUUGAAGGUAUGUGAAGGAAAAUCAUGUUUUGGCGGGUGAGGAAAUCGUGUGGAGGGAGUGGAAAUUUUAGGCAUGUUUUAGAUAAAUAUAUAUACUAGGUAGGAUAAUGACACUCUUUAGAAACAUCAAGAAUGCAAAAAUGUUAUAUAUCCAAUGACACUUAAAAUAAGCACCAACAUUUUUUAAUUUAUACAUAUCAACGACACUUGCAGAUGUGUCAUAGUAAACAAGCGCCAAUGUUUGGGCAUAAAAAAUAAAUAAUGACAUUUUUUUAAAAGUGCUAAGGAAGGAAGUGUCAUUGUUCUUGUUUUUUGUAGUAGUGAUGGUAUGGUGGAAUGAUUUUCUCUCAUCUGUGGGCGUACACAUGUUUGACCUAACCAUAUUAAAAUCUCUUAUAUCUUUAUGUGGAUUAUUUUAUUUUUGUGUAAUUGAACUAGUAUUGUUUGCAUCAAAGCUUUUGCUAGUUCAACAUAUAAUUUGUGGUGUAUGUUAGAAUUGUGUUGAAAGUGUAAGUCCUAUUCUCCUAUUUACAAAAGGCAUAAACUUUUGCACUCUAAACAUUUCAUGGCCAGCCUGAUUUUAUGCAUGUAUUCAAAACCAAAUGGUGAAUGAACACUUGAGUAGUAUUGGAGACGGAAAAGAAGAGAAGUAAUAUUGGAUAAAAGGGACANNNNNNNNNNNNNNNNNNNNNNNNNNNNNNNNNNNNNNNNNNNNNNNNNNNNNNNNNNNNNNNNNNNNNNNNNNNNNNNNNNNNNNNNNNNNNNNNNNNNUUACAUCACACAAAUUCNUUUUUUUGCAUUGAAUCUGGUUGAAGAGUUCACUACCAAUUUUUGAACUCUAAGAAUAAUAUGUAAGUAGUGCAGGCAAACACAGGAAUCUUGAAAGACAGAUAAAAAUCAAAUAACAGUCAAAAUAAAAUGUAAGUUUAACAACAUGAGAUACAAUGGAGAUCCGUAUCAAACUCCUCGAAGCUUCUGGGUCUCCAUAUUCUGCAGAGAAGUCUCGUCUGCAACUUUGUACAAGUCAACAGCCAAACUUCAUUUCCAAAUUGAUGAGUGUCCAAAAUGUGACCGACAAAUACGUUAUUAAAAGGGAAAAACAAAGGACAGAAAAAGAAAGAGAGGAGAAAAUCUAUGCUUGAUCUUUGGCACUGAAUUACUGGUUUUACUUCCAGUCAAUCCAUUCAGAUAUCUUCUCAACGCACAAGAAGGGAUUGAAAAAAUCCCAGCUCCAAUUUUCCAAAAAACAGCUUAGUCCACUAGUCAGUCAAGAACCAUGACGACUUGCAACACCCCAGUCUUCUUUGUUUUACAGAAGCUCUCAAUUUUAUAAGUGCAGACAGACCAGAAUCUCACUCAGCUCAGCUUCACAAAUUCAAGUCAGCAAUCACUCAAAUGCAUUAAACUAAUUUUUAUGCUCUUCUCCUAUUGAGAGAAAUAGGCAUUCACUUUGAAGAGACAACGCAAGUUUGUGUCAGUAGGUUAUAUGUGUACCCUGAUAAGCAAAUCCCCUCUACUGAUGGAGAUGCCAAGCUCUAGCUUGAGAUUACAGUGGUGGUUUUUCCUUGUCAACCUCAUCAUUUGUAUUAGUUUGCUUCGGUUGGAAUCUCUUUCCAGCACGCCCACUUUUGGAAAUGAAACUGAUAAGCUUGCAUUGCUCACCAUCAAGCAUUAUCUGGUUGAUGUUCCAAAUGGAGUUCUGAGUUCCUGGAAUGACUCUGCAUUUCUGCCAGUGGCAUGGGGUUACAUUCAGUCGCUGACAUCAGAGGGUCACAACGAGGGUCAAAGCUUAGGUGGUUCCUUACCACCUAUUGGGAACUGAACAUUCCAAAGAGAGUUGGUGUUGUCCAACAAUCACUUGCACGGUACUAUACCCAGUGACAUUGGUCUUUUACGAUGGAUGCAGCAUCUCAAUCUGAGCACAAAUUCCCUCCAAGGUGAGAUUCCGGUUGAAGUGCUUGAAAUAUUUAUAUUUGGAUGUAAAUAACCUGUCUGGUAUGAUUUCUCCCUCACUCUAUAAUAGGUCAUCUGCCAUUGAAUUUUUUGUAUCUGGCAACAUUCUGUCUGGAAAUUUUACUCCAAACAUGAGGUUUAAUUUUCCUCAACUCCGCAAGUUUGGCAUAGCAGGGUAUCAGUUUACUGGAAUAAUUCCAGAUACACUAUCCAAUAUUUCAGGACUUGAACUUUUGGAUCUAAGUAACAAUUAUCUAACUGGCCAAGUCCCUGAUAGCUUAGGAGUGCUCAAGGAUCUGUAUUGGUUGAACCUUGAAUUCAAUAAAUUAGGAAGGGGCAUGUCAGGCGAUUUAAAUUUUCCAUAUUCUUUGCCAAAUGUCAGCAGUUUAAGACUUAUCAAUCCACAUGCCAAUAAUUUCCGGGGCGUGUUACUCAUCUCCAUUGUUAAUCGAUCAACCCAACUGCAGAAGCUUAUCAUAGGGGGCAACAAAAUAUCUGGAAGCAUCCCAAAAGAGAUUGGGAACCUGAUCAGCUUAACUGUUUUCAGUGCAAUGCGGAAUAAUCUUACUGUGUCAUUCCCAUUUCAAUUGGCAAGCUUCAGAAUUUAAGAGUAUUCGACUUAAAUUGGAACAGGCUAUCAGGUCUGCUCCCAUCCACCGUCGGCAACUCAAGUCAACUAUACUACCUUGACAUGGGCUACAACAAUUUGGAAGGGAACAUUCCUACUCACAGGAACUGCCAAAAUAUGGAAAUUCUUUUCCUCGAUCACAAUAAGUUGAGUGGUAGUGUACCUGAAAAUGUCACUUGUCAUUUCAAUCAGUUGAGAUCACUCUACCUACAGCAAAACACAUUCACCGGUUCUCUCCCAACAGAUGUUGGUCAACUGAAAAACCUAAAUCAGCUGCUUGUUUCUGACAACAACUUGUCAGGCAAAAUCCCCAGGGAACUUGGCAGCUGUUCGAUAUUUGAGUACCUCGACAUGGCAAAAAACUCUUUCCAGGGAAACAUCCCUCUGUCAUUUAGCUCAUUGAGAGGUAUUCGGUUCCUAGACCUUUCAUGCAACAUCUUGCCUGGAACGAUUCCCAAAGAACUACAUCUUCUUGGUUUGUUGAGUUUAAAUCUGCCUUAUAACUACCUUGAAGGUGAGCUUCCAAGUGGAGGAGUUUUUAAAAAUGUGAGUGGGAUUUUAAUCACUGGGAACAAGAAGCUUUGUGGGGGGAAUCCCUCAACUUCAGCUGCCAGCAUGCUGUGAUGUAGAGUCAGCAAAGCAUGGCAAAGGGAAGCAUCUUUCAACCAAAAUUGUUAUAGCCAUAAGCAUUACUGGUGUUUCUUGCUUGGCUUUCAUAGUGGCUUCAGUUCUCCUCUAUGGGAGAAAAACGGCUGUAAUGAAGCCUUCUUCCACCUUUUUAAGAUAUGGAUACUUGAGGGUUUCUUACAAAGAGCUCCUCAAAGCAGCUAGUGGAUUUGCUUCUUCCAACUUGAUUGGCAUGGGAAGUUUUGGUUCCAUAUACAAAGGAAUUCUAAUUCGAGGUGAAAGACCUGUUGCAGUGAAGGUACUGAACCUUCAACACCGUGGAGCUACCAAGAGUUUCAUGGCUAAGUGCAAGGUCCUCAGGAAUAUUCAGCUUCGGAAUCUCCUUGGAUUCAUAACUUCAUGUUCAAGUGUGGACAACAAAGUUUGUGAUUUUAAGGCUCUAGUAUUUGAGUUCAUGCCUAAUGGGAACCUAGAUAGCUGGCUGUAUCAUGAAUCUAGAAAUUUAAGCUUCAGACAAAGAUUGGAUAUCGUAAUUGAUGUGGCUAAUGCUCUGGAUUAUCUUCAUCACCAAUGCCAGACGCCAAUUGUUCAUGGUGAUCUAAGGCCAAGCAAUGUUCUUCUUGAUGAUGACAUGGCUGCCCAUGUUGGGGACUUCGGGUUAGCCAACCUCCUUCCUGAAGCUAACGAGAUUCUGAGUAGUGGUCUGUAGGUUUUCAUUGAAACAGAGUGUGGAAACUCUUUGGAAGCAAUAGAACGUUGAGGAAUCUGAAGUUCUUAAUUUUAUUAAGCUUCAAACCACUUAUUUAUACAACUAGCUUAAAACAGAAAAACAUAAAAAUAGCAACAAACCUGCUACCUAUAGAUAAUUCCUAAAGAAUAGAAACAACCAACAAACUUCCUAAGAAAUAGGUAAAUCUUCCACAUGACUAACUUAUUUGACUACUUCCACUUCAAUCUACUCAGCUCCAUGUCAGCAGCUCCUAUGACAUGUCAUUCAACACUCCUCCUUGUCUUUGGAGCUGCAAACUCCAAGCCUUUGCCUUAAGAACUCAUAUCUAGCUUUGGGAAGUGGUUUGGUUAAGAUAUCAGCAUUCUGACUUUCUGUUUUACAGUAGACCAACUGAAUUUCUCCCUCCUUCUGUACCUCUCUUAGGAAAUAGAGUUUCAACUUGAAAUGUUUUGUUUUUCCAUGGAACACCGGAUUAUUUGCAAUUGAAAUUGCAGCUUGGUUAUCUACGAGUAUUUGUGUGCUUUCAUUUUGCUCCAUAAGCAAGUCAGCCAUUAAUUUCCUAAUCCAGAGAGCCUGAUUCACAGCAGCGGCAGCAGCUACAUAUUCUGCUUCUGCUGUAGAUUGAGCUAUGACUUCUUGCUUUUUGGAACACCAUGAAAAAAUAGCAGAACCAAAGCUGAAACAAUAACCUAAAGUACUUCUCAUGUCAUCAACACAACCUGCCCAAUCACUAUCUGAAUAACCAUGGAGAGUAAAGUUUUUAACUUGACAAAACCUCAGACCAUAGUUAAUUGUACCCUUGACAUAUCUAACAAUUCUUUUUGCUGCUUGAAAGUGAAUUUCACUAGCACAAUGCAUGUACCUUGAGAGUAAACUUACAACAUUCAUAAUAUCUGGUCUAGUUGCCGUUAGGUACAUCAAGCACCCAAUAAUGGUCCUGUAAAGCCUUUCGUCAGCUUUUGCAGCUCCAUUUUUUUUGCAAAACUUCUCAUUUUGAUUCAUUGGAGUUGCACUUGGAUUGCACUCUUCCAUCUUGAACUUUUUCAGGAUUUCCUUGGCAUAUUUCUGUUGACAUAUGAAGAUCUCAUUCUGCUUUUGUUGUACCUCCAUGCCAAGAAAGAAUGUCAUCCUCCCAAGAUCAGUCAUCUCAAAAACAUCCUUCAUUUCCUUUUUGAAAUUGCCAAUUUGCUUCAUACUGCUUCCUGUCACAAGUAGAUCAUCAACAUAUAAAGAUACCACAAGUGUUUCAUCACAAACCUUCUUGAAGUAUAGAGUAAAUUCACUUAGGCUUUUUGUAAAGCCUAACCCUAACAAAUGUGAAUCAAUCCUACUGUACCAUGCCCUUGGUGCCUAUUUUAAACCAUACAAGGCCUUUUUCAGCAAAUAUACUUUAUCCUCCAUUCCUUUAACAAUAAAACCUUCAAGCUGCUCCACAAAAAUUUCUUCCUCCAAGUAUCCAUUCAAGAAGGCUGAUUUGACAUCCAUCUGAUGUAUAUUCCAGCCCUUUUGAGCAGCAAGAGCCAGGAACAUUCUUAUAGUGUCCAAUCUAGCAACUGGGGCAAAAGUCUCAGAGAAAUCCACCCCCAAACAUCUGAGCAUAUCCUUUGACAACCAGUCUUGCCUUGUGUUUGUUUAUAGAACCAUCAGAAUUGAGUUUGGUUCUAUAAACCCACUUGACUCCAAUUGCCCUUUUAUGUCUUGGUUUGUCCACUAGCUCCCAAGUCUGGUUUUUUUCAAUCAUUUUAAGCUCCUCCUUCAUUGCAUCCAUCCAUUUUUUAUCCGUUGCAGCUUCUUCAUACCUUGCAGGCUCUAUUAUAGCAAUAUUGCACCUCUGAUAGAUGUCAGAGAGUGAUCUGGUUCCCCUGACAGGUUCAUCAUCAAUAUUGGCAUUCUCCUCCUGAAACUCAAGCUUCUUAUCAUUCUCCCAACUUCAAAUUCGAAGAAUUUGACAUCUCUACUAACUAUGACUUUGUUGUUUUUUGGAAGAUAGAUUCUAUAGGCCUUUGAUAUUGAGUUAUAACCUAUAAAGAUCCUAGCUUCUGCUUUCUUAUCCAAUUUGUCUCUCUUAACAUGUGGAAUAUAAGAGAAACAAAGACAACCAAAUGUUUUUAAAUUUUGCAGCCUUGGUUUAUAGCCAUACCAUGCUUCAAAUGGAGUCUUUUGUUGCAAAGCUUUUGUUGGCAGUCUAUUUAGCAGAAAGACUGAUGUAUGUGCAGCCUCAGCCCAGAAUUUCUUUGGCAGCCCUUUCUCAUGCAGCAAACACCUUGUCAUUUCCAUAAGUGUUCUAUUUUUCCUCUCAACGACUCCAUUCUGUUGAGGGGUAUAAGGUGUUGUAAGCUGGUGCUCAAUGCCUGCAUCCUCACAAAAUUUGUUAAAUUUCUCCGAGGUGUAUUCAGUUCCAUUAUCAAACCUGAUCACUUGCAUUUUACAUUUACUUUGAUUUUCAGCCCAAGCUUUAAACUUCCAAAAGAUGUCAGCAACCUCAGAUUUAAAUUUCAUGAAAUAAAUCCAGCACAUUCUUGUGUGAUCAUCAAUGAAAGCAAUAUAGAACUUACUGCCAUUCAGUGAUGGUGUUCUCUGAGGUCCUCCCACAUUAGUGUGUACUAACUGCAACUUCUGAGUAGCUCUCCAGGCCUUGUUUUGUGGGAAAGGAAGUCUUGCUUGUUUCCCGUACUGACAUGCUACAUAGGUAGGAGGCUUCACCUCUAAUUCAGGCAAGCCUUCUCCAAGAUCGUUCUUCUUCAUAAAGAGAAGGGCGCUAUGAUGAAAGUGCCCCAAACGCCUAUGCCAAAGCAUUGUAUUGCUUUCUUCUUUGUGAAUUGCAGCCUGCUCUUCUUGCAUCAAAUCCAAGGCAAAGCCUUUGCCUUUCAUUUGAACUAUAAAUACCUCUCUGCCUUGUGCAUCAGCAAUCAUGCACCGAUUGUCCUCAAACAUCACCUUAUAGCCUUUUUCCAGCAGCUGACCGACACUCAAUAGAUUUUGAUUAAUCUCAAGAACAUAUAAGACAUUAGAAAUUAAUUUCAAACCUGUGUGGCCUUCAAUUGCCACUGUUCCUUUGGCCUUACUGCAAGAUAUGCUCCAUUUCCAAUUCUAACUUUGGAAGUAACAGUUUUGUCAAGUUCCUUAAAGAGCCCUUGAUCAUAAGUCAUAUGGUUUGUACAACCACUGUCUAUAAGCCAAGUUUCUGGGGAGCUACUAGUGGCAAAGCAUGAUACCACAAAUAGUUGCUCAUCUGGAAGUUCUUCCACAGCAACCUUGACUUCUCCUUGCUGCUGUUGAGAUUUGCAAAUCCUUUCCACAUGCCUUAGAUGACCACACUUGUGACAUCUUACAUCCGGCCUCUACCAACACCUUUUUUGUGGAUGAUUGGAUUUUUUACAGUAAGGACAUGGUGGAAACUUUUGAGUGUUGUUGUUGCUGUUAUUGUUGCUUUGCAUCUCUUUUUUGUACUGAGAUAUGGCUUGAAAUGCACCCUCCACAGAUCCUUCUUGUCUCAUAAGCCUCCUUUGUUCUUGAGCCUGUAAUGCAUUCAACAACUCUGCCAAGGUGAUACUUGACACAUCUUUUGAGUUUUCUAGAGAUGAUAUUGUAGUCUCAAACUUUUCAGGAACUGUUAUAAAAAUUUUCUGAACCAUUCUAGAAUCAAAAAAGUCAGUACCAAGAAGUCUUACUUUGUUAACAAUACUAAGAAGUCUGUCUGAGUAAUCCUUGAUUGUUUCUGAUUCUUUCAUCCUUUGCAUCUCAAAUUCUCUAAUCAAGUUCAGCACUUGCAUACCUUUGACUCGUUCAUUUCCUUCAUAUUCCUUCUUCAAGAAGUUCCAUAUUUCAUUUGUUGUCUUCAGUGUCAUGAUUCUGGUGAAAAUUGUAGAUGAGACAGCUGCAGCUCAAGAGAACCACAUAAUGCGAUGCUCUAAGGGUUUCAAAGAAAGACACGAGGCUUGGGAGAGGUUGAGUUCAAGAUUAGCUAAGGUAGUACAUAGGGUUCCUUAAGGAAGUACCUAAAGGGAGGAAUAUAUUAAUUAUUCAUAUAUAGCUUCCCCUCCCUAGACGAAGGAAACAAAAUCUUUUGCACUUUGUUUUGAUAUGUAAUUGCCUUUCUAACAAUUGGGUAAAUCAUUUGACCUAAUAAAUGUUUAGAUCAUUGUAUUAGUAAAUAAGUCCGUAGGUGAAACAACUACAUUAAUUCCUUUUUUGAAAAGGCCUUUGAGAAGCCAAAAACUAUUUUUAAAUUGAAUAAGAGCUUAACUAAUUUUUUUAAAAAGAGUUAAAAGCUACAUAAUAUGAAAUCUAGGAAAACGUUAAUUUGUCGUAGAAGCUUUAUUUUAGCUUAUAUGGGAAACUAUUUUAUGUUAUAAGAUCAAUAUUGCCCUUUGAGAAUUAUAGCUUCUUCCUUGAGCUAAAGGCAAAAACAAAAACCUAUCCGAGUAGGAGAACAAAGUACAAAACUUGAUUCUUACCAGGAAAGCAUAAAUUGAAAAUCACCAAUUAUCCCAACAUCCAACUCAAUAAAUUAAAACACCUCAAAAUCAAAAUGUCAAAAAUAUAUCAAUUUUCUUCUAUUGAAACAUAAAACAAACUGAAUGCUUGAAACAACAUCAACCAUCCAUUAAUUUGAUUUUUGGUCAAUCACCCAUUUCUUUCUUUUUUAAAAAUAAGAAGACCACACAUUUAGGUAGAAUCGCUCUCUGCUACAACGUAGGCAAUGCCUACAUAAGAACUAAAUCCUACCCACAAAAUGUCUCCUCAAAAAACUAUAAUUAAAAAAAAUGAAAUAAACAAGGGAGACAUCAGUUAUAUAUAUAUAAACAAGGGAGACCAGUUCAAUUGCAAGAAAUCAAAGAACAAAAGGUUCACAAACUUGAAAGCUACCUUUGAAAUUCUUGAAAAAAGUAACAGAUUACUGUACCACGACAUUGAUUAACCCAAUGAAAGAAUUUAACUCCACAAAAAGAUAUUUACGCAAAUGAGGUUAGGCUUUUAAGGAUUUGGGUUUUCAGGAUGAAGAGAAAGACGAGGCAGAGGCCAAGGUUUCAAAAAUUUAGGGUUCUAGGAGGGACAAAAGCAAAUGGAGUUUUAGGUUUCCGUUGACAGAGUUGGUGUCGAGGUGAAAAACGUUAGAUCUUUUUAUUUUUUAUUUUUUGGGCUUUUAAGGUUUUUUGGGUAUUCAGAUGUGGAGGCUGAGCUGGACGAAUGGGAGGGCAUUUUGGGAAUGAAAGCACACUUCAGUACAGAGUGCAUGGAAUUGCCAAUAUUUUCGGCAUUAGCACAGAUUUCUUGAUUUUCCCAAAGUUGGGGGUUGAAAAAUCCUAACAUUGUGAACCCUUGUUUUAUAGGUAGAGCAUAAGGUGUGUCCAUUGUGACACUGUAAAGAAGUCAACUUGGUAAAAACCACGACACAAUUUUUAUGCCUUAAAAGCAAAUAUAAACAAUUAAAAAGAGAGUCGAAAACUCAUUUUUGAUCUAUUUCUGAACCAUACCAGGCAGUAGAUACCAGACUUUGCAAUCAAACAUCUUAUUUGAUGCGAAGGGACAAGCCAAUGACCAAACAAAUAGAGGAGAAAACAAAGUGUCGAGGAAAAGAUGCCACAGAAAUCAAAAGAAAGUGAAAAAGUGUGAGUCACUUGAAUUUCUUAAAUAGCUAAAAACAGGUGGCUUACCUAUUAUGGCUCUUCAUGAUGAUUUAUUCUUUUGGUGAGAUUCUAGGUUGUGAUAAGCAUACAUGGCAAAAGAAAAAAAAAUGUUUUAAGAACACAUGGAACAAUGAUUAAUCAUCUUUCCGUGGAAGAAAAAACAUCUAGCUGGAAUACGUUGACAAUGGAAAGGAAGCAAUCAAAAGGAAGAACAACCAUUCAACAGUUCCACCCGAAAAAUCCAAUGCAAGGUAUAGCAAAAUAUAACAAUCACAAAGGAAACAAAUUAUUAUGUGAUCUACCAGUAAGUAACAGAGACCAGAGAACAUGGGAGUACACUAUUGAAGAGCCGCUUGGAACACUAGUCUACUCAUAAUAAGUAGAAAUAGUGAAAUAGUUCCAAUUAAGUUAUAAGAUGGUUCAAAACCUCAUAAAACUAGAUAAGAACUUCCAGUUAUCUUCUAAUUUUAGCAGAAACUAGAGAAAUUAGUCUUCCAACUAUAAAUAACUGUGAAAACCCUUAAGAUUUCAGAUAAUCAAUAGAAGGAAUCCCAGAUAGAGAUGGUGUUAAAAUAUGUCAACAAGUCUAAUUAUAAGAAUAUUCACAUACUCCAACAUAACUUGUCAAGCAUAUGAUACUCAUAAACUGUUUUAAUUUCAUACUAUAAAUGAUAAUAAAAAAAAAUGCACUAGCAUCUCUCUCUUAACUUCAUAAAGCUGCAGAUAACAAUAGGAAAAUUAAAGAUGUUUGAAUUAAAUUUAUAGGAGCAACAGCCUAACAGGAGAACGUAUAAUUCUUAAAGAAUGGAUUAAAGAUCAGUCUUGUGUGUAACAAUAUCCUUUGUUUCUGAAGCUCUGGAUGGAUGGGGCAAAGUGCUUUCAAGAUUAUCCACUGUGAUGUUAUUUGAUACAAUCAAGGCAGGAAGACCAGCAGAAUUGUUUAUAAUAAGUUUUGGUAUCAUACUAUCAUGGAGUUUCUUCUAGAAACAAUUCAACAUAAUUCUUCUUAACACAUUACAAUAUAGGAGUUUAAAAGGUUCUCCCCAUCAUGAAACUAAUCACUUCAAAUUGACAACCAAUUCGAAUCAGCUCCAAUAUCAAAAUAAGCAAUCCACAAAAAACCCAAGUGCCAUUCCAUCCAUAUACCAAAAUAAACCUUCAAAUCCAUUUGAAGAAAUCAUUUCAUCCAAAACCCACUUGUAAAAACACAUUAAACUCAACAAAAAAAACAUACCAAAAAAUAAUCCAUCAACCCCAAAAACCCCAAAUCAAUUUCCCUUGUUGAUUGAUUGAUUGCAAUAGUAUUACACAGGCUUAUCAUUUUGUCGCCCUAGAAAAUGAAAUGCCCAAGUUCUCAAUUGAGUGGAGAUUUCAAAACAUUGAAAAACCUAAUACCCCAAAUUCUAAUAUUUUUUGUUCCUUCUCCCACAAUUCUCAUCAACCAAACGGAGAAUGACGAACGUAUCAAAUUCUCUAUUGAUGGGAGAUUUCAAUUUUCUUGCUUCCCAAACAAUGCCCAAAACUCCAAAAUUUCCCUUUUUCCCAUACUUUCCUACCAAUCAAACAGACAAUAACCAAUCCAAGAAACCACCUAAAGAGGAGAAGAAAUGCACACAUAUACACACUCACUUGGUGGAUUGGUGGGUACAUGUAAUUGGUGCACACGGGGCACUCAAGCAAUUCAUGAACGCUAGUCGCCGGAGCAGUCGCCGAAGGAACGACGCCUUUUUGAAGAGGCUUCGACGAGAACUGAUGAACCACAUGAUUGUGAUUGAGAUUGUGAUGAUGGUAAUGAAGGUGGUAGAUCUCCUCUUCUUCCAUGUCAUCCGAUGAUGAUACACACUCGAUAUUAUCCAAGUCCAUUAACACACGACCAGAACCAAACAGCUCCUAAAAAGGAGGUUCUUUUCUUCCUUCUUCUCUCUAUCUGUUUUUGUAUCGAGUUUCCCCAAAUUUGAAAGCUUAUCGGGUCGGUUUUACAAAUUUGAUAACUUUGAAGAACCCGGGCGGGGGGGGGGGGGGGGGGGGGUUUUUGGAAAGGGGGGUUUUAAAAAAGUUAUAAUGGGGGAAAAAGGAAAAAAUUUUUUUAAAAAGGGGAAAAUUUUGGGGUUUAAAAAAAUUGGGGUUUGAAAAAAAAAUUUUGGGGAAAGGGGCCCCCCAAAAAAAAAUUUUCCCUUUUUAAAACCCAAAUUUUUUUUUUAAAUUCCCCACAAAAUUUAAGGUAAAAAAAAAAAAAGGGGAGGAAGGGUUUUAAUUUUCUUUGUUGGGGAACUUUUUUUUUUAAAAGGGAAAACCCCAAAAGGGGUUUCUUCCCCUUUUAAAAAAAAUUUUUUCCAAAAAUCCGAAGACCCCCCUUUAACCUGGGGGUUUUUUUUUUUUUUUAAACCCCUUUUCCGGAUUUCCAAAGGGAAAAAAACCUUUAAAAANNNNNNNNNNNNNNNNNNNNNNNNNNNNNNNNNNNNNNNNNNNNNNNNNNNNNNNNNNNNNNNNNNNNNNNNNNNNNNNNNNNNNNNNNNNNNNNNNNNNCCGGGGGGGGGGGGGGGGGGGGGGGUCUAUUGACAAGGAUGCAUUAUAAACAGUAUAUAGUGCGUAAAAAGGAAAUAAUUUUUUGAAAUAGUGGACAUAUCUUGGGUUAUACAAACUUGGGGUUUGAAAAUAAUAUUAUUGGGAAAUGGGCCUCCCAAAACACAACUUUCCCUUUUAAGAAUCCAAAUUUUUAGUUCAAAUUCCACUACAAAUUCGAUGUAAAAAUAAAAGACUGUAGAGUAUGGUUUUAACUUUCCUUGCUUGCGACUCUUCUUUUUCAAUAUGGAUAAGCCCAGAGCGGGUUCUCUCCCCUCUUAGAAAAGAGUUCAUCCAAAGAUCCGAGAGCCCUCAUCUACACGUGUGCAUUAUCUUCUCUUUUAGACCCCUUCCUCGGAUUGCCAAAGGGAACAAGACCUUGAAGAAACACAGAAUAAACGAAAUGACUAUUUUUUUUGUGAGCCAUGAGGUUAUUCUUCUAACCAUGCCCGAAAUCGUACCUCUCCAAUUUUGAAAAUAUUCCAAUAUAAAGGAGAGGAAAAAGCAAGAGCAGAGGAUGCAAGUGAGGAAUGAAAGGGCAGAGGAAUGUGGUAAAACAGCGUACAAGCCGGUUGUGAAAGCGAUGGCCAUUGCUCCCAUGCCAAUCAUGGUCAAAAUAAAGGCCGAAACCAAGUGCUUUGCAAGGAACUCCUCCCCAUUACGCAUGGUCAUAAAAAAGUGAAGAAAUACAGCGCAUAGUGAGGAGACCAUGGCUAUGGUAUCCGUCACAACAAAUGCUCUGAAAGCUGCUUUCUUUGAUAAAAUUGCCUUGCCAUCAUCACCAUUGUAACCACCGGGCAAAGUGAAACCCGCAGCAUAAGUUACUGUUGUUAUAAGCGCGGAAACUAUCAAAUGGGUAGACCUUGUUUUUGUAAUUCAGAGGUACGUUUCUCCUUGUCCUCUUUGCUUUCUUUCUCUUUCUUCAAUUUCUUAAUUAUUUCCUGAAAUUGAUGAAUCAAUUUUUGUCACAUUCAGUCACUCAUUGCUGGGUAAACAAGAAGUCAUUGAAAAUCUGAUACAAAUGAUAAAUGCGUCUAACUUAAAUACAGUAGCAAAUCAAGCUUCUUUAUUCCAAAAGAUUGAGGUUAAUGGAGUUAUUUGUUUGCUCUAAACCUUCUUAAUAAAAAUAGUAUGAUGAAUACCAAUUUGCUUAAAUUUCAACACCAAUAUAAAUUAUUAAAUAAAUCCAAUGAAUUUAUCUUAUUUCCAAACAUAUUUAAGAGUAACAAAACAUAGCAUAUUUCAAAGAAAAUAUAUCUUUUCGUUCAAAUGAACUCAAACAUAUAACUGAAGUGAUGUGGAAGCCUUACAUUUUUCCCAAAAAUGUUCUCCUCGAUCCCGUCGUUAACUGUCAAGUAUUUCACUAAUUUCUUAGUUUCCCUCUCCCAAAACCAAGAUCUAGUUUCAGGCAUAACCAUCUCGAAGGCACCUUGGAUCACAUCCUGAAAUUGAAUAAAAGGAACAUUUCAAUUUAAUUCAAUUGAUGAAUCCAUUUUUUUCACAUUCAGUCACUCAUUGCUGGGUAAACAAGCCAUUGAAAAUCUGAUACGUACAAGUGAGAAAUGCAUCCGACUUAACCAACCUUUAAUUAAAUACAUCCAAUCAAGCUUAUUUAUUCCAAGAGAUCUGGGGUUAAUCGACUUACUUGUUUGUUCUAAAACUUCUUAAUAAAAGCAUGAUGAGUGCCAAUUUAUUUAAAUUUGAACAUCAGCAUAUUCAAUAAAUCCAAUAAAUUUAGAGACAAUGGGGGUUAAAAAAAAUUGAAGGAAGACAAAAUAAAAUUUUAUCAACUCUUUAUCCUAUUCAUCUUCUACUACUUUAAAAUGUGAUAAAAAAUAAUUAAAAUGUGGAAAAGAAAAAAUAAUAAUUCUUGAUGUUAUGUUUGGUUCUUGAGAAAUCUUAAGACUUUUUUGCUCAUAGAAAAUGAUAAAAGAAAAGAACAAAAAAGUGAAAACAAAUAAUAAGGCUAUGCUUAUUUCCAAAAAAUAUAAGGGAAAAUUUAAAGAGAAGAAAAAUAUAAAUAGAUAAGCAUAGCCUUAAUGUUUUUCAUGAGCCAAAUGUAGUCCGAGAAGAAUCCAUGAAAAUUUAAAAAAUAAAACUGGAAAAAAUAAAAUAUUUUCCCUAGAAAAAAGUGGAAAAAGUUUGGAAAACGUGCAUUUCGCAACGGUUUAAUCUUUUGUUUUCUAAACAUUUUUAUGAACGAUAAAAUAAGAGAAAAUCUUAUAAAUUGUUCUUAUCUUUUUAUUUUUGUAUCUUUCUAUUUUUCCUUUCCUCAAAUUAAUCUUAAACUACAUUUGAUUUUAGAAAGUACAGGAAAAAAAUAUUAAGAGAAGUUGUUAUUUUUUUUUUUUUUCACAUUUGGAUACAAGUGAAAAAAUGAUAAGAAAAUAUAUAAAAAUAAAAAUUAUACUAUAAAAAGGACUAGCUAUUCACCAGUUCUAGGUAGUUUCAUAACAAAAUAUCAAACAUUCACGUAUAAUUGAAGUGAUGUGAGACUUCACCUUUUUCUUGGAACUGUCCUUCUUGGCCCUCGAAAUUAUGUCGUAAGCUGUCAAGUUUUUGCUAUUAUACGCCUUCUUAUCCACAUUCCAAUCGAAUAAGAACCGAAAAUCUGAAAUUUGAUAAGAAGAGAGCAAGUGGAUGGGUGUGUUUCCUUGACCAUCUUUCUCAUUUACAAGUCCUCUGGCUCUUAACCAUUCAUUUUGAAAGUAAUCACUAGGCUUAUAAUCAUGGUCUCCCUUUUUCAUCAGGGAAAAGUGAAAAACAUUAUGGCCGUCGUUAUCGACUUGCUCGCAACAAUCUGGAUAGUGAGAUAGGAGCUCCUCUAUUAUGUUUUUAUGAUGGUGGAAAGAUGCAAUAUGAAGGGCAGUCUUGUUACCAUCAUUGAUCCCAAGAUAUGCUACACUCUUAUCUGAAUUCUCUAGCAGUUGCCUCACAAUUGUUGGAUGACAAUUUCUCUCUGCAGCACAGUGAAGUGGAGACCACCCUUUCUCAUCCACUUCCUUAGUUAGAGCUGGAUUCCAUUUCAAUAUCGCGUCGGUCAUUUCUGACAAAUGGAUAAAUGAAAAAAGAGAGUAAAAAAGAAAGUUCAGAAAAAUGAAAGAAAAUAAAUAAAGUCAAAUCAACCAUGGCAGUUUCCCUUUUAGUCUAAAUAUGUGAAAAUAACAUAAUCAUUGUAUUAAACCCUCCGUAUUAUGAGCAUACUACCUUGGUCAUUGCAGAGUACAGCAGCAUGCAAGGCCGUUCUACCCAUGAAGCCACUGUAGGCUGGUGAAGUGCGAGUUUUGUGACUUUUGUCUAGGAUAAUUUGCACUAUUCUGGUAAAUCCUCUCUCAGCAGCCAUGUAAAGAGGAGUCCCACCAGAAACAUUAGCACCAUAAGUAUACUCAGGGUCUUUCUCAAUCAAUAACUUCACCAAAGAAUAUUGGCCAUAUCGCACUGCCUCAUGCAAGGCUGUGUCUUUCUCCUUAUUUGUCAUCCUCAACAUCAACUUAUCUGCUUCAAGCCCAGUUUCAAUAUCUGUGGCAGCGUCUAAAAGAGCUUUCACAACAUCCAAAUGCCCUUCCCUUGCUGCAAGGUGAAGCGGAAUGUCCCCUUUCAGAUUAGGGUGUAGCAGUAGAGAUGAAGAUGAAGGCAACCUAAGGAUCAAAUUCACAGACUCCAGUUGACCGAACUGGGCAGCGAUGUGGAGUAUUGUGUUAUGCUUUGGGGUUAAAUGGACUAGUAAGUCAUGAUCUGAAAUUUUUUCGAGGACUUCAAUGUUCCCCUUUGCUGCCGCCUUGUACACGUCCGCAUCCAUGCCCGUGAUGACAGUGUGGCUGCCAUCUCCAUUUGCAGCUUGGUUGGAGGUCUGGGCUGGGCUAGGAUCUUGAGCUACAACCUGAUUGGAAUUAGAAUCCAUGUCAAGAUUCUGAAAUUCUUCACUGAGGUUCGAAGCACCCAGCUGAUCCAUUAAGUGUUUAUGGGUUGGAAGUGAAGUGAUCGACUCCACUCAUCACGUUUAUGGCUUGGAAGGUGGUCCCCCUUCGCUGCAAAUGAAGUUGUGUGGUGGAGACGUCCUUGCUC
RNAcentral lists this long non-coding RNA (109292 nucleotides) under Vitis vinifera (wine grape). Its description in RNAcentral is "long non-coding RNA (VVIN_LNC001535)". Lineage: Eukaryota; Viridiplantae; Streptophyta; Magnoliopsida; Vitales; Vitaceae. The record is from RNAcentral.